This 109322-nucleotide long non-coding RNA is filed under the name Vitis vinifera (wine grape). RNAcentral's name for it is "long non-coding RNA (VVIN_LNC006487)". Lineage: Eukaryota; Viridiplantae; Streptophyta; Magnoliopsida; Vitales; Vitaceae. The record is from RNAcentral.
CAAAGAGAACUAAAGCCCAAAAACAGAUAAUCAAGGUGCAACAGCACCCUAAUCCAUUCCGAAACAAUCAUAAAAUCUAAAACUAAACCAGUGUCAAUUCCCACUGAAUUAGGCGUUCUCUGGAUACACACUUGAUUUCUGUUUUUCCAAAUAGAAAAUGAUAGUAACUCCUACGUAAAAUGCAAGACUCUUUGAGACUUACCUUAAAAAGAUAAUGACUUUUAAAAAACGUUUAAAAAUAUUGAGGUAUUAAAAAAAUUUUACUACCUCAAAUUUUAAAAUUUUCAAAAUAAUUUUUAAGGACUUUUGGUAAAUUCAUACUUUUUAUAUAAGAGUUAAAAUAUUUAUAUAACAACCCAUGGGUCAUUCCCUUGUUAACGAAACUGGGAAGUUAUUACUAUUUUCUAUUUUUAAAAUAGAUAAUAGGAAGUAUAUCUAGACAAGCACUAAUUAACACAUUUUUUAUUGUCCCAUUUGCACCUUCCACACUGUGAAAGAUCUAUGGUUUUGUUUCAUCCCAGCUACACCACAACAGCCAGAAAGUAGUUAUCUUCUAAAGCUUCGUUCAGCUCCUCCCUGCUAAGUUGAAUAGAGAAAAAGGAUGUAUAUUCCUUGACCUAAAAUACUUGUACACCACAUAAUAAAAUCUUAUAAUUUCACAUGUUAAUACAAUCCAACCAUAGAGAAGUGGUAAAAAAAUUAUCAAGUCAGUAGCAUACGAAUAUCAGUUUGAUCCAUCUAUGUCAAAGAUACAAUAUAACCUUUGGUUAAAAUUUUUGAGAAAUGAAAAAUUCAUGAAGAAUAAAAAAUUCCAAUUCACGCAUGCGCACAGACACAAAAUAUAUUGCAGUGCCAUGGCCUCCAACUACAAAUUACUGUCAUGUUUCUUUAUCAAGGGAGCAUCAAUUUGGUAGGAGACGAAAGCCCUAAAUUCAAAUUUAUAACUCUAUUGUGAUCCACAGCAGAUUAUAAUUUACUAUCCCCAAUGUUACUACAACAUAGCACUUCUUCAUACUUCCUACCCCUUCUUCUCAUUUGUAGAAAAUAAUUUAACUUAAAUGAAAUGUAACCAAAAUCGAGCCAAUAAAUCAACAGGCAAAUUCUUCCAGCAAAAAUUAACCUCACCAAUUUUUUGUUUUUCUGUGAAAACUGAGGAAAAUAAAAUAAAACUGACAAUCUUGUGUUUCAUUUUGCUUUGCUUUAUCAGAAUAAAAAAAAAAGAGAGAAAAGAAAUCAACCACACUAAUCCAGAAAGUGUACCAGGCAAAGUGAAACCAAGUUCCUUGUUUUCCUAACAAUUAAAAACUUGAUGUCUUUGCUUUUCCCACCGUUCCUCAGCAACCAAGCGUCAAAACAUAGAAUCAUGGCAUCAAUUGGAGUCUCAUGUGUCUAAAUACAUGACGACAAGCGGAGGUCUUUCCUCAAGUUCAACUUACUAAAAAUCAAAAUGUCCACAACAAAAUUAAAACUAGAUACCAACCAAAAACACAAAACCCUAGCCUCACCUUCCGCUUGGUAAGCAACAACUUCUCCGCAAUCGACAUCUUGGGAGGCCGAAACCCUAGCUUCUGUUCCCUACCACUAAUCCCAAGAUCCUCAAUCAUCCCUCCGAUCACCUCCCUGGGCACAAUGUCCUUGGGCGCCAACCCCUCGCACAUGGCCACCACCUUCGCCCUGGCCUCCUCCAUCAUAGCCCUCUCCUCUGCCGUAGGACUCCGGCCGCCGCGGACGGCCGCCAUAGCGGAGAGCACCAGCACAAUCUCCGCCACUCUCUUGACAUCCCCGCCCCUGGGCCGCUUCCUGGCCGUCUCUCCAUCGUCCUCCGCCGGGCGCUUGGAUCUCGCCUCCACCUCAGAGCUCGCCGUUGGAUCCAUAGGGAGUGGGAGGUCAGGGAGGGGAGACCAUUGAACGACGCCGUUUACAGGAGAGAAACACAGACGAUAAGAGGAGAGAAGGGAAGAGAAGAGAGCAGAAGAGAGAACCCUAAGGAAGUCCAAAGGGGGUUUUUAAAAGUACGAAAUAAAAGAUCCGUUAAAUUGUGAGGUUUUGGCGCGUAAUUGAAGAGAAAGAUGUGAGGGAGUGAGCGUGUGUAAAACUCGUAAGUGAUAUGUAGAGGGAGACGAGAGACAAAGAGAGGGCCUGAGCGCAGAGAGAGAAAGAAAGAGAGGGAAGCAAUGGGGUUAUUUGGAGUUUUGGGAUUUCUAUAAAUAAACCGCUCUUCUCCUGGACCGGGUUCGGCACUCUGACACGCGGCCCGAGUCGGGGAAUGUAGGCCCUAUACGGCGUCGUUUCUCACAUCAGGGCCGCCACUUCCUUAGUUUCGCCUUAGCCGUCGCUGUAACGUCUUGGCAUUAGGCAGUUCGAAUUCCUAUGUUUUCAAUAAUCAAACAUUAAAUCAAAUUAUCUAGUCAAUAAGAGUGUGUUAGCAAUUAUGUCACGUUACCAAAAAAAAUAUUUACUAGUUUCAAAAUUUACUUUUUCUGUGGUAAAUUUCAAACAAAAUUAUGUAUAUUUGUUAAUUUUAUUGUACACAAAAAAAAUUGAUUGAGUUGUGUGAUUUUAAAAAAAUUAAAAAUUAAUAAAUAAUAAUUUAUUUGCAAUCAUGUCCCCUUAUCAAUUUUUAUCUAGGUCCAAAUUAAGCCAGCAUAUUAAACCUCCGGUUCGCCCUGUCGUACAACCCUCGGCUCAAAUAGAAGGAGAAAACGGGCUGGGCUGGGCUGGGCCACAUCACUUUUGGAUCUUUUAUCUCAAUAUAUUUUUGAGAUCUAUUUCAACUUAUAUAUUUAUUUCUUACAUCUCCGACAUUUUUUUCUCUAUUUGAAACUCCUUAUUUUGAAAAUAAUUCCUAGAAGGAAUAUUAUUUGCAAACAAUUUCAUAGACUUUAAAAUUUUCAAUCCCUCUAUGGUUCAUUUAUUUAAAUAGUAAUUAUAGAAAUUUUAGUAAUGCAUUAAAUAAUUUAAAAAAGUUUUUUUUACUAAUUUCAAUUAUAUUUUAUUUUCUUUGUAAUAUAACCAAAUAUAAGAAAAUUAUCAUUUUAUUUAACAUUUUUUUUUCUUAAGACUUAUAAGGUGUUUUUUUUUUCUUAUCAUUGAAAGCAACUUAUUUUCAGAUUUUAUAUGUUUAUUUUUAACUUUUUAUUUGACUUAUUACUUAUUCUUAAACAUUUUUCACUAAAUAAAUGCAAGAAAAUAACAUUUUUAAACCCACCAAAACAUGAUCUCAACUCCCAACUUUUGUCAUCGUAAUGAACUUCUCUAUUCUUAUCACCUUCCUCUUUUAUCACUUCUCCUUCCUAGACUACCAUUUUCCUUCCUCCUUCCACAACUUCAACUUCAACAACCUCCUUAUCAUCAUAACAUUUUUAAGAUCUCACCUCUGAUCCAAACCCUAUUGCACCAUGUCUAUUGUCACAUACACAAUUUCUCCCUCUACAUUUUUCGUGUAUGCGCGGUGCUUAGAAGCCCUCUAAGCCAACCUUCCCAAAAUUCACACAAGAUUGAAACAAGGAAAACCACGAAACACUCAUGAAAUUAUGGGGUUAAAUUCCCCUACUUGUAUAUUAUCUCCCUCUAUAAUAUACAAGAUACUAUUAGCAAAGACUCCCACAAUAGCUUGGUGAGUUCAGUAAUGUCUCGAGAACCAUCUCAAGUCCUCUAGCGGCACCAGCCACCCCCACCUAUUUAGGAACUAUCAUAUACAAAUGGGUUUACAAUUUCAAAUAUCUUGCAGCCAUCUGCUUCUUGAAAUUCCCUUCCCUUGCUUCAGCUGUUGCCAUGUGUCCAAGCUCAAUAGACCCCACUAGGCACAUCCAAGGUUUAGCUGCUCCACUUGCUCUUGUGGUUGAGAGAACUCCUCAUCUGAGCCAAGUGUCCCUUUUAACUUGGCCAUGCCUUUGCCGAGUCCCUUGGCCCUCAUGUUGUUGUGUGUGUGACUUAGUCAUGCUUCAGCCGUGUCCUUCACGACUUAGUCCAUGUUGUCACAUUCUUGCUCUAUGAUCAACCCACGUUCUGCAAGGCGUACAUGAUCAGUCCACACUUGGGUCUUCUUACCUAGGUGUCCUCCUUAAGACUCGAUCCACAUCUCAUCAAUCCAAACAUCAACCUUGCACUAUAUAAGAUUGCCCUUCUGCAUCUUCUAAGGUUAUUGCAUGUCUCUAGGCAGCUUGUGUGUGUGCCAAUCCUUCUCUUGGCCUGCACACUAAGCAACAUUAAUCAAUACCAAACCUGCUCCUGGCUCACGUUGCUCUCCCUCUUUAUUUGGAGGAUGUUGAAGUCGAGGCAACUAGUCUUUUUUUUUUUUCCCAUAUUAACGCCCCAUGUCAUUGCACACAUGGGUUACAUCACACCAUGGCUCACUACUCAUAGUUGCAUGCUUUGGUAAGGGUCACUACCACCCCUUGCUCAUGUCUGAAGCCCACACAUCACACCUUCUUGUUGUUGCAAUGGCACCAUGUCAUGUCCCAUCGUCUCUUAGUGCAGCAAUGAGUCAUGGUAUUACACCCAUGACUCCUAAUCUGUGCACCAGGCAUUGCGCCCUUGUGCCAAGCAUCCGACAUUAUCUCUUGAGUUGACUUGGUUGCUGUUUCAUCUCUAUGCCAUGUCCAAGCCCACCUUGAUGCAACAAUGGGCCAUGACAUUGCACCCAUGGCUCAUUAAGCCACCUCGCACAAGGCAUUGCUCCCUUGUACCACCAUCGAGAGGGGGAAACACACCUUGGUGCAACCACGGGCCAUGACAUUGCACCCAUGGCUCAUUAAGCCACCUCGCACAAGGCAUUGCCCCCUUGUACCACCAUUGAGAAAAACUACAGUGUUUUUAAAUAACAUCCAAGUUAUUUUCACUUUUUUUAAAAAAAAAAACUAUUUUAAAAAUAAUUAUAUAAAUAUAAAGAAUGAUUAAAAAUAAAGUAUUAUAUAUCAAAAUCAUUUUUAAAACUUAUUUAAAAACAUAGAAAAUAGGUUAAAAAUUUUAGAUUUUUAAACAGACUUUUGUUUUAUAAAAUAUUAUAAAAAAGUUCUUAAUAAUUGUUUUUCAGAAACAUUUUCCAAACUAGGUCUUAAUUGACCCAUGACAUGGCAAGGCUCAGGCUCUCCUUUCCUUUUGAUGCAUGACUUGAAUUGAUAUAUAAUACCAAGCCUAAAGUUUCAACAUAUAUCUGGUCUUUAUGAAGCAAAAGUAAUGUUAUAUAAUAUAACUAGCCAUUUGAAGUGGUUCACCAAUAGUAAUGGAGGGGAUGAGGACCCUUGGGCAUAAGAAAUGAGAGAAGACUUGGAGCAGUAUUUUUACAAUCACCAACACCUCUAUUUGAUCUCAAUAAUUUUUGCAAUCUAUUUUCCACCUAUAUAUUCAUUUAUUUAGCUUGACAAGCCUUAACCACACCUUAGUUUGGCUGAGUGUCACACAUCCACAUUAGGAUUUUCCUACACCCUGAGAUUUAAGCACCCCAAAAGGGGGAAAAGGAUAGCAAUGAAGGGACACUGCUUCCUUCUUGUCACAUGAUUCACACUUUCCCUCUUCACCCAAAGCCUCCAUAUCAGAAUUUUCUUUCUUUCAGAGAUUUAGGCACCCGGAAAAUGGGAAAUUUGGGAAAGUUGGGAAAGUAUUGAAUGGACAGCCCUUCCCACUUACUCAUGAUUCCAAUCCAGAGUCAACAAAAGUAUCUAGCUAACUCUCAGUCCAAUAAAGUUAACAGAAGUAGAAAGGCACAUUUUAUAUCUUUUCCUGAUAAAACUAAGCCAAUUGUAUAUCUAUCUCCAGUUAAAGGUAAGUUUGAUGUAGCAUCAUUUUUGGGGUCUUAGGGAUACCCUGCUCCUGAGAUUGGAGACCCCCUACUAAUAUUGGAAACCCCCAAAAACAAUUGCAGGGAGAAAAUUUAUGGUCUGAACAUAUGACUCAAACGCAUGGAAGUAACCCAAUAUUAUUGUCAAUAGGUUUCUCCUUAUAGGCAAAUGUGUGAAGUGAUUCAUAACAGAAUAGCAUCACUUCCAAUUCCAAAUCCAAAUCCAAAUAAGCUUGCAGUGUUCUUUCAUCAACAUCAUCAUCAUCAUUGCCAUGAUAGAGGAGAUCUCAUUUCUUAUCAAUAUGAAAAUCUUUUUACAAUAUGAGGAGCAGUAUAGUUCAUGAGAAACAGCAUUACAACAUUGAAAGAAUGACGAGAAACAACAUUGAAAGAGUGGGAUAUAUAUUAUGGGCAGCAACAACACAAUCUUAUCUUGCAUCUCAGUUUGUGUUAUUUGCAUUCCUAAAUGGACAGCAUAUUUACCCAUAGUGGCAGUAGCUUAUAGAGAUCAUAUUCUCCUGUGUGGACCACAUCACUGCAAACCAUAACUUGUGAAUUUCUGCAUAUGAUUUCAGCAUUCUCAAGUGUAAAACCAGGAAGAACUGGCAAAGGAAAUCCCUUUGCCAGGUGCAAGUUCAAAUAUGGCAAGAAGACUGUGUCAAUGACAGUUGACAUUGCUGCCUGCAAAGAUUUACAGAACCUUGUAAGUUUCGUGACCAAUCAAAGAAGGAGAUUACUCUUAUUCCGGCUUAGAUGUGAACCCCACCUUAGCCAUAACAACAUAUGGAAAACCAGAGUAAUUAAUACAAUAAUUAAAUGUUAAAAAUCAUAUGAUAUAGAACAAACAACAUGAUUUAUAUACUAUAUUAUGCAAAGUUUAUAAGAGUAUAUUUCGAAACACAUGUUUCAAGAAAUAUUUCAAACCUUUUCAGAGCAAUUACUUGACUUCAUGUGUAAAAGUGCUUGGGCCAAAAAAGAGACUCCUAGGCUGGGUUGUGGUUGAAUGCACGUUUUCAUAUGCCUAGUACUCUUCACCCAAUUGAUACAUCAAGGUGUUCAGGCCCUUAUGGUGAGGUAUCAUUGAACCAAUUGGCUGAAUGACUAAAAAACUACAACAAAUUGGUUUGGUGUUUGGAAAUCACAAGUUACAUAAGAGGCCUAAUCAUUUUAAAAUAUAAAAACAUAAUUUUGGUCACCCUGUUCAAAUCCAUAAAAAAUACCCACAAAAAUAAAUGCUCCAGAUAGAGAAAAAGAUCAUGACAUGCAAAUUUCAAAGAGAUGAGCUAAAAACACAAGCAAGCCACAAGAGGCUGAAACUCUGUAGGCUUAAAACUACUUGGGUUCUUGAAGCAGAAGCUAAUUAACAUAUGAUGCAAGUGCAAGUUAGAGUUUAAUGUUCAAUGCCACUUUCUUGGAAGUUCAUUUUUCUUUUCCAUGUUUUUUGUCCUCCUGCUAAACAAAUUUCUUUGUGUUGGCCUCCUUUUUCAAUGCCACUUUCUUGCAGGGGAGUGAAGAUUGAACGGAGAUACCUGAACUUGGUGCAUGUCCAAGUCACCAAUGUUACUCCAUUUCAAGGACAUAGUAAAUUCAGUCAACCCAAAGCUACCAGUGAGGUUGUUCUUUGAAAUUUGUAUAGAGCCAGUAGCAUUAAUAACCUGCACCAACAGCAUGUAGGAUCUAUCACAAACAACAUAUUGAUUACAAACUAAUUAUUAUGAAAUAACUUAUAUAUCCUCACAAUUCAUAGUCGAAGGACUGAGCUAAAUCACAAUUCUCAGUGAAAGUUGAACUCCUUGUGUGAAAUCGUAGAUUAGAUUGUUAAUAAAAAGAAUAUGGGAUAAAAAUGACAAAAUCAAUCAAAUGAUAACAAUACCAAAAUCUAAAUACAAUUUCAUUGAAUUUUGAACUGUAGUUAUCACAUUUAGGACAGAGACUGAAUUAAACACAAUCAGAUGGAGUCGUUUAAUUCUGAUUUCUUUGUUUUAUCUUUUCCUCUUUAAAUGUGUUUUCCUCUAUGCAUUAUAAACCAGAAUCACUCAUCUACUCUCUUCAAAUAAAGCCUAUGAGUCAAUCUAAAGUAUCCCACAAUGCCCAUAACUGAUAUUCUAACUAGCUCCAUCAAAAUUUAAAUUGUUCAGAUAAUGUCGCUUCCUCCUAUAUUAGUGAUAGUAAAGAGCUUUGCAUUGUUUUUUUGUCUAAGUAAGCUUGACCCUUAUAUAUAUAUAUAUAUAUAUAUAUAUAUAAACGGACAAGAUAAAGCACAAAAAGGUAGUGCAUGAAGUGUAUGUCUUGUAAAUCUCACUUUUCUUCUCGUAAGCUUACCAAUGAGAUGCACGCCACUUGAAUUACUUCACCAGAAUCCAAAACAUCAAUUAUCAUAUCUGAGUAAAUGGUUGUAUCAACUUUAUCGUCUGCAAUUUUUAACAUUGGUUGAGAAGAUACAGAAAUAUUCAGGUUCACACCAUCAUCUGGGUACUGAUUGUAGAGUUGAGGAACAAUAUAUUUCCAUCCGGCUGUGUUCAAAAGAGACUGAUCUGGCAUUUUGUUAACAAUCCAGCUCAUAAAAUCUGCCUGAAAAUGAACAGAACUAUUAAUUCAGAUGUUCAACUGCAAUUCCAUAGUAGAUUAUAUUAGUGUGCAACUCAGUGAGGGCAAGUCCAAUUUAUGCUCAGCGCAACUGUUGCACCCCUUGGCCCCAACUCAAUGUGAACCAACAUCAAGAAAAUGUUCUUGAGCCCAAGACUGAGCACAAAUCAACUGAGAUACCACCGUCCAAUCUUGACUAGGUCAAGCAUGGAUCAGUUUACAUGAAUACUGGAAUUUUCGUGUAACAAGAGAUAAAUUUUAGAAACUUACUUUGAAGUAAACAGAAGUUGCAGAGUUAAAAACAUUUUCAUCUAAUGACAUCUCAAUCAUCUUGGCUGGACCUGUGCAGGAAACGGGAGCUCGAUGUUUUUUAUGGUAAUUGGUGGGAGCUGGAAUGCCAUCCUUUGCUGUGAAUAACCCGUUAAUCUCAAAGUCAAUGGAAGAAUUACUUGAUACAGGGUCCUUCACAAAAGUAACAUUCAGAGCAGCAACAUGAUCUACUGGUAUUUCUUUUGGAACAGAUUGUAAUAAGGAAUCAAGCUUUAUAAUUCCCUCUCUUAUUCUUUUGGAAACAGAAUCUUCAACUGCAGAGGCUAUUUGCUCUUUGAAAGCAUCCACCAGCCUGGAAAAUGAGUAAAGCAGAUUAGUUAAAAUAAUUAGUUAAUUUUUUCCAGUAGCAAGACGUAUAAAGGCCAUGGAAUGUGGAGAUUACUUCUCAAACAAAAUCAAAUUAUAUAAGAGGACUGCAUACCCUUGAUAAAACCAAGUUGCCCCACCAUCCAACUUCACAAAGAUAUCUUUCACGAAACAUCCCCAGUCCAAGAGAGACAGACUUAGAGUUCCAUUCUGGUCCUUCAAUCCUAGAGUAAGCUCCAUGGCCAUGCCUUCAACCUUAGAAAAAGAGGCAACAGUCAGUUUCCUUUGGUUGAGAGACAAAUAAAAAAUGACCUCAACAUCUCAAGAAAAUGAAAACAAAUCUAGCAAAGAGCAAACACUAUCAUAGUUUUUCCUUCAACCAACAGCAAUUAAAAUUGAUAGAAGAGGAGCGUAUAAUUCCCAGGAAAGUGUUGCUAACACUUGAUGUCCAACAAAUCCACCAUUUAAUGACAGGAAAAAUAAACAAAAUAACUACUGAAAUUUUUUUGAAGUUGGCUAUUCAUAUAAGUUUGUCCAACAAUUCAGCAUCCCAUCUUUGAUUCUAUUUUAUUUCCUCAUGUCAUAUCUACUUAUUCUAUCUCAGUUAAUUCAUCUGGCCACCAACUUAUUUAUCAGCUGGCUUCCAGCGACAAUACAAUUAAAUAAAAUAACACAAUAAAUAAAUAAAAUAAGAAACCAAAAACUCUCAAGCUUUCAAUACAACACUAGUUGUACCAGAGCAUAUUUAUAUCUCACACAUGUAGGACAACUACUAAAGUAGCUCCCUAUAAUCAAAUAAUGGUGGGCUAGGGCUUUGGUUUUGCAGGAAAAUGAACUAGUUUUAGAUGAACAAGGAAAAGAUUGCCAGUGGUUCAAGGUAAACUUGCUUCUAAUAUAAAUAUGUUAUCUGCUGAAGCUGUGGGAUCUAGAAAUGCAUUGGGUGGUUAGUGUUUCAACUUAGAAUGAAGCACCUGCAUCACCAUAUGAGGCAGAAGCAAGAGAAAAAGGAAAAAUGAAAAUAUUACCACUAAAGCAGCCCACUGUCCAUGCGAAUUAUGUUUCCUACUCUAUGAACAUUUAGCUAUGAGCUGGAAUUAAAAGGAAAGAUUGGUGAGGUUUCUGAUAGCAAGCAAAAAUCACCGUGUUCCCAUUAGAAUAGCGGUGCCUCAAUCAGGCUAGAAUGCUGUUAUCAGGGUAAGGAGUUUACAGAUAAAAGGAAGGGUAGGUUGCCUGCAUAAUAGUCCAGACCAAAGCAUAGCACGAAAAAGAAGAUAAAGAGAGAACCUCGUAAUCUCUAAAUCCUUCUAGUAGUGUCACCUAGAGGAAAAAUCAAUUGGGUUGCCAUUAAAGAAUGCAAAAUCUGCAGCAAAUUUGUAUCCAUUGAAUUGUUAAAUUGUCUCAGCAAUUCUUGAUUGUGGGAUCAUUUUCAACUAUUAUUACUUGUUCAAUUCAACUUUAUCCUUGGCAAACUCCUAAUGCUUCCUCAAAUGCAUCACGAUUUCAAGAGAGGAGGCUGAUGGAAGAUUUCAGUAUUUGUAAUAUGCAACUUUCACAUACGAGAAAUUUAAGUAAUUUGUUCAUUGUCAGAAAAAUUGAAUUUCUGCAAUUUUCACAAUAAAAUCAUGGCAGGAAUCGCCCUCUGAAUCUCGUAUUGUCCUUCCCAUCUCUCAUGCUAUAUUCAUAUUGCAAUAAGCAUUCCCCAAAUCCAUAACCCUCAAAAUCCAGAUCUCUGUAUAAAAAUACCCCCCCUCUCAACUCUUAAAUCAAUAUUAAACAAAUAAAUUUGAAAAAAGAAAUGCAAACUAAGUGGAUUCAUAGAUUCUCAACAUUAAAGCAAAAGCAAAAGCAAAGUAGGAAUCCUUAUUACAUACCAGAACCGAGGCAGCACCUUUAUCUGAAAUUGGAAACAACCAAGUAUCAUAAGAAUACUUCCAAUUCAUACUCAUAUUGGCAGUACCACCGGAAGCAACUAUAACCACACCAGCCCCUCCCGAACUAACAUAUGAAGUACCCACACCCACACUAAGGAUAGUGAUGUUGGAAAGAAGAAUGUCAACUUGGCCAACAAGUGGGAUCUUCACAAUCUUUUCGAUAGGCUGUAUUUCGAUUGGGGUGAGAGAGGAAACAGCUUUGUGCAUUAACAAAUCCUUGACAAAACCAAGCCCCUUACUGGAUAUGAACACAGAAAUGAAUCCUUCAUCGGAUUUAAUUUGGGCAUCCGUAGGAACAGAAAAAAGGGCUAACACAAUGAAGAAAGCAGCUGGCGCCAUAAGAUUUGAGGAGAGACCCAUAUCAGAAAAUCAAUGAAUCUUCUCUGGUGGAGCAAAGGUGGGCACUGGCACCAAUAUAUAUCAGAGAAUGAAGAGAGAAGUUGGUGCCAUCGUUCUAUGAGAAGAGACCCAUAUGGAAAAUAUGCCCAGAUUAAUGUACCACAGGCCAUGCAAGCAAUUGAGAGAAGAUGCUGGGGAAGAAUUAUGAGCCAUCAUUGCUGCCAUUGUUUUGUUCUGAAAUUUGCAAGCAACUGAUUGCCAGUUAUUUGGUUUUAUUUAAGAGGAAGUUCCUUCUCAGGUUUGGAGUUUGUCCAUUAUAUGAUUUGCAGUUGCCUACUCUGGCCCCUCAAUUCAUAAAUCAUCCACUAACUUAAGAAACUGGGUUUUAUUUUCCUAGGAAGAGGACAAUGUGUACCAAGUUCUCACACAACUGUAAGGCGUGCUGCAUUUAUUUGGGCAUUAUUGUAUUGCUCUAUUGUAAUUUUCAUUUGUGGAUUUUACCAAUGAAAAUGUGAAAUAUUGCAUUUUUAUCAUGUUUUCUUGAUGGGGUAGUUUGUAAAUAUGAAGGUUUCAGCUACUUGAAAGUGAUAUGACUGUGAAAAUGACCUCCAUAGUUCCACUUAAGUGUGAGCGGACAGAGAAAUGACUUCUUGAAUUUGAGCUGAUUUUGAACUUACCCUUCACUUGAAUGUGAGCUGAUGGUGAGAUGACUACUUGGAUUAAAAAGGUAUCAUUCAGCUUAUGACUUCAUCAAGGACAGCAAGGCAUUUAACCUCAUUUGGAUGAUGCCUCUUGUUUUGUUUUUUGGCUUGAUAUGAUGAAAUAUGGGCUACAACAAAGUUUCAGCAAGAAGUAACAUUAUAUGAUACCCUAGCUUUCAUGUUAAGCCUUUUUUGAUAAAAAUAUCCAAACACACUCAGAAAUUCCCACUGAGCUUACAGCAGGAUAUUUUGCUUCUUAAAUUCCAAAUCCAAUCAAAGUAAAGCUUGCUAGAAAAUCCAAAAUGCAUUUACUGCUGGAACCUUUACUGAAGGCAUGUUUCAGUGGGCAAAAGGAAGAGCAUAUAUUUGAGAAUCAAACAAAAACUUGUGAGCUCAUUUAUUCUGGGGUGAGCAGAAAAGGAGAAAAUACUCAACAAGCAACAUUUGUAUAUUGCUUUAUCUAGUAUGGAUCAGUGUCUGCAUUUGCCUUCAUGGAACUGCCUGAUGCUAAGAAAUGGCAGAUUCAGAAGUGUAAUAAGAGGAUCAAAUAUGGGGGAAAUAAUACAGGAAUACAUCCAAGAAACAACCAAAAACUAUGGAUGUUGGAAUGGAACUGAAGUUUCCCAAUAACCUUACUAAAAUUAAUAAAUGAUGAACAAGAGAGGCUUAAACAGAUGGUUCAAUAUUUUUUUUUCCUGAGAAUUUUGAAUAUUGCCUUCAACCAUUCUUGGCAGACUAGUAGCAACCUGCAAAAUGUAAACCUAUACAUUCAAAAGGACCUCAUGAGAUCUGAAACUUUACCACCAUGUUACAGCUUUUCGUCAGUUUCGGGUAACCUGAAAUCUUUGUUACAAAUAUCAUCUAAAGGCAUACUAUGAACCAUAUUUAAAGAGGAACCCGAAGCAAAAGAAAUAGACAGCAUAACUAAAAAGAAAAGAAAAAAAAAAAAAGGAUGAAUUAUAAAGCAAUUUUAUUGCUCCAAGGAAUCAUAACCCAACUUGAAAACCUUUUUCAUGAUGCUUCCAAUUAUCUCCUUCAGGAUCCACAAUCCUAUCUUUUGUGUUCAUAUUUCCAAGAGAAAGGAAAAAAGAUUCCUCCCCUUAUGUGACCCCUUUUCUCUUUGUGGGUAACAGAUUAGGGGUUCUAUAUUCAAUGAUUCAGUGGCACAACAUAUUAUGUAAUACACACUAUUAUUACAGAUAAACAUCAAAAGAUGGUAAAUAUGGGCAAGGAAAACAAGGCAAACCCAUCAAGAACCCAAAAGUCCGAUUCUUCUUGGCCAUUCCAGGGAGCCCAUCAUUGAGAAGCCUAUCCAUUGAUUCUUUUGGUAUCAAUGAGGUCAUUCUUCAUGAUGCAAAUGCAUAUUAUCUUGUCGAUCACAUCAAGCAUAUUUGAAUGAUAACACAAGAGCCUUCUGAACCAUAUUUCAGAGAAAAUAAUCUGGUGCAGGUUUUUUAGCAGGAGCUCCUCUUGAUUCCUGCAUUUGUUACUAUAAUCUUUCAAUGCACCAUUACCAUAAUCAAUACAACAUGAUUAUUUAAUAAGAUAGAAAUGCAGCAAAAAAACAUAAUGUAUAAUGUGUCUUCUGCCUACAGGCCAUGCACAAUCAAGGGUCACAUGCCAUCCAAUUGGUGAAGCAUCACAUAUUGUGUGACUUGUAUAUGGGUUAAUUUCAGAAAGCUUAUCUGGGAAAACACAACGAAGAUUUCAAACCCUAUGGAGAGAAUAUCCCAAAAGUUCUGAAACCCUACAUGUCUCAGGAGUGCCCCUAGUGGUAUCAUAUAGGCAUUGCAGGUACCUUCUACAAAUAACCUGAGAACUUUUGUUCUUUUGUUCACCCAUUGAAUGUAUGGACCCCUCAUCUUAAGGAUAUAACACAAAACAUAGAUGGCUAGCAAGCAUUGUGUAUCAUGCUGCAAUUGCUGCUGCUUGAAAUGAUAAAAAAUUGCAUAAGUAAUUUUCUGCCUUUGUCAACAUUUGUCAACUGCAAAUGGGUAAGUGUACAAACUUGUGGAGCUGCUUCAAACACCCGGAACUCCUUAUUAAGAUUCUCAUCCAGCUCAAGAAUUGCAGCUACAUUACCACAUCUGCAAUGAGUCCAAGAGUGAAAUAAAUCAUAACCAUGGAAGAAAGAAAAUGCAGGACAGAUCAGAAUUGCUAAAUUUACCUGUAACAAUAAUUUGGGGCUGACCAGACGGUAACGAUUUGAUUCUUGAACAUCCACUUGUAUCCUUCCAUUACCAAUUGAUGGGCACGACAUAUAUAAUCAAUAUUAUUCUCAUGGUUAAAAGAAGCGACAACACUGCCACCAAAUAAGUAACCAGCACCCCGGGGACUCAAUCCCCAACCCUCUACAAUGUCUUCGGGAUCUGACCAUAGGAGGUCACACAUGGCACCGUCAUGGGGUACUUCUUGCUUCCGAUCUAUUGUUCGGAUCUGGCAUAGGGAUCGUGUUAGUAUCCAAAAUUAGGUAAAGAAACCUAACCAAAUAGUUCAAGAUAGAUCCUCUAACCUGGUCGAGUGUGGAUAUGGCAGGAGAGAGACCACCAUGGACACUAAAAAUCCUGUUCUCAAUGAGGGCCGACAGGCUGCAAUAAACCACCAUCAAGAAAUUCAAAAACACUAAGUACAAAGAAAUAACAAAGUGGACCUGAAUUUAAGUUGUGCUGGAAGCAGCUUAAUUACUGCAUGACUAGUAAUGACCAGAAAUAUAAUCUGAUGCCCCAUUCCAGAUCUUUCUUAAAGAAAUAUUUGCAUAGAUGCAAAAAAAUGUGUUUGCAUAUUAUACUUCAGCAUGUUUUUGUUUAGUUUCUACCUGAAAAGAAAGUUGGUUUGUUCCUGAAAAGCAGUGGUGCCUGCUUCUCUUAGAAUUCACUUUAAUAGUGAAAUUUCUUGGAUUCAUAAAAUUAAAACAUGUAAUGAAGCAUUGUUUUCAAUGUCAUAUGUGAGGUUCAGUUACAGGUCAUGCUUACAUGCUUUCAAAACACACAUUAUAUGGGAAAAUUGAAAGUGCACUAAAAUCAUAAUGGCCAUAUGGAAAGAAGUAAGCAGCAGCAUACAUGUCUGACACAAGUGCAAUAACUCACCAACCUCAAAAAACCUGAAUUGUAUCUAAGAUUGAAAACAAACAGAAGUCUUGGUGACACACAUGGAUGAUCUAUCCAACAUGACAAAAGACAAAAGGCAAAACUAGCAUAGUCCUUGUUACAUAGCAGUCCUAUCUUAGGUUGUAAUUGUAACUUGUAAUCAUCACUAACUUGCCUGAGUAUCAUAUACAAUCAACUCAAUUUCAUACUAUCCCAAACAUAAUUUGGUUGAUAAUUAUGAAACAGUCACAAAUUUCAUGCUGGAAAAUAUUUGGUCAUACUUUUCAAUUCCCAGCAUUUCCUAACACCCAACCCAAUUGCCACUCUACAGUUUUUACUCCUUCCUUAACUUCCAUCAGACAGAUGCCCUGUGUUUUUUCUAAUGCAAAUUUACAAACCUUAAGUAAUCAAAUAUAUCGGUGCAGUAUCUCCAAACAUUCACAGAACCAUAUUUACGCAGACACUCGUCAUAGAAUCCGUAUACCUGCUAAGAAAGAAUAGACAGUAAAAUACACUCAUCAUAGAAUCGGUAUACCUGCUCAGAAAGAUUAGACAGUAAAUUUGCUGAAUGAUUAAAUAGCCCAAACAAAUAUGUAAAUUAAAGGCUUAACCUGUGUGAUCUGACGACUCUCAUGGUUUCCUCUAAUAAGCGUUAUUCGAUCUGGAUAUCUCACCUGAUUUUACACAACUUGUCAGUUGAAAUCUAAAAUGAACCAAAAGAGAUAAAAAUACUUCAGUCAACUAAGUAAUACUCCUGAACACUUCACCUAGGCAACCAAAGGAUAAAAACCCAACUGGAUUUUUUGAAAUACAUGAACUUGGUCAGCAAGAUCAUAAAUGUGAAAGCUAUUUGCAGGUCACUAUCUGGCAAUGGCAACUUAAGACAGAAAAGGCACGGUCAACCAAUUAAAUUUGAAUUUAUACAAAGCUUCAGGCGCUCCACAUAAUGGGAAUGGCUUCCAAAACAUCAUUAAAAACAGAAGAAUAAGCUUCAAGAUAGCCAGGAAACUAACAAGCAGGUCUUCACAUAUUUAACCAGAAGACAGGACGAACAAAAAUUCUAAAGGAAGUACAUAGUGGCAAGAAAGGACCUAGGGCAGUCUGAAGAAUUACUUUUUUUUAUGGGUAAACACAAAAGAGAAUAUAUUAAAUAGACAAAGGAAGCCCGAAAGGCAACCCAAAGCAUACAGGAAGUAUACAAAAAAUGUCAAAAGGCUAAAAAGAGCAAAACAGGAGGGAAAACAAAAACCUCACCCGUCCUCACCUAGAGCCCAUCCAAUCAAAAAAGUCAAUUAAAGAUAAAGGGUCAGCAUCUAUAUACAACUUUAUCCAAUACCAUAAACUACACACAAAAGAAUACUUCAACCUAUGUACUGAAAACCCUUCAUCAUCAAACGCUAUCCUAUUUCUUUCUUUCCACACCGCUCAAAAAAGGCAAGAAGGAGCCAGCUUCCAAGCUUUUUUGCGCUUCUUGUCCACGAAGGACCCAAACCAACCAAAGAGAGUCUCCCUUACCAAACAAGGGAGCACCCGAGUCACCCCAAAGAGAGCGAAUAAUAACUCCCACAAAACUCUAGUCUUCAUGCAGUGAAUUAAGAUGUGAUUAGUAGACUCCUCUUUGGCUAGACAAAAGAAACAUCUAUCGGCAAGGGACCAUCCCGUCCUUUUGAGUUGAUUCAAAGUUAAAACUUUCCCCCAUGAGGCCUCCCAAGCAAAAAAACCCACUCUUGGAGGAACAUAAGGGCUCCAAAUUAUUUUUCUUGGAAACCGGACUGUACUUUCAGGCUCCUCAGCACUGUAAAGAGACUUAACUGUGAAAAAAACCUAUUUUUUGUCUUUUUCCAAAUCACCUUAUCCUCCAUUUCUGCACUAACUCUCUUACUUUGAAUUGUCAUGAGCAACCGCUCCACCAAGACUACCUCCCAAUCAUUGAAAACCGAAGGGUCCCACACCUCCGCUACCCACUCCUCUUUAGAAACCGCCAAAGCAAACAAAGAGGGAAAAGAGUUGCACAAAGCCUCAUCUCCACACCAAGAGUCCAACCAAAAUCUGAUUCUUCUUCCAUUACCCACGUAAAACACAAUGUAGUUGCUCAACCGAGAACCUUCAUUUCUAAUCUCCUUCCACAACCCCACACCAAAACCCUCCCUACCUUCCCGGAUAUACCACCCCCCUUCUUCCACUUCAUACUUCCUACUCAUAACUUGAUUCCAAAGAACCUCCUUAUCUACCAUAAAGCGUCAACUCCAUUUACCCAAAAGAGCUCUAUUAAGAGUAGAGAGGCAUUUGACACCCAAACCCCCUUUACUUUUAUCCGAGCAAACAACCGACCAUUUAACAAGAUGAAUCUUCCUCUCCAAAGCCCCCCCGCCCCAAAGGAAAUCCCUUUGGAUUUGCUCAAGUCUCAAUCUAACCGAUCUAGGCAUACGCAUAAUUGACAUAUAGUAAAUAGGUCUGUUAGACAAAGUGUUUCGAAUGAGAGUGAGUCUCCCUCCUUUAGAUAUAUAUUGCCUCUUCCAUAAUGCUAAUCUCCUCCAUAACCUCACCUCCACNNNNNNNNNNNNNNNNNNNNNNNNNNNNNNNNNNNNNNNNNNNNNNNNNNNNNNNNNNNNNNNNNNNNNNNNNNNNNNNNNNNNNNNNNNNNNNNNNNNNUAACCUCACCUCCUCCCCAUCUCACACCGCCACUGAAUUGUGAGGUGCACCCAAAGGCAGCCCUAAAUAUAAAGACGGGAGCUUCCCCACCUUACACCCAAGCUCAAGUGCCAGCACCUCCAAAUUCUCCACCUACCACACUGGAAUGAUCUCACUUUUAUCCAGAUUAAUUCUUAAAGCAGAAAUGACUUCAAACCACAACAACACCUAGCUUAGGUGAGCCAAUUGGUCCUUGGAAGCAUUACAAAAAAUCAAUGUGUCAUCAGUGCACAACAAAUGGGUGAGUUGAACUCCCUCACCACCCCUCCCUUUAACCCUAUAGCCUAUCAAAAAACCCCCCACUAACUGCUCUCUUGAUCAAACAGCUCAAAACAUCCAUACCUAAUACAAAAAGAUAAAGAGAAAGGGGAUCCCCUUGUCUCAACUCCCUAGAGCUGUUAAAGAAACCUGCUAGUGUGCCAUUCACCAACACCGAGAAAGAAGCUAUAGAAAUACAUCACUUAGCCUACCCUACCCAUUUGUCACCAAACCCCAUUUUCCUCAAUACCUAGAGCAAGAAAUCCCAUUUUAAAUGGUCGUAUGUCUUUUCUAUAUCAAGUUUACACAUCACCACGCAUUCAUUACUUUUCAAAAGAGAAUCUACAGCCUCAUUAGCUAUUAGCAGUGCGUCCAGAAUCUACCUCUCCUUAACAAAAGCAUUUUCAGACAAGGAUACCACCUUACCCACCACUUGCUUCAGCCUAUUAGCUAACACCUUUGCUAACAGUUUGUACAACCAUCCCACCAAACCGAUAGGUCUGUAAUCUCUCAGGUCCUCAACAUCUCCCUCCUUUGGGACCAGCACCAAGAAGGUAGAGUUCAAACUUCUAACAUGCUCAUGAAAAUCUCGGAAAAAACCCAUCACCUCCUCUUUCACCAAAUCCCAACUAGACUGGCAAAAAACUAAGGAAUAACCAUCUACCCCCAAAGCUUUGUCCCCACCUAGAUCAAAAAGAGCAGAGACAACCUCUUUAACAGAGAAAGGCUCCUCUAGCCUAGUUGCCUCUUCGCCUUCUAAUCUGUCAAAAACUAACCCACCCAAACUUGGACUCCAACCACCAAGGUCCGACAACAAGUGCUGAAAAGCACUAACCACAGCCCCCUGAAUCUCCCUCUCCUCAACUAUCCAAGAACCAUUAAUUUUAAUCUUGGUCAGAUUACUCCUUCUAUGACAAUUCGCCAUCCUGUGGAAAAAACCUAUAUUCCUGUCACCUUCCUUCAGCCACACUUCUCUAGAUUUUUAACUCCGGGAGAUUUCCUCCAUGAGAACUCAUUUCUUAUAUUCCUCCUUGGCCUCCUUUCUUACCUCCCCCUCCUCCACCAAUAAGGCUCUAGACCUCUCCUCACUAUCCCAUAAAUUGACAUGUUGUAAUGCCAAACUCUUAUUCACCUCCACCUUCCCAAACACCUUGUUCUAGGUUUUCAAAACACCCUUAAGAGCCUUCAACUUUGCUGCCAAAAUGAAACUGCUAGAACCCCUGAAAUUGAGCCCUUGCCACCAGUCUUUUAAAAGGUCUUUAAACCCCUUCUUCUUCAACCACAUAUUCUCAAAGCGAAAAGGCAAAGGACCUCUCCUCACCCUUCCACCAUCUAAUAGGAUAAAAUAGUGAUUAGACACUNNNNNNNNNNNNNNNNNNNNNNNNNNNNNNNNNNNNNNNNNNNNNNNNNNNNNNNNNNNNNNNNNNNNNNNNNNNNNNNNNNNNNNNNNNNNNNNNNNNNAGUGCCAAAUCAUCAAUCACCUCUGAAAAUCUUCUCAUUGCAGCCAACAACCUCCCUCCUCUACUACGCUCACUAGGGAACCUUGACACAUUAAAGUCCCCUCCAAUGCACCAAGGGUCAUCCCACAGCUCACAGAUAGCCCCCAGCUCCUCCCAAAAAGGCUCUCUACAUCUCUUUGAUAUGGGACCAUAAACGCCCGUAAAAACCCACACAAAACCAUCCUCGCAAUUUCUAAAACGACAAGAUCGAGAACUGACCCACCUCCAUGCCAAUCAAUUGGAACACUCUGUUAUCCUAAAAAACCACCACCCCUCAGGGAGUUCCCCUCGCAUUAACUGCACCCCACUCCAAAAACCUCCCACUCCAAGACUAUGCACCAAAUCUGAAGAAUUACAAAACAAGAAAAAUAUUGCAAACCAAAAAUCCAUCAAGCUAAAUCAACUUUGUUCAACAUUACAGAGGACAAGCAAUUUUUUUGCCUCCACAUAUGAAUUGAUAAGCCUCCUCCUGCCAGAUGGGGAAUAGAAAACACUUUAACAUAGUUUCCUGCAGCCUCUCCUUCAAAACCAGGACCAAGCAAGACCUUCAUCACUUCCUACACUGAGAAAAACCAGUCAAGAGAUUUUGUUCACAAGGACUCCAGAAGCAAGUUCAUUCUGUGGUCCAGACCCACAUACUUCAGACUGAACAAAAUUUUGUUGACCAGAAAUUAUUUUUUUCCUACUUUGUCUCUAUUAUUUAUGGUAGAAUAAAAUUUAUUUUAUUUUGUGAUUCUCCUCGUCUUUUUGGACUUAUCAUAUGUUUCCUUCAAGUUAGAAGAAUAUUUUACUUCCCUUCUUGUUAAGACUUGAGAGAAUGUUUUAUUUUCAUCUAGAAUAAAAUUAUUUUAUGCUGUGAUUCUCCUCGUCUUUUUGGACUUUCUUAUCAUAUGUUUCCUUCAAGUUAGAAGAAUAUUUUACUUCCCUUCUUGUUAAGACUUGAGAGAAUGUUUUAUUUUCAUCUAGAAUAAAAUUUAUUUUAUGCUGUGAUUCUCCUUGUCUUUUUGGACCUUCUUAUCAUAUGUUUCCUUCAAGUUAGAAGAAUAUUUUACUUCCCUUCUUGUUAAGACUUGAGAGAAUGUUUUAUUUUCAUCUAGAAUAAAAUUUAUUUUAUGCUGUGAUUCUCCUUGUCUUUUUGGACUUUCUUAUCAUAUGUUUCCUUCAAGUUAGAAGAAUAUUUUACUUCCCUUCUUGUUAAGACUUGAGAGAAUGUUUUAUUUUCAUUUUUCUGAAUUAGGAGAACUAUUGUUUUUGUUCAGCAGCAUGUACAUGAUUGAGGAUGAUGAAUGGAAAUGAGUUUUUUCUUUCAACAUGGUAUCAAAGCAGGCAUAAAACCUAGGACAGCACCCACCACCAUAACCAUCCAUUACCCCUAAUCUCUUUAUACAAAUAGCCCAAAACCUUUCAUGGACCACCUAACCAUCAGUUUCUGAAUUCCCUAUGCUUUCUUAUCUAUCUUCAACACCCUUCAUUGAUAACUAUGGUAUGAAGUUCGUUAGUACCUACUGCACCCCAUGGAGCCAGUGUUUUCUGUUAUGCCGUUAAACUUAAUGGCACCAAUUCUGCUUCAUGGACAAAAACUGUUGAGAUCCAUCUGGUAACACGGGGAAGAAAGAAAUAUCUAUCUUUGUCUAAAGAUACAAAGGAGUUCACUCUCUAGAAAAAACAGACACUAGGGUAAUGACUUGACUCUAAAAUAGCCUCUACCGCUAUGUUCUUCAAUACAAGUAAAUUUGGGAUGCACCAAAAAGAGGCAUAGUCAGGUUCACAAUAUUUCCAAAAUUUAAGACUAUUUAGCAAUCUUCUAAUCGUUAUGGAGUCCUGCAGAGAGUGUGGGAGGAACUCAACGUCUGCCAUCCUCUCACCACCAAUCUUAAGGUACUUCAUAAACAAAGAGUUCAGAAUAGCAAAAUUCUCAUCCAACUAAAUCCAGUAUAUGGGAGUUCUAAAAAUAGAAUCUUUACAAGAAAAAAGGAGUUGUCAUCAGUUGUGAGACAUAUGCUCCUCUCCAAAGAAUAAGGUUAUCUUCCUUAUCUUAGUGAAACAUAUUCUUGUCUCUAAAGAAUAGGAUUAUCCUCCUUAUCUAUUUCUAAGCCUACAAAUCAAUCAUCUCCAGAAGGUUCUACACUUUUCUUUUUUGGAGGUUGUGGAAGAGGAAGCUCCGAACAUGGUCUCAAAUAUGGUAGAGGCUGAGAAGGUAGAUUUCUUUGCAUUCAGUGUGGGUGUAACAAUCACCCUUUAGAGAAGUGUAGAAGUAGGAUAAAAUUUGGUAAGCCAUGAACUAAUCAAACUCAUAUGAUAUUUUGACUCACUUUCUGGGAAAUUUUGGCAUCAGUACAUAUGUACUUUUUAUGACUCAACCCUUUAUUUCUUUGAUUCUAGCACUAGUCUUGGUCUAGUCUUGAGUUACUCAUCUUUUUCACUCCUAUCCCUGUCCCAACUCCAAUAAUAUCAUCACCUCAACCACUAAAUGUAAGAAAGAGAUUUUUGACAACAAAGUAACCAACAAGAAGAUAUCUCUUAUUACCAUGCCUUCUACCAUAAAACUAACUCGAAUAAAGAUCCUAGUUCAUUUCGUGUUAAUGCAAUUUUACACCUUGACUAACUUAUUGCUCUCAAGAAAGGAAACAGAUCCACUUUCAAGUAUCCAACUUCAUAUCAUGUUUCUUUUGACAACCUCUCUUCCUCUAUUUGUUCUUUUACUUUGCCUUUGUCUGAUAUAUUCAUUCUAAAGAACUAUCAUGCAGCACUUCCUCAUCUUGUUUGGCAGAUUGCCAUGGGGGUUGAGAUGAAAGUUUUUUGUGAUUAUGGCAGUUAGGUUUUACCUAAUUUUCUAUCUGGUAAGGAAGUUGUUGAAUGUAAGUCAGUAUUUACAAUCUAAUCUCAACCUGAUGGGUGAAUCCAAAAUAAAGGUUUGAGAUGUUUCUUUAGUUUCCAAGCUUAAUUUUGUUUGUAUCCUUAUAUCCUUGGUAAUUUCCAUGACCAUGCUUUAUCAACUUGAUUGAAAAAUACAAUCUUAUAUAGCAACCUAUAGGAAGAAGUUUUUAUGGUGCAACCUCCAUGUGUUGCAGCUCGGAAAGGAGGUGAGACAAGGUUUGCAAACUGAAGAUAGCAAUUUAUGGUUUAAAACAAUCACCAGAUCCAAUUUGAUCAAUUAAGUGAAGUUCCUGCUUCCCUCUAGUUUCAACACUAACUCUUUGAUGAUUCUGUGUUUGUAAAGCACACCAUCAUCCUUGUUCAUGUGAAUGAUAUAAUUACUUUUGAACUGAAAGACAUAGAGGAGGUAAAGAGUCAAUUGAAGAAACACUUCCAAUUAAAAAGACUUGGGAAAGCUCAAGUAUUUUCUUAGCAUUUAAGUCACUAAAAGCAAAAGACAAAUGUUCUAUCCCAAAGAGAAGUAUGUUCAGAACUUCUUUACAAAAACUGGUAUACUAGGUUCAUAACAUCAGCUACUCCUAUGGAUCCCGGCUUACAGUUGACAGAUGAAAAGAGUAGUUCAUUUGAUGACCAAAGAAAAUUAUGAGCCACUAAGAAAAUUGAAUUUUUUACAAUAACAAGGCUAGAUAUUACAUUUGCUAUCAGUUCUAUCAGUGAAUAUGGGUACCCUGGAUAAAUCCAUCAAGAAGCUGAUUGUACAGUCCUUCGAUAUUUCAAACAAACAACUGAUGUAGAUGUGUUAUACAAAGAGGGUGGUAUUCAAGUGGGUUUCCCGUCCUGGACAGACUUCAUUAUCUAGUUGGGCUCUAAGUAUUAGACUGGAGUUGUAGUUGUGGGUUGUGUCUUUUUGCUUUUUAGAUGUAUGCUUUUUGAGUAUUACGUGCGUUCCCUUUUGUUGGCUGGUGCUUUCAAUAUAUUUUCAUAUGCCUAUCAAAAAAAAAUGUGUUGAAAAAAAAAGUCAAAGUUUGGAUGUGCUUAGCUUCUCAUAUGCUAAUUAGCCAGGUUCUAAGUUUGAUGGAAGAUUUACCAAUGGGUAUUUUACUUUUGUAGGUGGUAAUUAGCCACUUGAGGAGCAAAAAGUCAGACAUUGAUGCCAAAUCUACCAUAGAGUUAGAGCAUUGUGCAAUGGCUCCUAAGGCUUGUGAACUUAUGCAGAUAAAGCAUCUGCUGAAGGAACUGGGAGUUAAUAUUAAAAACCCUUCAGUAGCCUAUCAAAAAAAUAUAUAUUUUAAAACCCUUUGGCAAUGUAAUGUGAUAUCUUGCAACUUAUAUUGCUGGUAAUCUUUUAUAUCAUGAGAGAAACAAAACACAUUGAGGUUGACAGUCAUUUUAUUAGAGAGAUGCAUAUGAAAGGAGAAGUUAUCAUUCCCUAUAUCAAGUAAGAAGAUCAAAGAGAAUAUUAUUUCACUAAAGUUAUGGCCAAGGGUGCUUUCUUGCAUCUUUGCUCCAAGCUGAGCAUUGACAACAUCUAUGCUUUAACUUGAGGAGUGUCGAAACUAUUUAUGGUGGAAUUACAUAUUUAUUUUGUUUUGUGAUUCUACUUUUUUGACUUUCUAAUCAUAUUUUCCUUUUAAGUUCAAAGAAUAUUUUGUUUCCUUUUUGUUAAGAUAAUAUUUUAUUGACCCCUAUAAUUAAGUUGGGUCAUUCAUGAUUUGAUGUUUCAAAUGGAGAUCCUCUUCAAUUAUAUGUGUUCAUUGGGUUUGUUGGAUAGAUCCAAUUUCUAUUAAAUUCUAGUCUCUGUUCUUCCGGAAUUAUGUCUUAUGAAAUUCAUCUGACCAGCCUAUUACCAUUACCAUACUGCUUUCCAUUCAAUAUAUUGAAAACUUUAAUGGUGCAGAGCAAUUUUUCACCAAAUAAAAAUUAUUUGAUUAGAAAGGUGUGGUCCCGUUACCCACAUUCAGUCACUAGAACACUAAAUAAUGUGCCUACUUAUGUACAUGCUAGCAUACAUGUGAAAUCCAGGAGUUAAUCUGAAAAGGUAUAAUUUUUAUUUUUUUUCUUUUGAUAGGUAAAAAAGCAAUUAUAUUAAAAAAUCUGGAAAAGGCGCACCAAAGUACACACGAAGAAUACAAACAACACCAACAGGCAACCACCACCCAAACAUAACCGAAGCCCUAAAGACCUAGUAACCUAGCAUGCCCCCACCCAACCCUCUUGCCUUCUUCGUUCCCAUCCCCAGAAAUUUCCCACUCCUUGGUUCCACUCCCUUAGGGCCAACAUCAGAUGCACCUUUGAUUUCUUAAAGCAAAGUAGAUCUUCCCCUUGAACCAUUUGAGAGGAACUUCAGCUUUACCCUGCAAAUUUUGAGAUGGAUCCCCACUGCUCCUCCCCCUACCCCUAUCUUAAUACAAGAUAGCUUUUAUAAUUAACCAAGCAUUCUAAAUUCCAAAUCUCCCUCUUUUUUUUUCUUUUUUUUUGAUAGGUAAAUGAGAGAAUAUAUUAAAGAGCGCUAGCAAAAAGGCGCAUUAAAGUACACAACGAAGUAUACAAUGCACGCCAAAGGGAUAGCAAGAGAGAAAGGGAAAUAUCAACCACCCUAAAGCCAACCAAACCACAACAUCCUAAAACAAACGGACUCUCCCUAGCAGGAAAGACCAGCACUAAAAACACAAGAGGAGAGCAAUUGUAGUUAACCUAUCAAAUCUCCCUCUUGAAAUGGGAUAUUGGGAUUGGCUUUCUUUUCCCCCCUGAAGGGAAGCCAUUACACUGCCUCCUCGCCUCCAUCUUCCUUAUAAGGCAGAUAAUUUCCUUUCCAAAACCCACAACUAGCACCCCCACAAAAUUACCAAAACUUGCCAACUUACAACAAAGUGAUUAGGAAUAUUAGUAGUUUGAUUUGGAACAAAUUGAAAGGAUUUUGGUUUUAGCCUACAAGGUUUGUAAAGCAACUCUUCUUAUUUGCAGCAUUAACCCACACAGUUUAUGAACUGGGGGGCAAUUUUCUUAAUGAAAAAAUCUCUAAUGUUUCCCAAAAAAGAAUAUUAAAAAAGACAUUCAUAUUGCUAAGUUCUUAUGUCUGACUCAUUACAGACGUUUCAUAUAGCUAUUAGAAGCAGCAGCAAAGUCACAGUUCUACUGUUUGAACCAUGGAUUUGACUUCAACUUUGCAGACUAAUUCCAGAUGUUUGAAAAAGUAAGUGCCUGAAGAAACCAAAGAGAUUUAUGCAUAACAUAGUAGUAAAGUUGCACAGAUUCCCAACACAAGAUAUUAUAUUAUUUAAUUCUCACACUAGGAGAGACAGGUUGAAGAAAUGUGAUAGGUUAGCCAUUGCAGAUGCUUUGCUCAUUCAUCCCUCAAAUAUAAUAGAUAAGCUAUGAGAAUUUUUAUUAAAGACGAUGUGAUAAAAAAAUGAUACAACAAUAAACACUAUACACAGAAUCCAUAUUUGGAAAGAAAACAUACAAGAAAUUGCCUCAUGGAAUAUAAAGAUAGCCUAGCGAUAGAAUCAUCACAAUUGUGGAGCACAAGUUAACUAAAAGGCAUCAAAGAACUAAUCUUCCUCACAAAAAAUCUCAUACAUUCCCAAAUUUGUUAAAUAAAUAAAUUAAAAUAAAUUUCUUUAUGGAAGCGACACCUGGUUAUUUUCUCUAUGUUUUUUGCCUUACUCUAGUUUUUUGGACAAUAUCCAAUCAAAUGAAAUGGCUCAAAUUGUUCAAUAGCAUUAUCAAGGUUGAUAAUACCUAGGUGUGUUACAACAAAUGGGUGGCACGCAUCUUAUAUCACUAAUCUUAAAUAGGAACUAAAUUAAAGAAAUAAACAGCCCAUCAAAUAAGCUUUUCCUUAGGGCUGCAACUUGAGCAGGUUUAACAAACCUAGCCUAAACACAACCUGAUUUUGGAUAAGCUUGGGCAGUUGUAAUCUAGGUUGGACAUGAGCAAAAUCAAGUUGCCUUGGGUUGGCACAAAAGGUAACUUGAAUCCAACCCGUACCCAAUUGUCUAUUCUUAUAAAUUUAAGCACACAUGUACAGUUAUACAUAUUUAAUAUUUUAAACUUUCUAACCUAAUCAAAUACAAAAAGAGUUUAAAACCCUAAAUCUGCUAAACAUAUUUCUUGUAUUUAAUGUAGCAUAGGGUUAAUGUUAUUAUGUUGAUUUUACAUAUUGGAUUAGCGAUUUCUAAACUUUCUAAUGAAAUUGAUGUAAACUAUAGUUUUUAAUUCUUUUUAAGAACAGGUUCAUUAGUAAAAGAUUUAAAUGAGAUGAAUGUUAUAUAUAUAGCGAUUAGUUUUAAAAGUUGAUUUUGAUAUAAUUUUUUAUUGCAUUUCGGUUAGCUAUUCUCACAUUUGGUUUAGAAACUUUAUAGUUAAUUUCAUUGUUAAAUGUAAGUUCAUAGUAGGUUGAUUUAAAAAGGAAAAAUUAAUUUAAUAGUCAAUUCCUCAUUAAAUAAAUGAAAAUCUCAAAUACUUAUUUUCAGCUCAUCUUAAUGCGAUUAAUCCAUAUUUUUUGACCCAUAAAACCCACCUAAUCCAAGCAAACCUAUAUGUACUUUCACUAACCCAAGGUUAACCUAAUCUCAACCCCAAAUUUAAAAAAAUAGGCUUGAAUCGAGCUAGAGCUUGAGAUCCUGGAUUGAGCAUCGACAUUGAUUAGGUUUUAGAUACAUGAGUUUCAUGUUUGGCUUGAGCUUGGAUUGACCAUCAACCCAACCUGUCAAGUUCCACCCCUAAUUUUCCUUGGAAAGACCAUACUCUAGAAGCAUGGAUGCAAAGAAUUCAUUCCCUGAGCAUUUGAACGAAAUGGCUGGAAUGUCAAACCUCUCAAAACAAAGUAAACAAGACCUCUGGAAAAAAUCCAAUUUCUAGCACCUGGAUAUAUAAUUGGACAGGGCCUGUCUCAUCCAAAAGAAAUCAUGUAUAAUUUUCCAAGGAAAAAGGAUAUGGAACAUUACCUUCAGAGCUAGCAGAAGCAGAAAUGUUUCAACAGAGUAAAAACCUCUGUCAACAAAAUCUCCAAGAAACAAGUAGUUUGUCUUUGGACAAUCACCUCCUACUUUGAAAAGCUCUUUCAUGUCAUAGAACUGCCCAUGAAUGUCACCACAUAUCUAUUUAAACAAAAACAACCAAAUAAGGUCAAGAAACCUAAGCAACAAUUAAGAUCAACAUUCAGAAAAUUUAUCAAAGAAAUGACCCCACAAAGAUACAAGUUUAUAGGGUUUGUGGAAAACAGUGAUUAUACAAAUGGAGUUUCCAUUAUUUGCACAAAAACAAAAAAAAGGAACAUUACUAAGGGAGAAUGCUAAUUCUUUGCUUUCUUUUUUUUCUUUGAAAAAAAACCAUAAUAAACUUUAAAAUGGGAAUUAUAUUGGCUCAACAAAAGGAUGUGAGUACUUUUCCACCAGUUGUUACUUUUAGUGUCACAUUGAUCAUAAUCCACCACUUGAUAAGCCACAUCUAGCAGGUCUCCAAGCUUCGAAUGGUCAGUCCAUUUAAAAGAUUUUAAAUGAGAUUCCAGGAAUCCUCCUGAAAGCAUGACAGACAGCAUGUCUAGUCCAAUUAAUGGAACUUUUUUAUAAGACUAGUUAAUAAAACAAUUUAUCUCAGGAUGAUAGAGUAUAAUUUAAAGUAGGAGCUCACAUGAUUAAAAUUUACCAAUGUAAACUCAACAUUGAGGCAUCAUAACCUUUAACUAUUUAUAAAAAUGAAUGUGCAAAACUUAUGUAGGAAAUCUCUAAACUAUAGUAGCUGCAGCAACAUCUCCAACUAAUUACUUCCUUCAUUACUUCAUGACAACUAGGGUAGCAAAUGGACCACAUUUAGGUUUGGGGUUCGAUUCCUAAAACUUUAGAUAGCCUUGGUCUGAAGCCAAACCUAAAUAACUUGAAUGUCCCAGUCCAACCACUCAUUUUAUAGAGCUAAAUACAACCAAACAGUUAAAUAACUCAAAAUCGCCUAGUUGUCACCAUGAACCAUAUGCUUGAUGUUCAAAAUGGUAUCUACAUAGUCCAACAAGUUAAAUUAUACAAAGCAACAAACUCUGUAACUAUCUCACAAUUUAUCGUCAUGGGACAGCAUGCACAUAAAAAUAGGCUCAAUGUCUCUUAUUGACUUUAUAGAUUGGGUGCAUUCUUGGCGAGGGAGGGAGUGGUUGUCUUUGGGCUGUCCUCUCCCUCUAGGGUUGUUUCUAUUGGUACUCUCUAUAUACACCCUGUAUACCUUGGUGUAUAGCCUCCUUGUUUGUUAUUUAUAAAAUUUACCCUUUAAAAAAAAAAGACCUGGUACUCAAGCAAACCAAUUCCCUAAUUCAUAUUCACACGGAAUAGGUCCAUUAAAAGAUCAACUAAGCCUCUAACCCAAACCAACUGGGCCAACCCACACAUCACACCAAAUCCAUAUUCAGAUUAAUCUCACAUAAUGACUACUUAAACUGUCCAAGAGACCAUCAUAGGAGCAACUCAAAUUCUAAGCCACUUACUCAAGUAAAGACCUAACACAAAUUCGAUCAUUACUAAAGUGAAACGCAGGGGGUUAGUUGAUUCAAAACAAGUUGCAAAGAAUCAAAGAUUAUAAGCCAGUUUUCUUUAGAGGUAACAUACAUGUGCAUGAGGGAUGUUCACAGUACCUGGAUUGAAAUCCAAGUAUGUUCCUCGUUACAAGCCAACAUAUUAAAUAACAAUCUGCUCUAAUUUCGAACACUGGCCUGAGCCCCAAUUUCACAAUCCAAUAUGUUGUCAAAUAAUAUUAAGUUCAGACACAAAAAAAAUCAUCCUGCUACCUACUUAGGGUUUAACACUCAAAAAGUACCAAAAUGCUUCUUCUAAAGCAUCCAUUCAAAGAAUUCACAAAGUUCCUCCCCCACUUCCUUCUAGUUAUUAAGACAAUAGAAUUAAUAUUCAAAUAACAUCAUCUUCCUCGCAUACACAUGUAGAUAGAGAGAUUUAGAUUUUCAGUUAAAAUUUUGACAAACAUGAAAAUUUAAACACAACCCAGUUUUCCAAAAUCACUCAACCAUGAAAGCCCAAAACCAGAUCGAACCCAAAACCCAAAAAAAUAAAAAAAUAAAAAGCCCUGCCCAGCAACCGCUGCUCCCACUCAAUCACAGACGCCCAAACGGAGGAAGCUAGCUCAAUAAACGCACACCCCCUGUCUCCUCUAAUUUGGUUUUACCUCCCUACUGGGUAUCCGCAAUAGAGAGAGAAAGAGAGAGAGAGAGAUAGAGAGAGAGAGAGAGAGAGAGAGAGAGAGAGAGAGAGUAUUGAGGCAUACCGUGACAGGAGCAUCGACCCUCUGAACAUUGCUCUCUUCAACCAGGAUUUCCAUGGCUUUGAGGCAAAGGGCCUUCACUUCCGACUCCUUCAGAGGCUCGCACUUCUUCAGCUGCUCUAUUUGCCUGUCUAGGUCUGACAUCUCUCUCUCCCCCCCUCUUCCUUUGACCCAAUAAAUACCUCCUUAUAAGGUUUAUUCCUUCACCCUCCCACCCCCCUCUCUCUCUCCCCCUCUCCCCCUCUCCCUCCCUCUCUGUCUCUCCCUCUGGUGUGGUUCACUGCCUUUUGUGGGUCUCUCUUUGUGGCUGUGUGGAGCUUUAUGCAUUUGGACCUCUUGCCGCUCUACUUUGGUAUAUUUCCCAUCUUCCCUCCUAUUCUCUUUGUAUUUUUGGUUUUGCCCUUUUCUCUCUGCCACUCCUAAAUCAUAUAUUUAAAUCUACAAAAAUAAAUUUGCGCCACAACAUUUUUUCUCAAUUUUAAUUGAAAUUAUAAUUAAAUACACAAAAAUAAACUUUCUAUCCCUACUCUUAUUUAAUACGGAUCAUGACACAAGGCACCUUCUAACCUUUCUUAUUUAUCAAAUUUAAGAUAAUUAUUUUUAAUAUUAUUUAUCAAAUUAAAAAUAAUUAUUUUUGGUGUUGGAGAUGUGCCCCAUCAAAAGUCGUGGUUCAUGUCACAUGACCUUUUUAUAUCUUAUUGGCGCAUGUGGGUUUCCAUGGCCUAUGUGGUGACUGGUGGGUGACAACUUGGUCUUGGAAUUAUAUUUGAUAAAAUGAGAGAAAAAUGGAAAGGAAGAUACAAUUCAUAGGAUUUAAGGCUUAUUUGGUAAUGAUUUUUCAAAAUAAUAAUUAGUAUUUUUAAAUGGUAUAUUUUAAUUAUUUUUAUUUAUUUUAUGAGGAUUAUUUUAAAAAAUAAUCAUAUAAAUAUGGAUAUAUAAAAAUUAUUUUUAAAUUAUAUUUAACAACAUAAAAAACAUUCUAUAAGACAUUUCAACUUCCAAAGCAAAACAUGGUGUAACAAUUUCUAAAAAUUGUUUUUUAAAAUCGUUUUCAAAACACUUUCCAAAACUUUAUCCCUUUAUAUUUAUAUUUAUACUAUUUAUUAUAUGGUAUGAAAAUAUAUUUUUCAUGAAUAUGUUUGUUUUAAUGCGGUUAAAAAAGAAAAAUGAGAGUAUUUUAUAAAAUAAAAAAUACUAAAAACUAAUUUUUAAAUAAUAUAAUGUUUUGUUCAUUUAUAUUAAGGUGUGUGAAACCUAAUUGUUAUUUUAAUAGUAAAGGCAUUUUAAAUUGGGGUGUUUUAGGGAUGUUAUACAUAUGAUUUGGUUAUUCUAUUUAUAUUAUGUUUGGAGUAACCAACUUUGUCAUAGUUUUAUUUUUUGGGUAUUAAAAGAGAUAGAAAAAGUCGAGAGAAAAACCUAGAGGGUGAUUCUUUUUUAAAUUCUCUUGUAACAAUAUACACUCAACCAUGAAGAUAUUGUGCACUUUGAGCCUAAAUGGGUCUCACGACUUUAAAAUACGUUUACAAGGUUAGGAAGGGUUCAUACUUAUAUAACGUCAAUAAUUUUUCAUCUAUUUGAUGUGAAAUAUUAUAAACACCCCCGCAAACACAAAUGGGAUUAUAGGGUCAAUAGCUAAACAAAUCUUCACACGAGGGUGAGGGAUUUUCUCCGAUACCAUUUAUAAUAACCCGCACUCAACCAUGUAGGUAUUGUUUGUUAUUUCCCUAAGGAACUCUCAUGGUUUUAAAACACAUCUACAAGGUUAAGAAUGACUCAUAUUUAUAUAGCACCCAUAUAAUUUCCUUAACUUAGAGGUCUCAAGUUCAACUCCUUGUCGAUCAAGUAGGAUCCUUUCCCAAUGAUGAGAAAUAAAGUAUAACACGUCCCCACUAAUAAAUACAACAUUGAAAUUGUGAUGCCUCACAUCAAGUAAUGGAAAAAGUUUAUGAUGCUAUAUAAGUAUGGACUCUCAUUUACUUAGUAAACAUAUUUUUAAGUCGUGAUGAUCUUUUUCAACCUUGAGUAUAUAAUAUCUACAUAAUUGAGUGCAAGUCAUUACAAAUGGUAUUAAAGUCGAUUUAUGACCUCGAUGUGGAGGUUUGUUUUGCUUCAUAAUGGGUGUUUGUUUGUUUAACCCCGUAAAGAGUGUUUGUCUGUUUGACCUCGUAAUCUCAUGGGACACAAUAAGGACAUUGUAUUUAUAUGAGAGGGAAGAUGUUUGUGAUGUCUCACAUCGAGUAAGGGAAUAGGUUCAUGGCACCAUAUAAGUAUAGACUCCCCUUGAUAUUAUAAAUGCGUUUUAAAGUUGUGAGGACUCAUUAAACCUAGAGCAGACAAUAUCUAUAUGAUUAGAUGCGGGUUAUUACACCUCUUAUACUUUAUAUUCAUCGUAAUAAAAAUUUGCAGGUUAUAAGUGGACGUAACUCUUACAUUAAGAGCGAACCACUACAAAUCUCUCAUGUGUUUUUGUAUUUGAUUUUUUGUAUUGAUUUAUUAUUGCUUUUGGAAAUAGGAUUAGGGUAUUUUAAUCCUAACAAUUUAAACGGUUUUAUUUAUAAAUAUUUCAAUAAUUAUAGUUGUUACACAUAUUUAUAGUAAUUCAAUAGUGCAAUUUAUCCAACAUUCAUAACACAUAUGGAACCAUAGUUUAGCAAGCUCUUGAUUAUUUUUCAUCACAACAUAAUUUUCUUUUGAACUUGCUAAAAAAUAUUGUUCAUACAAACUACAAAUUACCAUUUCUCAAAUUUGGAAAAAAAAAAUUGUAAAUCUGAAAAAAUGAUUUUGUAUGACAGUCAACCGAUGCUACAUCCAUAAUUACUGGACCAUCUCAAACACAAAUGUGAUAUAAAAAAAAUUAGAUAUCAGAAAAACUUUAUUGUAAAAAAAUAAAAUAAUAUAUAUAUAUAUCUAUAUAUAUGAUGAAAAAUAUGGCAAUCUAAAUGAAUCAUUCUUCUCAAAUUUAAUUUUUUUCAACAUAAUUUUUAUUUAUUUGAAUAUUAAUAAACAAAUUAAUAAGAAUAAAUGUAUGUUGAAAAAAAAAAUGGAAAAAGAAAGAUUAAAAAAAAAAAAAUUUAUAUAUUUGAACUUCUUGGACGGUACUAAUCACCCCCAAUAGUACUUUAGUAAUCCGUUUAACUUUUUUAAAAUUUACAAAUACAUUAUUUUAAAAUAAGUUUUAGUUGUUUUAACUUUCAAGUUUAAUUUUUAAAAUUUUAAUUAAUUUUAAUUAUCAUAUGUUUGUUAUAUAAAAACAAAUUAAAAUUUUAAUUUUAUGAUUAAGUUUUGUUUAAUAUUUCAACUAUAAAAUAUUUUUAAUCUUAAUAAUGAAAUAUGUAAGAAUUUUCAUAGUUAUUUUUUAUUUAAUAAUAUGGUAUUUAGAAUUAAAAUGUAUUUAUUAUUUUUUAAAUUUUUUAACAUUUACAAUUAAUAAAUUUAUAUGAGGUAAAAAUGAGUUAUAUCAUAUGUAAGCUAGAGUACGGUUGAAUGAUUAUGUUUCUAUUCAAAGUGUUUUUAAAUGAUUAUGUUUCUUUUCAAAGUGUUUUUAGCAAAAAUAUUUUUUUUAUAAGUAUUUUUAAGAGUUCGAAAAACACUACAAAUGAUUUUUAUUAAAAGUGUUCCAUUAAUUUUACUAAACACCAAAUUUUUCAUCAAAAACAUUUUUUAAACUAAAAGUGCUUCCUAAAAUCAUGUCAAAUGAUUUUUAGAAUCAAUUUUAACUCGAAAUGUUUUUAGUAAAAGUAUUUGAUUUAAAAGUGUUUUAGGAUAAUUAUUUAUCAAAUGUUCAUCCGUAAUAAUUUUUCAAAAAUUUAAAAUUGUUUCUAAAUUUUGUCAAACACUUUUUUUUUUUUUUUUUUCAAAAACACGUUUUGGCUUAAAAGCGCUUUAUAUAAUCACCAUCAAACAAAAUCUUAAAGUAUGUUUGGUUGUAAUUCUAUAAAACAUUUCUAACAUUUUUAACACUUAAUGAUAAACAAUUUCAAGUGUUAAAAAUGUUUCCUAUAAUAACUACCAUGUCAUAAUUUAAUGCAAUUAAGUAAACAUAAUUAAAAGGUUAUAAACAUAUAAAUUGUAAAUAAAUCAUUUUAGAGUGCGUUUGACCAUUUUUUUACUUGAGUAUUUUUAGUGAAACUAUUAUCUUGAUGAAUGGAAAUUAAUAAGGAAUAGAGAAUGCUACAAGAAGGUAUUUGGUACACGAGAAUAAAAAAUGUAAAUAAAUGCUCUAUUUCUAUUCCUAUUUUUUAGUGAAUGGAAAUAAGUUUGGUAAUUCUAUUUUUAGUGUUUGGAUGAACUUAUAAAUUCAAUAUUGGAAUGAUUAUUUGUUUUCAUUCUAUGUUUGCUAAUAAUGAUAAUGACAAUGAAAAAAUAAAUUAACAAUAAUACCCUUACAUAGUUUAAAAUAAUUUAUUUAUUUUCAUUUAAAAAUAAAUAAAAUUUGAGAGUUUUUUUUUCUUUAAAUGAUAAGACUAAAAAAAAGUCUUAUUAUGGGAUGAAGAGGUAUCGGGCUUGAUGAAUGAAAUCUAAGGGUAAAAAAAUAAUUUUAAACUAUUUUAUAUUUUUUUAUGAGAUAAAUGAAUCAAAAUACCACUUUCACUUAUAAGUGGAAUUUGAUUUCUUUUGUAAUAAUUUUUUAUUCAAUUAUUACCUUUAUAAAUUUGAUCCAAAUAUGAGAAUGAGGAAAUGAAUGAAUGAGAUGCCCAUUCCCAUGUAUCAAACACAUUAAGUGAUUUUUUCUUUUUUUAAAUUUUACUAAUUUUUUGAACUCUCAAAAUUUUUUUCUGCUCUUGAAGCUAAUUCUUUCAGAGCUCUUGAAUCCUUGCCAAACUCUGCCUCAGGAAGAAGCCUUGGAGUUCUAUUUAUAGCAGAGGCUCUGGGCUUCAUGAAGGUUUUGUUUCUUUGAUUUCUUCCACGUAUAUGAGGAUGGCAGAAGGUAAAUUUUACUAUACACCUUAUUUAAAUAUAUAUAUAUAUAUAUAAAAUAUUUUUAAGAUUAAAAACACUCCCUACAAUUAUUACCAAAUAAUUAAAUACACAAAUUAAAUACCAAAUAAUUAAAAAUAAUUACUUUUAAUGCACGAUUGAUUUUAUUUUUGGUAUAAAAUAUCCUUUUCAAGUUAAGAAUGACUUUAAUUUAAAAGUUUUUUAAUAAAUUAAAAGUAUGUUUUUAGAGGACAUUGGACAAUUUUUUUUAGUAAUUUUUUAAAAGUAUAUUUAAAAGAAUAAUUUAUUUUAAUAAAAUCACUAUAAGUAAUUUUUUAAUAUUAUAAGUGAUUUUUUAGAUUUUAAAAAAUAUUUAUAACAUUUCUAAUACUUGAUGAAAAUUUUAAAAUAUUAAAAAUAUUAAAAAUACUUUUUAUAAUUACUAUUAAACGAGUUUUUAAUAUAAAAAUAUUUUUAAUAAAAAUAUUUUAUUUAAAUAUAUUUUUAAGAAAGUUACUUAUCAAAUAUUUUUUUUAAAAAUACUAUAAAUAAUUUUUAAAAUUUUUAAAAUUUUAGACUAAAAUUAUUUCCUAAAAUUAUUAUCAAACCAAUUAAAAUCAACUUUUACUUUUCACAUGGGAGGAAAGUGUAAGUAUGCUUUUUAAAUAUAAAUAAAUUAUAUUAUACAUAAAAAAAAAAAAGAGAAUAUUUAAAAUUCUGUUGAAUAUUACUUAAAAAAAAAACAUUUUUCACAAAAAGCACAUUCAAAUACGAUGUUAGUCUAUUCGAAGAACUUUUCAAACGUCUGUAGAAGUGUUUGACUGGAAAUUCGUGUUUCGAAGAAGUAGAAUGAUACAUUGUUUUCCUCAAAUAAAAUAAUACAUGUUUUUCCUUAAAUAAUUAAAAUAACAAAUUUUUAAUUAAUUGUUUUAAUAUUAUUAUUGAGUUGUCAGCUCAAUGAACGUAGACGGAACUCUCAAAAAAAGUAGUUAAAAAACAAUAAAGAACUUUAUCAAAAAAAUUAAAAAAUAAAUGGAAAAAUGACCUUUUUUUUUUAAAUUUUUUUUUAAAAUUUUAAUCCAGAUCAAAAGUGGGGAAAAUAAUUUAGUGGGUCCCAAGGUCUAAUGAAAUAAACCAUUGAUGAGAGUAAAUGGGAAAGUAGUGGAAAGAUUUAUUGAUAAAGCAGCGACCCAUUUAUUACUUCCACCUGGUGCUAUCAAAGGGAGGAUGUCAUUUCCGAAAGGAGAUUGAAAGGCUGACCAAAACGACAUCUGCGUGGGACAAACUCUGCCGGUUCAUGGUGGCGCCCGCCCUCUCCCCUCUCGCUCUCUAUCGUAUUCCUCCACUCAAUCUAAAGCCCCCCCAAUCUCAUUCCUUCUCGACUCUUCUCCACGUUCUGCUUCUUUUUGUUACAGGUAAAUCAUUCUCCAAAUUCUUAGUUCAUCUCAAUUGUGCUUUUUGAGGAUUAUUUUUGUGUUAUUUUUGGUGGAUCAUGGCUGAAUUUUGGUGGGUUUUGGGUAAAAAUUUGCGAUUUCGUUACAUAAUCAGCUGAAUUUGAGUUUAGAUGAGAUUGGAUAAAAGGAAAAAAAGGGUUGAAUUUUGGGUUUGUUUUGAUUCGUUAAUUAUAUCGAUUGGGUGUCUGUGUGAUGAAAUCCAUCUGAGGUUGCGAGGAUUGUGAUCAUGAAGGGGGUAUGCAGAGUUCUCGUUGUCCGGCUUCCAUCAUUUGGUUUUGGUAAUUAUGUGAUUGUAUGAUAACUACUAAUAAAAAUGUAAAGGGGAGUAAUUCUUUUUUCCUUUCCUCUUUUUGCAUUAUGGUUAGACAAUGAAAUCAAUUCGCAUUUGAGAUUACAUACAAAAAGGCAGAGAAGUUGGAUUAUGGGGUUUGUUUGACUUUCUGUCUAUGCAGAUUGUGUUUGUCUAAUGAAAUCCACUUGGGUGCGCGAGGAUUGUGAUUGUAGGGUUUUGAUCAUUUUCGUUAUAUUUACGAUUGCAUGAUGACUGAUGAUACAAUAACGAGGGAGUAAUGGUUUUUGCCUUUUUUUUUUUCUUUUAUCUUUUUUUUGGUAAUAUUGUCAGCUUGUUCGAGUUUGAUGCUAUACAGUGAAAGAAAGAGAGAUCGAGGGUCUGUUUGGAAACUGUUCUUGCUAUUUGAAAACAGUUUUCUAAUUUAGAAAACAAAUUUUUGACAUAUUUUUUUAUUGAAAAUAGUUUUUUGAAUUUUUUUUUCUCUCUAAAAGUUAGUUGUUUUUGAAAACAAAUUUCAGAUAUUUUUAGUUGUUUUUUGUAAUGUAUUUUGAGCAAGGAAAAUAUUGAGAGUACUUUGGGAACAUUUGCAUUGCAUGAAAGUAUACAGUAUUUUCGUUGAGAAUCAGUCAAGAAAACUGUUUUUCAUAUUUGAGUUCUCAAGCAAAAUUUUAUUCCUAAAAAUAAUUGUUUAGGUUUAGUGUUUUCGAAAGAGAUACUGUUUUUUAGAACGGUUACUGUUUUCGAAAAGGUUGUAGAACAGACCCUGAAUGUUGAGGUUUAGUUUUGAUAUUUAUGUAGAAUAUACACAAUUAUGCUAUAAAAUCCACCUGGUUUUUAUUGGGUUCAAUCAUUUUUCAUGAUUUGUAUGAUUGUGUGACUACUGGUAAAACACCAAAAAGGGAAUGAUGAUUGGUUCUUUCUUUCUUUUUUCAUUAGGCUAGGUUAAUGGGGUUGAUAGGGUUCAGGUAAAUGCUGGAGUUGUUAACUGUGGAGGAGAGCAUAACUGAAUAUCUGAUGUUUUUAUUCUUGGAAAACAAAUGCCUGUUGUGAUAGGUGAUUGUAAAGGAAUGAUUGAUUGUUUUUGAGUUGGAGUUGAUUGAUAUCUGAUGAUAUUUACUCAAUGAAAACAAGUGCUAGUUCCAGUAGAUUAUCGACUAGGAAUGAGAGUUUUUUUUAGUUGAAGGUGAGAUCAGCAAUGGGAGAAGACUGAGCGAUUAGGGAUGAUUUGGAAUGAUUGGCUUGGGUAUGGACGGUUUUUCAUGUACGAUCUUGUUACUGAGGGUUUUCUGUUUAGCGGCUUUUUAAGGAUGGUUUUUCAUUUACUAGUUUGUUAUGGAUAGGUAUUCAUUCAUUGACUAUAUAAACCAUGGUAGAAGGGAUGGUAGGCUAUGUUUCUGUAGAAGGUAGAAUAGCCAAAUGAGAUUGGUAGCAUCGGCAUGUAACUUGAUAGAUAGUAUGCCAUCAACUUCCAAUUGGAUAAGCCAUGUGAUAUUCUGUUUUGCAUCUUUCAGACCAAUGGCUUCUUCAGACUCGUGGAUGAAAGAAUAUAAUGAUGCAGUUAAACUUGCUGAUGAUAUCAAUGGAAUGAUUUCUGAAAGGAUUUCAUUUUCUGCACCGGGAGUUGAUGCCCAACGUCAUGCAUCUGCGAUCCGAAGAAAGAUUACAAUAUUAGGGACUAGACUUGACAGCUUACAGUCCCUUUUGUCAAAGCUUCCUGGAAAGCAGCCCUUGUAAGUCUUUUAAUUGUAUUGCACCUGUGUAUUGAUAAGGGACUUAGUAUUUCAGUGACUUAGAUUAAAGAUGUAUUAAAUUUAAUGUACUCAAAUUUCCAACUUAUUCUACCUUACAUGAAAAUAAUAUUUGAAUGAUUUUCCCAACUUUUCAAUAUGAUUGCACUGCUGUUUUGUCUAUAUUGUUAUGUGAAAGUUCUUUUGCCUCUAUUGUGAGUCAUGAUGUAUUGGAAUUUGUAUUCCUUUAUGCUGUGAUGUGGGUUGAAUGUUAACUUCUUCUUGCUGAUGUUAAUUUAGGUGUACUUUCAGUGGUAAUUAAGAUGCCGAGGUUCCUAAAAUGAAACUGAUGUUUUUUUACGAGAUUUUUUCAAUUCUUGUUGUUUUAAAUUUGAUGAGUAGACUGGGCUUGGCUUGGCAAAAUAAGUAUUUUGCCUCACGUGGAUAUCUUGCUAUUAGUUUAGUAUUUUCUUGUUGAAAAAUGAGUAAUCAAAAAGGCUUUAUCCUGUGCAAGAAAGGGCUGAUAUCAUGGUGGAUGGGAGGAAUGUGAGGCAAGGUGAUCAAAAGGCUUCCAUAGGGACUAAAAGUGGUGUAAAAGCUUGUUUCAGACAAAUUGUUUCUGGUGUCAUGUUGUACUUUCACAUACUGCUGAUAUGGUUGCUUUAAGGUUUGCCUGAUAAAUACUCAAUACUUGAUGUGGCAUAUCAAUACUCAGCAACACCCUAAAUCAUUUGAGUAAAUCAAUGAUAAAAUUCUUAACUCAAAAAAUGGAAGAAAGAAAGAAAUAUAUAUAUAUAUAAAAUAAGAUUAUGAGAACCUAUGGUUAUUACAGCUAGUACCAUUUGUUGCAGCCAUGUUUGAGGAAAAUAACUGAAGGAGUGGUAGGUGGAAGUGAUGCAUUUAAAUCCAGUGUUUGAAAUAGUAAAGAAUGUAUUGAUACAAGAUCUAGAUGGGAAAAAGGAUGAGAUGAGGAGUUGUUUGUUUGUUGAAAUGACUGUCUUGAAAGUAUGGCAUGCUGUUCUAUGGGAGCAUUAGAUACUAAUUUUUGGGUGGUGUGAUUAUUAUAAUUACCUGAAGUUUGUUGGUUCUGCCUUCUGUACUUCACAGAACUGAGAAAGAGAUGAAUCGACGCAAAGACAUGGUUGCAAAUUUGAAAUCAAAAGCAAACCAGAUGGCAUCAACAUUGAACAUGUCAAACUUUGCAAACAGAGACAGCUUGCUUGGCCCAGAGAUAAAGCCUGCUGAUGCCAUGAACAGAACAACAGGUUUGGACAACUAUGGCCUUGUGGGCCUUCAGCGGCAAAUUAUGAAAGGCAAGUCACUAUACCUUGUUCAGAAUAACACACUUACUUUGUUCACUUUAUUAUUUACUGUUUGUUCCCAAUAUGGAUAUUUACGUGCUCAUAUGCCUGUGAAGCAGAACAAGAUGAGGGACUUGAGAAAUUGGAAGAGACAGUAUAUAGUACAAAACAUAUUGCAUUGGCAGUCAACGAAGAGCUUGACCUACAUACUAGACUUAUUGUAUGUUUUGAUUUGAUUCAGUAUUACUUGCCUCUUUUCGUAUUUAAGCAUCCUCAUCUGGAAAAAUAUUAACAAAAUGAAAUGCACUGCAAUCUUAAACUUUACUCUUCUUGGCUCUCCCAUUUUGCAGGAUAACUUGGACCAACAUGUGGAUAUUACAGACUCUCGUCUAAAGGUUAAACUCUUAACGAGCUGUUAGUUGACUUGUUUGCAUAGUAUAUCAUCAAUACCAUAAACCCUCAGCUUUAGGGGAAGCAUUUACUAGUCUAUUUUCACAGGACUUGUUUCAUAGAACAUCAUCAAUGAGAUGGACCUUCCACUUUAGGCAAUGCAUCUCAUGAGCAUCAGCUUUGAUCUUUUUACCUGAAAGUGAAUCUUCUAUUACUAUGGAACUUAACAAAGCUUCUAUCCCAGCCAGAUUAAUUUUUAUCUUGGUUUUUCUUUUAUUGUGAAACAGCGAGUGCAGAAGAAUCUGGCAAUUUUGAACAAGCGCACCAAGGGUGGCUGCUCCUGCCUGUGCCUGCUCUUAUCAGUUGUUGGCAUUGUGAUUCUGAUUGUUGCGAUAUGGUUGCUGGUUAAAUACUUGUGAUACAAACAUUCUGGAGAAAACCCGUCUUUCCCCUGCGUGUGUUGGAUCAAAAUUGGGUUUUGUUAGUCUCAUUGUUUGUCUUUCCUGAUUUUCUUGUGCUUUGAUCAUGCCAUGGUAUGGCUUGGUGUUUACUGAUCAACUUUGUAAUCGUCGGAUUAUGUAGCAUCAUGGAUGCCUCCUUUUUUAAGCAGUGAUCAAUUCGCAUCUCUGUCCCUAUACAAUGACAAGUUUACAACCAUGGAAGCUUUUAACCUAGUGAAGGUGAUUGACUUCAUGUUUGGAAUGAAAACGGUUUUCUUUAGAACAAAAAAUAGUUUUCUAAACUCAAAAAACACAUUGGAUAAACUUAUGACAGAAAACAAUUCUUAAAGAGUUUUUCUCCAAAAAAAAAGUAAUAAAUAUGUAGUAUAAGCAAGAAAACUAAUUUUCAUAUUUGAUUUUUUAAAUAGAAUUUUAUUCAGGAAAUGAGAACAUCUUUAAAACGCACCAUAUUGGGGAGUUUUGACCCAAAAAAAAAAAAUCAUAAAGUAAACUUGUUUUCAAAAUAAUGGUCAAUUUAGUGCGUUUGUGCCAUGUAGAACUUCAUGUCAUCAAACCAAAGUUUUGUUUUUUAAAAACGAUCAAAAUCGCACUCACCAAUCAUGACUUUAACUUUAAGUUUAGAACCGUAGUCACCACUUUAACUUUAAGUUUAAAACCGUAGUUGGUGACUACAACUUUAAAUUAUUAUAAAAAUUGUCAAAAUCGUAGUCACGGUUUUAAACUUAAAGUUAAAAUUGUGGUUGAUGAUUAUGGUUUUGAUCGUUUAAAAAAAAUAAAAUUAUAGUCACCAACUACGGUUUUAUGACAUGGAGGCCUAGGUGGUACAGACACACUAAAUUGAACAUUAUUUUGGAAACAAGUCUACUUUAUUUUUUAUUUCAAAUAUCAUAUUUUAAGUCAAAACUCCCGUAUUGGAUCAAGGAUUAAAAUAUUGGUAAUUAUGGAUAUAUUGAUACUUCAAUUUUACAAAUAUAUCGGAAAUAUCGGAGAAAUAUCGGUGGAGCGAAAAUUAUUUAAAAUUCAUAGAUGUUUUGAAAAACUUCAAAAAAUGAUAAAAUAAGCAAGAAUACACAUUUUAGAAUUAUUUUGUAAGUAUAAUUGACAUAAAUAUGAUCAAGAAGAAAAAUAUUGGUAGAUAAAAAUCAAUCAGUAGAUUUGAUACUUGAAUCUUAAGAAUAAUAAAUAUGAAUUUUGAAAGUGUAUAAAGUUAGAAUUGAGUUAAGAAAUAUUUGAUUUUAUUAAAUAAAAACAAUUUACAUGUAAAUAUAAUACAUAUGACAUUACAAUAGUCUUUAGUAUCAAAAUAAAGAUCGAUGUGAUUCUAUCAUAUUGUUAGAUGGAAGGGAACCCAUCUUGUUGAAGACAAUAUUUAUUUAAAAAUUUUUAAAAUACUUUUAUUAAAACAUAUUUUAUUAUAUUUUAAAUAAAAACUUAAAUUAAUUUAUAUAAAGUAUUUUAUUUGAGAUUUAAUUUCUAAAAUUUUAUUAAAAAUAUGUGGUAACAAUUUUUUUAUUAACAUUAAUUUAUUUAAAUAAUUAAAAUUAUUAAUAAUUUAUCUUAUAAAAUUAAUUUUAAUUUAUAAAAUAUUAGAACUUUCUUAAAAUUUUAUAUUAUAGCAAUUUUUUUGGGUAAAAUUAUAUUUUUAAUAUUUUAAAAUAAAAAUAUUUAAAAUUAAAUAAAAUUGAAAGAACAAAUAUAAAAAAAAUUAAAGAAUGGAGUGAUAAUAAUUUUUAAAAUAGGAUUAAUGAGAUAAAUAUAAAAAGUGUUAAAAAUAAAAGGAUAAUAUAAAAUAAAAUGAUAAUAUACAAACAUGGAUGAAAUCAGUCAUCGGAUCUUUAAAAAUUCAAAUCUUCGAAAUUUUCAAAAUUUUCAAAAAAGUGGCAGAAAAAAUCUCCGAUUUAUCACAAUUUAUCGGUCACCAAUAUUUCGACGAUUUUUCGGAUAUUCCUCCGGUUUGGUACUCAAAAUUCUGUUCAUAUUGGCAAAAUAUCACCGAUAAAAACUGAAAUUUCAAUCCAUGCUUGGGAGUAUAGCAUGAAAAAGCACCAUUUGUACCGUACGUCAAAACGCGUCGUUGCAAUCUCACCGUUUUGGUAGGAAGUAGGAACACAUCAAAACGCAUCGUUUUGUCCCGCACUCCUAAAAACGUUGCGUUUCAUCUCUCCAUUGGUCAUUACCAUCUUCCUCCCCUCCGCGGGCGCGAAAAUCUCCGAAUUCACCUUCUGCGAGGUAGUAGCAUUCCUUGAAAUCAUUUAUUGAUCGUUUAAUCUCACAUUAGACCUGUAGUUCUUGAUAAUAUCAAAUUGACCCAUAAAUUUCCUUUUAUUUGAUAUAUAUAUAUAUUUAUUUGUUGAAAUGCUAAUUUGCAGUAGGGUUUCAGAGAUUACUGCAAAUUACUCAGAAGUAUAUUUUGAAGCUUGAACUGCAAGAUAUUGAUGAAAUAUAAUUGAAAAUUGAAAGAUGAGCAUAGUGCCCAAAGAGACAAUUGAGGUCAUUGCACAAAGUAUAGGAAUUUCAAAUUUCUCGCCCGAUGUUGCUCCGGCUCUUGCAACCGAUGUUGAGUACCGGGUGCGCGAAAUCAUGCAGGUAGCCACACAAUUUGUGCGCUUACUCUCAAAUUUGUACUCAAUUUGCAGUUGUUUGUGUCACCCAAUUUGCAUAAAUGCAGGAAUUAGCCCUAGCUUGGUUCAAAUUUGGUUUGGUAAUGUCGUGGAGUAAGUGCAUCAGCUGAUGAAUGUGAAUAUUUUUAUUAUGAUGCAGGAUUCUCUUUAUUCAAACAGUCCCUUACCCUAAUUUAGUAUUCGUUUUAGGUGCAAGAUGUUUGGAGUAAUGUAUUUUUUUUAUUUUUUUGAUAACCGUGGAUGUCCGGCCAGCUUAUGCGCAUCUCGACUAAUCCCACGGGCCCUGAAGUUAACGACCGGGUAAACCUCCAGUAGCCCUGAGGGGACUCGAACUGGUGACCACUGGGGAACAAACCCAAGGCCGGACCAACUGAGCUACCCCUCAGGGUUAUGUUUGGAGUAAUGUAUUAAGACGAGGGGCAUUUUGGUUUGUUCUUUUUGUUUUCCUUUUCCUUUUUUUCCUCUGGUUUGGAUGUUCAUUAUGAGGGAAAAGUUUGUUUGCAAACCAGUGGACGGCUAAUUAGGUUCUCACAACCCCAAAAAUCUAUCCAACUUGCUAAUGGAGAGUUAAGGAACAAAUCUUUUGGUUCUAACUCGUAUAGCUCCAACCCUUCCAAAGAUUUCAGUUACUUCCUUUCAUAAACACUGAAAUAAGCAUAAAGGGACCAUUUUUUAUACUUUCUUAUCCCUAUGUACAAAUAUUCCUUGUCAAAUGGUUGAAGUGUUCUUUUAAAGGAAACAAUAAAUUUUUGCAUACCACAAUUACAGGAGGCAAUCAAAUGCAUGCGCCACUCAAAGAGGACUAUCUUGACAGUAAAUGAUGUGGAUAGUGCACUCAAGCUAAGAAAUGUGGAGGUAAAUCAACUAUAAAUUAGUUCUUUUUAUGGAUAAAUUCUGAUGUAUGAUUAUUAUGAUAAGAGUGUCUUUCAGGCUUUAGUUUCGCUCUCUCCUUGUGUUCUUUCUUUGGAAUCAAGUUAGUUAUUUUGAGGAAGAUUAUAGAUGUGUUUUUUUUGUACAAAUGUAAUUUUUUCUACUACUAAUGCUGAAUGAAUACAAUUAGUUUCCUUGAAAAGAUUCUCUUGGCAGGUUUUAUAUGCACACACUUGUGCUUCUUAUCUAACGUUGUUGUUCACUUGUUUGUGCAUAUGCAUCUGCAAGUGCCAUGGAAUUGUUUUAUUAAGUGCAUGUUUGGAUACAUUUUUUUAUUUUUUUUAUUUUUAAAAUAGGAAGUCUUAUACAAAAAGUAGAUACAUGGCUUAUGUAUUUUGAAAGCACUUUUAAAAUUUUUUAAAUUUAAGGAAGUGGAAAUUUUUUGCUUCUAAUUGUUAAAAUUUUGAAAAGAGUGUUUAAGAGCAUGAGGUAAAUUUCUGCUUUUUGUGUAACAGUUUUUAUAUUUUUUUAUGGGAAUUUCUACUUUUAAAAAUAAAAAACAGGAAGUAUAUCCAAACACCACAUAAGUUUUAUGUAGUUCAUUUUUAAUUUACCUUCUGAAUUUCUGCCCACUUAUGUAUGUGUGCUCUUAAUGUUUCAGCCACUUUAUGGCUUCACCUCUGGAGGUCCUAGGCAGUUUAAAAGAGCUGCUGGACAUAAAGAUUUGUUCUAUGUUGAUGACAAGGAUGUAGAAUUUAAAGACGUAAGAAACUACUGAUGAUGUAAAAUUGCCUUUAACUGUAUUUGCUGAGUUACUUCCUGAUGUUCCCAUAUAUUGGCUGGUGCAUGCAGUUGAUUGAAGCACCCUUACCAAAAACACCUCUAGAUACUGGAGUUAUCACUCACUGGCUAGCUAUUGAAGGAGUGCAACCUGCAAUUUCUGAAAAUGCUCCAAUUGAAGGUCUUUCUCUAAACUUAGAUGCAGUAUGAUGAUUGGAAAGAGGGCCUUACUGUAUUAAUUUUGGUUUUGAUUGUAGAACUCCUUGGUUCCUAUCAUAUUGGUGCCUGCAUAUACUGAACUUAGAUAAUUCAGAUGCUCUAUUAAAACCUUUCUAAAUCCUCCACAAUCUGCUCUGCUUGUUUAUUUUGUUAAUCCUAAUUGGGAAGUGUUCUAGUGAACUGUGUCUCUUUCUGAUUGCUACAUGGAUUGGCACUUUAAUCUAAUUUCCAUAUCAAAAUUAUCAUGACUUGGUUUUAAUUAAUCUAGGCUAAUCACCUUUGAUUUGAAGAUUCAUUUUCCUAUUACCGAUCUAUUAAAUUGUUUUUAUAUUUUUAUUGUAGCACUUGCUGUGCCUUCUGACAACAAAAAAUCUGAAUACAAAGAGGAUGGGCUUCCUGUGGACACCAAAUUACCUGUUAAGCAUGUACUUUCAAGGGAGCUUCAGGUAUAGUUUACAUGAUGAUAUUUAAAUGAUUUUUGUUUUCAUGGAACAUUUCAUGCCAAAUAGAUUACGUUGUUGUCUGUGCAGCUUUACUUUGACAAAAUCAAAGAGCUUACCCUGAGUAGAUCUGAUUCUAUCCUAUUUAAAGAAGCAUUAGUGAGCUUGGCAACAGACUCAGGAAUUCAUCCUUUAGUUCCUUAUUUUACAUAUUUCAUUGCUGAUGAGGUAAGUCUUGAGGGCAUAUCUUGGAUCUUGAGAACUACUAAAAUAUUUUGGGUUUAAAUAACUUUUUAUUGCUUAUACUGACUUUAUUAUUAUUUUUUUUCCCAAAAUUUCAGGUCACACGGAAUUUGAAUGAUUUCUCUAUCCUGUUUGCUUUGAUGCGUGUUGCCCGUAGCCUUCUCCAAAACCAGCAAAUACACAUAGAACCUUAUGUAAGUUCGGUUUAUUUGAUUGGGUAUAAAUGUGUACAUUAAUUAUCAGGCCACUGUUUAUUUGCCUGUACCAUACUACUGUCUCCUUGUGCAAACAAAAGCAUGUACAAAAAAAAUCAAAAGGGAUCUAUAUGGAUAUGUGAAAGCUCAAUGUUAUAAUGCUGCAUUGUUGGAACCUCUUGGGCACUAAUGCCUCCGAGUUUCUUGGUGCUGGCAGUGUAACUUAAUGCUGUUGGCUUUUGAGAAGGCCUACAUUGAUUUACUUUUAUCUAUCUAAUGGGGUGUUUAUUUCUUCAGCUACACCAAUUGAUGCCAUCUAUUAUUACUUGCCUUGUUGCGAAAAGGUUGGGGAGUAGAUUCUCUGACAACCACUGGGAGCUUAGAAGCUUCACAGCUAACCUGGUCGCUUCAGUAUGCAAGAGGUGGGGAUCUCUUUUCUGUUUUAUUUAAUGCACAGAUGAUAUCGUAAUCAUCCCAACUAAAUGAAAUCUUUCCUGUUUCAGUAAGUGGAAAAUCAAAUUGACUAGAAUUCUCAAUCAAGUCAAAUCAUUGUUUUGUCUAGACAAUGUUUUGCUCUUUGGUAUUUAUGAUAUCCAUCUUGAAAGUUUAGAUUCUGCUUAUGGAAUACCUAGAGGGAGGGUGAACAGAUAGUUCUUACUUUUUAGCCCAAAUUUCUCUUUUUAAAAUUUCCCUUAAAAAAAAUUAGAGUUGAAGUAGAGAAAUUUAAUGGCACAAGGAGAUAAAAGUUUACAUGGAAAAUUACCCACAAAGCCUCUCACAGACUUUGUAGAUGUAAAAACCAUGGGGUUAAAAACCGUAGAACACAAAUCCACUAUUAAAAGAAAAGUACAUAGAUUGACUUGGCAGAUGUUAUCCAUAAGAUUUACUCCCUAGUACCUACACUUGUCUUCACGUCAGUGAUAUAGCACCACACAUGGUCCUAGUGGACUACCUCAACACCUGAGAGGGCGCAAAUCCUCUUACAAACCUAAGAAUGAAAAUCACACAAAUUUGAGAGUAUUAGGAUGUUGGAAAGGCUAAUAAUAUUCUUUUGAAUUUUGCAUCAACAUUCAAAAAGAAUUUUAGGCAUAGCAUUGAUAGAGAUGAAGCCCUAGUGGACAAGAUCCUAAGUUUUCAAAGACCAAUUUUUAGAAGAUGAAAAGAAUUAAAACAUAUCACAAUUUUGAAUUAGGAAAAAUUUACUUUGAAUGCUUGAGCGCUAGGUUUGAGUGCUUGAGCACUUGACUGGUUUUUUAAUUAAUUAAUUAAAAAACCAUUUUAGCUCAAUUAAAAAUCUGAAGUCCACUUUAUGCCUAUUUUAGUCAAAUUAGCCUUUCGCGAAUAUUUCUAUACUUGUGGCAUUGGGGUUGAUCAUGCAGCAACCUUGAGUCUUCAAUGGAGAGUAAGACAUAGUAUCCUGGAAAAGUCUUAAGGCAAGGUAAAUGGAACAAAAUUGUCAACUUAAACUAAGCAGCCUGAUGCACUAACACAUUUGACAACUAAAAGGCUAUCUAGACGGCCUAUUAAGAAAAAGUAAAGCAUCUAGAUGAAUACUAGCAUUUUAAUGUUGUGUUGCCUCCAAAUUAAUGGCAGAUAAUGACCUUAGAAAAAAAUUGUUUGCAUCUCGUGAAAUUUUAUUAAAAAAAAAGAAAAAAUAUUUGCAAGCAAUAAUAUGUGGAAAAUUAGAUAAAUAUGUUGUUAAACUAGUAUUAAAAAUUUUCAGUAUGGUGUGCUUUAAAGCUUCUGAUUAAAAAGCUUUCCUUUUUGAGUUAUUUGCCUUUUUUUUUUUACUUACAUAAUCCGCUUUCUCAUUUGAUUUUUUUUUUUUUUUUUCCCUAUGAACAUGGGCUGCAUGUGUACACCCACAUCCACUGGCUAUACGCUAAAUAGAUGCUUUGAUGGGCAUAAAGAAUAGCAUGGAUUAUGUGCUAAAUUUAUUUGUCCUUAUGUUAUGCAUGCACAUAAUUGGAUCAUAAGGGUUGCCUGUUUUGCCCUUGACUAAAUUCAGAUGCCAUGCACAAGCAGGUCACACAUGUACAGAUUAAAGAGAUACUGAAUCUCCAUUUUUUUUCUUCUCAUCUUACAGACACUACACAAAUAUCUUAUCAACUAAACUUUUGCAGAUAUGGGCAUGUUUAUCAUAACCUCCAGCCACGUGUGACAAGGACUCUGCUCCAUGCUUUCUUGGACCCAACAAAAGCAUUGCCUCAACAUUAUGGGGCAAUUCAGGGGUUGGCAGCAUUUGGACCCAGUGUGGUAUCAUCUAUUCUCUUGCUUUUAGCAUCAAAGGAGGAAUGUUACAGCUGGAUAAAGUGGCUGUUUUUUAUUUUUAAAAAACAUCAGUUUUUGUAUUAAAGAUAUUAAGGAUAACUUCUAAAAGCCCAUUUACUCACAAGAAAGAUAUUUCUAGCACUAAAUUUCUGCUAGAUCCAAGGAGAAAUUAAAAAAAAAAGGGAAGUUGAAGUCCUUAUGUCCCAAAAACCUUUAUUUUCACUGCAGAUGCUCUAGUUUUGAGCUUUCACGACAACCCCUACAUUUUCCUCAAAUUUAACCUCUUCGACAUUUUUUCACAGCCACACUAUAACUCCUAUCACCCAAGUACCAUUUAGCUUCCAUUCGCUGAGUUUGUAUGUGACUUUUUUGUCAUUCUUUUUCAUUUUUUUUAAUUCAUUCUUAGAAUCUCUCUUUGUUAGUUUUUCCCAAUUUAUGAUGAUUUUUUUUUGGGUAGGUUCGCUUGCUUAUACUGCCUAAUCUUGAGCCAUACUUGCGACUUCUUGAGCCAGAAAUGCAGCUUGAGAAGCAAAAGAAUGGGAUGAAGAGACAUGAAGCCUGGCGUGUAUAUGGAGCCUUACUGGUGAGUUUGUUUCUAAAUCUCUAGUUGGUUUAAUUUGAAAGGAAGCCACUGAGAUGGUGGCCAUCAGUGGAGCUAACAUGUCCACAUACCUCCCAGUGUGCUGCUGGUACAUGCAUGUAUGAUCGGCUGAAGACAUUCCCCAAUUUGCUAUCUCCGCCAACACGGGCCAUCUUGAAGAGCAAUAAAAAAAUCUUGCCUACAAAACCAAGUAUGACUUUUUGUUACUUUCUUAAUUGGGAUCUGCAUACAUAACUACAUGCAUGGCAUUUAGUUUAUAAGAGAAUGAACUGUAUUUAGAAGAAGCUUUGAGGAAUAACUUCUAGCUGCCAGCAGAACAGUUUCUAGUGUCAGGUUCAAAUACUGAAUAAAAGGCUUAAAAAAAUGCAUAAAAAAAAAGAGAAAAAAGAAGCGUGUGCCUAGAUGGGGGGAAAUUUUUUUUUUGUCUGGUGGUUGUGGUGUGUGGUUUGAUGAUGUUAGGCCAACUCUUAAGGUGUCAUUGGAGGCAACUUCAAUGGAGAAUGAUUUAUGAUAACAGUUGUUUGUAGUACUUUCACAUGUUUUAAUAGGGCAACAUUUCACCCAAGAACCCAAUGGUGAUACAUGCCCAAUAAGCAAUUGUUUCACUAGAUACUGAUAUUUAAAUCUAAUUUCUUUCUUCUCAUCGGUUGCUCCAAUUCUUUAGAAAUCAAUCCAGGCAAACGCAAAGCAAGCACAGAUAACUUAAUGCAACAGCCACCGCUCAAGAAAUUAGCAACAGAUGGCUCAAUGGGCGUUAUGCCAAUUAACUCCCUGGCAGUUGACAAGCAAGGGUUAACAGGAGGAUUUUCUACUUCAACUGCUGUAGGAAGUUCUGAUGUUGGUCUGUCAUCAAUGUCCCAGCAGUUAGCUAGUGAGAACAUAUCAGGAGGUAGAAGAGAGGUCGGUACUCGAGCCCUAAAAGCAUCAGCUGUUCUUGCUCAGGCUUGGAAGGAUGUCAAUGCUGGGCAAUUGUCGGCGUCAUUGUUUGAAUAUUUUGGUGAAAGUAUGUUUUGCUUCACUCCCUCACCUGAGUUGUCCCUGUUCUUGUAAUUAAUCGAGAAUCAAUAUCAAUAGAGUUGUUUUGACAGGUCUUUAGUUUAAAAUGGGAAGUUGUGCACUAGCAUAUAAUCUUUACUAGAAUUUAUUUAUAUUUGUCUCAAAAAAUCAAUCUUUGCUUUAUGAAUUUUAUAAAGAUUGGUACUAGAUAACCUAUUGUUAAUAUUUGAGGUUCCACUAUGUGCAGCAAGUCCAUCGAUUUUCUUCUGUUUGGUAAUAAUAGAUAAGCAACCACUCAUAUAAAUACUACAAAAGACAAAUAAGAGAAGCAAAUGCUACAAACCACAAAGGAAAUGGCAUCUAAUGCAGACGAGCAUCAAGAUCAUUACACGAUCACAUGGUACUUGAGAAAAAGGGGGAAAAGGUUAAAAGAAGAGCUUUCUAGAAGGCAACCGAGAUGGAACAGCGGGAGGUGAGUUAGAGGAUUUGAGGGGGAUGGGUAGUCCUUUGUUUUCUUGACCUCCUGCUACUCUGUCCACUAGCUUUGCUGCCUUGGGGUCUGUUAGAAGUAUCUUCUGGAAAGACUGGGAGAACCCGGUUGCAAUUAUAGUCACAUGAAUCUCCCCAUUGUAGCGGUCGUCCACAACAGCUCCAAAUAUUAUGUUAGCUGAAGGAUCGGCCAGACUUGUAACAACCUGAAUCAUGGAUAUGCAAAUAUUAGCAUAAGAAAAUGCAAGAAAACACAACCCCACAAAAGGACAAUUUCAAAUGAUAGGUGCCAAAAAAAGCCACUAUCAAAUGGAUGUUAAACAAUGCAACAAAAACUUUUAGUGUCAUGCCUCGAAGAAGGAAAUAGUUUGUGCAGGAAAAAAUGAAACAAAGAGUGCAAGUCUUUGAAAACAAAGUCAAACAGUCCCUCUCAGCUCCUAAAAGGUGAUACCCUGAUUUUGCAUUGCCUUGUAUGAAUACUCUGUUUAUGGGCUAGGUUAAAUGUCUGGUUUUAUGCAAAAUGUACUUGUUCCAUAACUUGUUCUACCAGCAAAUUUAAGAGGGAAGGGAACUGAAACAAAAAUUCCAUGAUAUUCAAACUACCUGAGACACUCUAUUAACUUCUUGCAAGGUUAUGUCCUUUCCCCCAGUAAUAUUGUAGACAACACCUGUAGCAGAUUGGAUAGAGGAUCCAAUUAGAGGAGCCAAAGUUGCCUGUUCGGCUGCUUCUUCUGCACGGUUUUUGCUGGAAGAAACCCCCACUCCAAGCAUUGCAGUUCCAGAGUCCUUCAUGACUGCCUUUACAUCUGCAAAAUCAACAUUUACCAGCCCGGGUAUCUGCAAAACAAGGACACGCUAUUUUAAAUUAUAUAGGAUCAACAGCAAAGAUAAACUUCAGUAUUGGAAAUUAAUCAGGAAAAUAUCAUAAUAAAUCAGUAUACAUAAUGUCAACUGUGGAUUAAAUGUGAGUGGCUGCAGCAUCCUGUGGGUACAUCAUGCUCAUGACCUGCACCAGUCUUAUGUUUUAUUCAUAUCCAAACAAGAGCAAGGGCCUAUAUCCACUAUGGCCCUUGUAAAAUGGUUGGGAAGCUAAUUAGCUUUCAGCAAAAAAUUAAAGAGGUUGGAACAGAUUAUAAAGUUAGUGAAAAGCAAAGAAUGUUAAAACCGAAGGAAAUGAGAUUUCCAAAAAUAUUGUAGUUUUGGAUUUUUUUGUGCAUAAUUUUGGGAAGAAUUUCACAUGAUACAUAUGGUAGUAUGCCAAAAUACUGUUAGAUAAUUGGCUUGUUCAACAUAUGGUUGAAACUAUCUAACAGGUGAUAUGUUAGGGUAUGAGCUGAUAAUGCAGACCAAGUUCCCCAAGGACAAAUGUAGCCCUAUACAAAUCACUCACUGUAAUUAUGUCUGAAAUCCCUUGCACCCCUUGGCGCAAAACAUCAUCAGCAAGCAGGAAAGCAUCCUGAAGAGGUGUCUGUUCAUCGGCAAUAUCCAGCAGACGAUCAUUGGGAAUUACUAUUAGUGUGUCAACAUUCUUUUGCAACUUUUCAAUAGCCUCCAAUGCCUAAAACAAAAGCAAAUACAACACAUGACUGUUUGGAACUCAAUAUAGUACAACAUAUUUGAUACAGCUGCAAAAUCAUAAGCUUGAAACUUGGAAUUAGAGGACAUAAAGCUGAUAAACAGUGCAUCAUCAUUUAAAAAAAGUGCAUGGCAGAUCUUCAGGCAGACUUGAGAUAAAAGAUCCAAAUAGAGGGAAGAAAUCAUUGACAAAGGGAUAACUAUGAUUGAAUAGUCUCUCAUUGUACAACUAACUUGGGUUAAGUAUUAUUAAUUUUUCACUCACUUCAGGUCUACCUGUCAGUAACGGUUAGAUAAAAAAAUAGCAGUCAUACAACUGAGACAGAGUUGCCUAUAUUUUGCAUAUGUUUCAUCUCAGCCAAUUGUAUCUAACAGGGGAAAAAAACAGAUGAUUAUGCAGAAAUGAAAGAACAUGAGUUCAAAAGAACAACCAAAAAAAAGGGGAAAUGGGCAUAAUAGGUUUCAGGGGCAAAGGUCAAAGGUAUGUUGAAUUUCCCAUUCUAACAAUUUCAAGUUUCAAAAUCUUGAAAAUAUCUGAAGGGGAUGCGAUGGUCACUUUUAUUUCUAACUAGGAAAUCAUACCACCACUACCUAUGGUUAGAUAAAAAAAUAGCAGUCACACAACUGAGACAGGGUUGUCUACAUUUUGCAUAUGUUUCAUCUCAGCCAAUUCUAUCUAAUAGGGGAAAAGCAGAUGAUUAUGCAGAAAUGAAAGAAUAUGAAUUCAAAAGAACAACAAAAAGGGGGGGGGGGGAGGGAGAAGGAAGAAUAGAAACUCAGGGCCAAAGGUCACAGGUAUGUUGAAUUUUGCAUUAUAACAAUUUCAAGUUUCAAAAUCUCGAAAAUAUCUGAAGGGGAUGUGAUGGUCACUUUUAUUUCUAAACUAGGAAAUCAUACCACCACUACCUAUGUAAAUAACCACCAAAUUGAAAAUGAUAUCACCACCUUGUGGAGUUACUAGAAGCUAUGCACAAUGCCAUCCCCACCACUCCACUGUUUUCACCCCCACCACCAUGACACUGCCAGUGGAACUAGUUACUCCACCGGCUGCAUCAAUGCCACUUUCACUGUCAACUGCUCCACUAUAAAUGCUUCUACAAUCACCAUCUUUCCAAUCCUACUGAUAGUAUACACCCUGAUAAGUCUUUUGUUUUUUGGCUGGUAUCAGGCACUUUCAGAAAGGUGCCUUAAUUUUCCAUAGAUUUUGUUUCUUUCAGUAAAAACAGAAAAAGAAAAUCAUAAUCUACUUUUGAAACAUAUCAUAAACCUGGCUAAUAGGCAUGGCCAUGGAGUCCGAUACUUUGCAUGGGACUGCCUAACCAAAACAAACAGAACACAUUGUUCUUGAUUUUAUCCCAAUAAGUAUUUGUUAGAAAUGCCUGUCAUUUGGAAGUUAAUUGUUACAUAUAUAGUAAGACCAGACAAACAACAAAAUAAUUUCCCUUUGAUUUCAAAUAAAGACCAAAAUGGCACCUGCCUGCAGUGAUCUUUUACGUCCUUCAAAGCUGAAAGGGUAGGUGACCACCCCAACAGUCAAAUAACCCGCUUCCUUAGAUAUUUGGGCAACAACUGGGGCAGCCCCAGAACCUGUACCCCCACCCAUACCUGCUGUUAUAAACACAAGAUCUGAACCCUUGAGAGCAUUUGCAAUGGCUUCCUUUGAUUCCUCAGCAGCCUGUUCCCCCAAAAGUGGAUUCCCACCCGUACCUGCAUCUCUAUUAAGUGGUUUGAGUCAAAGGAUACAAUACAACCACAAGGUCCUCAACACAUAAGAAAACAAAAGCAGCUAUACCACCCAUAUAAAAGUUUGGGAAUUGUUAUACUAGCCGACCCAGGUACAAUAAUCUAGUGCUAUAAGAGCUGUGCUCCCUCAAAUAUACAAAUCUAUAUUCUAAUACUUUAAAUGGAUAACAUCUAAGAUCAUAGUGAGAGUGCCAGACCUAGUCCACGAGUCAAAAGUUCUCCAAUUUGGAGAGGGUUCGAAGCCGCAGAGUGUAAUAGAGCUUGAGAGUCUGUAUUUAUUGCAUAGAAAUCAACACCCUGAAUAUCAAACGGCAAGCAACAUUAACAUUAGUAAUCUGUAGAAGCUAAGAAGGGAAUAAUUUCACGAACAAUCAUACAGAAAAAACACCAGAGCCUAACUCCAAUCAAAGAACGAAAAAAAAAACUUAAAUCCUUCGUUGGGACCAUAAACACAUCAGACAAUCUCCCAAAGAGUUGGAAAUAACAAAGUGGCUUCCAGUAAAAACAUCAAUUUCUAGAAAGGGGGUUUCACUCACAAUCUAACAAGAAAAUGAAACGCAAACAAUCGACAAAUUUUUUUCAUUAUAACGGGCACGGAAUAACAGACCCAAUCACCAAAUAUGGACAGGAUAUGAUUCAAAAUUUCAGUUGAAAGCAAAUUCCACCUGUAAUCCGCUUCCAAUCAUCCGAUUAACGGCAUUGUUGCCCCCACCACCGACACCCACAACCUUAAUCUUAGCCGAUUCCAUGGGCGCAAACGAACAGCACACACCAAAACGGCGUCGUUUCCAAAGACUUCCCCGCGUAUUUUUAGAGGAAAGGCACUUCCCAGGAGCAGCUGAAGAGAGUGCCUUGUGGGAGAACCCAGUAGAAAUGGAGGAAGAGGAGGAUGAGAUGAACUCAUUGGGGUUUGUGAGCUGGAGAGUGGCCAUUGAAAAAACCGGGCUCCAAAUAUCCGAUGCUCCCUCUUUUCUUAGAGCGAGAGCGAGAGGGAGAGAGAGAGGUUUUAGGGUUUAAGAAAUAAAGGUGGUUAGGAGAAACGCAAAAGAUUGGGUGGACCCUUGUGCACCUUCAUUCCUUCAAAACAAACCUUAGAUUCCAAUCUUGAGCUCCCUUUUGUUCUUAUUUUACUUUUUAUCUCCAAAAUGAAUGUAUAUAUAUUUGUAAACUAAAGAUAGAAUGAAGAGAGAGAAAUAGGAAACUUUGCUAAAAGGAAAUAAUAAAAUAUUAAUGAAAGAAAAAAAAAAUCCAAUAUUCUUAACAGGAUAAGAUUAUUCCAUCUCGUUAAAAAUCUUAUCGAUUAUAAAAUUCAAUCGGACAAAACUUAUAAAUAGAAAAAAAAAUAAUUACCAUAUGAUAACUUUCUCAUUUAUAUACUUAUUUUACGACAUUAUAUUAUUAUUUUUAUGUAAUAUUGUCAAAUUAUUUUGAAUGGAGGAUGAUCUUCGUCAUUCUCGAAAAUGAUAGACAUUAUAUCUCAAUUUGAUAUAUUUGUGACUUGUUUGAUGAAUUACAAACAUUUAUUAUCUACUUUAGUGAUUGUUAUGGUACCAUAAUACUGUCAUAUGCGGAAAAAAAAGUAUUUUAUUUGAGAUGUGAGGAUUUAAAAAAUAACUAACUAUUUUUUAAUAUAAUAAUAGUUAUUUUCAUACCCCCUCUUCCCCCACUGCCAAAAAAAGAACAAAAAAAACUAGAAAAAGAUAAGUAUAGUGUGUGGUCUCUUGAAUGUCAUCAUUGAUAUGUUUAGUUGCUCGAGUUAAAAUAAUUAAUUAUUUGCUAAAACAAAAUAAAACUCUAAUUUAAAUAAAUAAAAACAAAAGUUGGAAUGUAAAGUAUUAUUUAUCAAAUGGAAAAGCAACCCAAUGGUUAUCAUUGGCCUGCAUUUGCUGGAAGACCAAAUGGCCUUUCGGGUUGAUACAAAAACCUGCCAGUUCGUCUGGUUCCGCGAUUUGACUGCUGAUUUGGCCGGAAAAUAGUUCAAUUGGAAGCUGAGCCGCUCUUAACUAGCGAUCGGGGCCAAGUUUGAAAACAUUGCACCGAAAUCAAUAAAGCUAUGGAAAACUUCAUAAGAUUUCACAUUCAUAAAUAUAAAUUGCGUAUGCUGUAGGAGUUUAAUAAAACUUAACACGAAUUUGACCCAAAUUAUCCUAUUUAAUAUUUCCAUCGAUUAAUUUAAUUAUAACUUAAUUUAUAUUUAACUCAUUUUGAUUAUUAAAUAUGAGAACCUAAUUACUAAAUAAGUUAAAUAGGUUACGCAAUGUGUUAUAUAUUUAAUAAUUAAAUGACAUCUAAAUUUAUGUUUUCGACACAAUUAUUAUUUUUGUCAGGUUUGGAUUGACCUAUGUAAUAUGAUACCUAGGCUUUGAUACAAACACAAUCAUCACCCACCAAUGCAAAUUGUACUUAAAUUGAUUUAAGUCGAUUUACCUAACACCCCACCCUCGUAGUGUUUGUUUUUGCAUCCCCAAUCCCCCAUUUACAGAGCCAACAUAAAUCAAUAUCAAACAAGAACAUGUUCAAAACUGUCAGUCGGCGGAUGCCAUUGAAGUACUCUAUUUUCCAUCGGGUCUGAGAAUGACCAAUGUACCUUUUUGAAAUUGAAUAAGAGUUAGAAUUAUCAUUCUCAUUGCAAGUAAAAAUCAAGCAUAAAUUUGAAAUCAAUUCGAAGCCCUAUGCUUCAAUUAUAAUUACAUACAAAUCCAACAUGAUAAGGUACUACUGAUUGAUCCAUGAGACCUGCAAUGAGAUAUUCAGCAGAGAGCAAUCAACAAUCCAUAACAUUGGUUUACCAAGAGGGUUGCAUUGGCUCUUUCACAAAGCAUUUCACUCCCCUUCACUAAGAAUUGGGACUAUGAGUGGAUUCAUCUGCGCAAGAUAAACGAUUGCCCACCUAACAAUGCAAAAACAGCAUACGGUAACUACAAUGGUAAGAAUGCAAGAAAGCAAGAACAUCAACACAACAACAUCAUUCAUCAUUUCUGAUUUAGUUUCAGAAAACUAUCCAGUCCCAGAAAUAGGGCACCUAGAAACCCCUCAGAGAGACAACAAUGAAAUGUUUUAAGGCUGAAACUGACAAGUAUAAUUAAAUAUCCAUUAGUAGGCGAUUUAAACUUUAUCUUUAACAUCAACUUCCGUAAUCCAGAGUCCAAUUAUUACUGAGAAAGAAAAAGAAACAUCAAUCAAACAUGAACUUACAUCAUCCAACAGCAAACAGUCGCUGUAAUAACCAAUGUUAGGUGCAAUCUGCAUCACAAAAUGCAAGUCAGCUGUUUUGGAAACAAUAAGAAGAUGAAUGUUUUUACAGAUAAUGACUGAACUGUUUAAGGAAGAACUAGCAUGACCCAGAAAUGCAUGCAGGUUUUUCUGUAUAUUACAAAGAAAAUCCACGGGUGAACGGCUGUAGAACUAGCAUAAUAUAAAUUAUAGUUUUAGCUUAUUUCAUUUGUAUAACUAUGUUUCUCUCUCAAACAAAAGGUCAUAAAUCUAUAAGGUUUCUACUUCAAUAAUUUAUCAAAAAAAUAAAAAAAUAAAAAGUUUCUACUUCAACUAGCUCACAGAUGUCACAUCAUUAAAAUUAUCACAACCAUUGGGGACUUAAAGAUCAACUGCUACCUAGCCAAUCUGCUCAAAUCUAAGGCUAUUGGACUUGCCUUCAUCCUUUCUGUCUUUUCACCUACAAAGCUAUAUCCCUCAUACUUAAGCAGUCUGGAUUAUGUUGUACAUGAACAAACCAUCCCAAUCCCAUUAUCUAUCCUGAAAAAAAUGACAUUCUUUUCUUUUACAAGAGGCAAAUCAAGUAGCCCCGGUUUCCAGGACCAAGGAAAACAAUUGAUACAUGAUUCCUCUCCAAGGAUUGUGUAUCAGGUAAGCCUGAAAACCAAACAACAUGUUCAUGAGCAGGGGCCUGCCAGUUGAGCCGCCUGUAGAGUCAAAAUCAAACCAUCCUAAUCUACUGCAAUUUCUCACUUCUCAUUAGUGUAUACAUUUCUUAAUCCACAAUUUUCUUUCCAAUCAUUCAUCUUGGCAACUUCGGUUCAACAAUGUUUCAUUCAUUUCUGGACUCCCUAACAUUCUUAUGAGAAUCAAAGAGCAUAUUUUACAUUAUUCAAUGAGAACAAGGAAAUUCAAGUAUCACAGGCAGCUAUAUAUAUGGCGAGGAAGCAUACAAAUUUGCAGAAGGCCCUUUGUUGCAGCAGAUUCUGGCACAAAAAGAUGCGAUGAUUCCAGUAACAAUGAAAAUUAGGGUUGUUACAAAGAACCCCAUCUCGAUCCGAUCCCACCAACCGGCGAUCACGGAAUCCUAGUUUGAACUCGAUUUCAGGUCCAAAAAACCCUAAAUUCAAAUGCAAAUGCAAAAUUACACGGAAAAUCCUUAAAAUUCUACUCUCGUCACAAACUGAUAGAAUCUUAAAACAACAGAAAUCGCAAUAAUAAAAUUUCACAUUAUUUUCUUUCCCUAAAUUUUACGGAGGGUGAGAGAGAAGUGGAACCUCAAACUCCGGCGAUCUGCGAAGCUCUCUCCGGCGUCGUUUUGGGGUCUCUCCGUAUCUUACUAUAUUCAUCCCAUCUGUAGUACGACAUGGGCCGAAUGGAAUCUCAAAUAGGCCCAAUACUAAUUGGAUUGGUCUUGAAUGUAUAUGAUAGGGAUACAAACCGUCCCAAUCCACCAAAAAUUUUUGGGCCAAAGGUUAACCCCGCCUAUGCGCCAGUCCUAGUCGGUCCAACUCGUUUAGAUAUGCAGUCUCUAGUUUAAUUUUGGUGGGCUUGGGCACAGAGUUGGGCUUAGGUUUGGGGCGGCUUUACCAUAUGCCAUGUUUUUUUUUUUUUUUUCACGUUAGUAAGACCUUAUUUGGACUGAUUUUUAGGGUGUUUGGUAAAAUUUAAUACUUAAUAACUUAAGUUGAUUUUAAGUUAAAAUUGACUUAAAACUUAUUACUUAAUUUUUAUUUUUAAGUAUUAAGGUUAUUUGAUAAAAUUAACUUAAAACUUAUUAUAAAUCAUCAAAUUAAUAUAUUUAUCCUCAUAAAUUAUAACUAAAACAAAGGAGGUCGAGUAACAAUAAAGGUUGAAGAGUAGCAAAAGAGAUAGUGGAGAUAACUAUGAUAAAUGGGGUAAAAAGAUAAAAUAAAAAUUAUUAUUAUUAUUAUUUUUACUUUAAAACAUCAUUAAGUUAUUUUACCAAAUACACUUAAUUUAUUUAAUGAUUUAAAUUAAGUUAUUAAGUCACUUUAAGUUAUUUCGUUGGUUUACCAAACACUCACUUAUUUUAAUAAGAGGUUAAUUAAUUUUGUUCAAAAUAUUAACUUUAAAAAGAAUUUAACAUGAAAAUUAAAAAAAAUAUAAUUUUUUGUUUAGAUGAAUAUGUUAUCCAAAUUAUUGAAGAUGUAUGGAUAAUAAAUAUACAAAUAAAUAAAGUAAGUAGAAAAUUGGAACUCACAAAUAAGAUUGAUCGAGGCUAGAGUUUGACUCUAUGUCCUUAAAGACAAAUUUGUUUUAUUUAGGUACUUACAAUUUUUUGACAAUCGUUUUACAGGAUACAACGAUCAUUUUCUUGUGAUAGUAAUACUUCAAAUCACAAGAAAUAACGAAUCACAAGAAAUAACGAAUCACUUCGUAAUUUGUAUUAUUUUAUAUACCAAAUAUUUGAUAGAAAAGAGAAAUGUCUAAACUUGAAACUAAAGAAGACUUGAAAGACAAAAAAGGUGAAAGAGUGACGAGAAAAGACGAAUGAAAAUGUCUUGGGUCCCUAUUUAUAGAUUUGAUGAUGACUUUUAGAAGAGACGUGUCUUUAAAAUACUAGACACAUCUUUUGAAGGUUCGUGUCAUAAGACACCAAAUACAUUAUUCGAAAGAGAUUGUGUCUUUUAAAUACAAUACAUCCUUUUAAAACCAGUUGUGUUUAUAAGAAACAACAAUCUUCCCAAGAAAAAAAAAGUGAAUUUCCAUUCACCUAUAUAAAUUCUAACAAAAAAAUUACAUUUUCCAGAAUAGACAAGAAAACAACAUAUAAUUUCCUCCACAAAUCUUAACCUCGAUCAAAAAAUUGUUUUCAAUAGUAGUGUUAUUAUUAUUAUUAUUUUUAAAGCAAUGUUGACAAUUUGAUUUUCAAAUAAGGCACCCACCAUAUAUGAUUAUCUUUGAAUUCUGAGUUUGUAUAUUCUAGAAGGAUAUUUUGUUGUUUUUUGGGAUCACCAAAUACAAGAAAAAUCAAAAUAAAAAGGGAAAGAAUAAGGUCAUUUGUUUAGAUUUCAAAGAAAACAAAAAUUGGGUCCUAAAAUAUGUUUAGACAAUUUUUUUCCAUUUUCAUUUUCUAGAAAUCUAAAUUUAGAAAAUCCAAAAAAUGAAAACAUCAAUUUGAUUUUAUUAAGACAAGUGUAUAUACACACAAAUUUGGUUUAUUUUUGGAUUAAAAAUUAUUUAUAAGUUGAUAUAUUUUUAUAUUAUAAACUAAUUCAUUUUAAUUGACUUGCUUUGAGAUAACAUUUUAAAAUAAUAAUGCAACUUUUUUGUUAAAUGUAUAAAAUUACAAGAUUUGUAAAUACAUCUUACAGUUGAGUACAAAAUUAUUAGACCUAGUCAUUUUCUCAAGUAUAAAAAAUAUGGGAAAUUGGUUGAAGUGCACAUAAACUCAAGUUCUUGAAACCUUCUCAAUGAGCCCUUCAAGAUUUAAGUAGUUGAAGCAUGGUAAUUAAGAAAUGACUUAUUUGAUUAAUUAAAAUUGAUAUUGAAAAUGCAAAUUUGAAAAAAUGAUGUUCAUCUUUUCAAAAUAUGGAAUGUGAACUCUUUUGGAGAAAAUUACAAUUUAACAAAUUUUUAAUCAUCAAUCUUUUUUUUUUUUUUUUAAUAAAAAGUUUAAGAAGAAAAAUAUCAAAACAAGAUUGUAUGUGUAAUUUUUUUUUAUUACGUAGAAGUUAUUUUUUUCAAAUAUGAGGAUUAUUUCACCUGUUUUGAUGAAAUACUUUUCAAGAAAUUUUUUAGGGAACUUUUAAUACUAAAAAUAAAAUAAAAAAUCUUUAUGAAAGGGCUUUGUGUCAAUUGUUUUUUUAUUUAAACAAUAUUAUUUAAAAAAUAUCUUGAUAAAUAAUAUUUUAUAAAUAUUAUAAAAGUACGAUACUUUUAAAACUAUCUUUACAAAAAAGAUUUAUUGGUAAUAGAUAUUGUAAGCUAAUUUUGGGUCAAAAUUCUCAUCGUGUUCUCUUAACUCAAUUAAUUCAAAUCCUCCCUCGAGCUUUUUGUUAUUUCUAAAGUGUUUCUAAAAUGGGUUGAUUUAGUUUAGGUUUUAUUAAUUUAUACUCUCAUAUUUUUCAUCUUUGGAAUACAACCCGAAUUUCUUCUUGUGUAGAUUAAAAAAAAAAAAAAGGUUGAGAUCAAACUUCUAUGAGCUUUAAAUGUGUUUUAGAAGAAGAAAGUGAAUACUUGAAGUUUGAAAGCACUAGGUAAGUAGUUUGGGAGAGGAUUGACGGUUUGGACUAAAUAAAUCCUAAUAUUUAGUUAAUUUUCUUCAUAAUGAAUAGUUUUGAUCGCAUGUAGCUUAUGGUUUUUUUAUCUAUUUGGAAGUUUUCCACGUUAAAUCUUGAUGUUAUGGUCUUUUUUCUUUUAUCUCAUCCUUUCAUUUGUUUAUCUCACCUUUUGUGAAAUUUUCAUUAAUUUAAUAUGUAGGUUGAUUUAGGAAAUGAGUUGAAAUUGAUUCAUUUAAUCUUUGGAAUACUAUGAAAUAUUUUUUAACAUGUAUUUUAUGUUAAUGGAAAUGAGAGAAUGCAUUUUGAAUAUUUGAAAUGCCUUGUAUAUCUUGGGUAGAGAGUGUUUACUCAUUUUCAUGAUGAAAGUUUAAAAAUCUAGAUUAGGGAACACUUGGAUAUGGUGAAUAAGUGUUAGAAAUUUUUUUUAGCCCUAAGUUAAUUAUUUUUAAUUUUGAAUAAAGAAAUAAAAACCCUUUUUAGCAUGAUAUUUAUAGGAUACAAAUAUUGAGUCGAUUGAAACUAGAAAUUUUAAAAUAAAAUCGAUUAAACCAUGGAAAUAAAUAAAAAUUAUGGAAUUGGGCGCCCUUAGGAGUGCUCCAAACAACACUUGAGUGCUCUCCACGAUGCUUAAACACCCCUUUUUAAAAAACAAUUUUAAAACAAUUUUUCACUCAAAUUAAAAACCUUCCAUCCACUUCAUGCCUAAAUAAAUCCAAUUAACAUUUUAUGGAUCUUUUUAGACUUAAUUGUAUCAUUUUGGUUGAUCACACAAUGAUCUUGUGUUUUCAACAAAAAGUAAGACAUAAUUUAAAGAAGUCCUAAGUGAGAAUGAAUGGAAUAAAAUUACUAAUUAUAUAAAAAUACAUAAUCUAUUGUACAAAUUACAUUCAUUAUCUUGUUGGGACAACGUUCAACAUCUAUUAUUGCUUAUUGGUAGGACCGAAAAAAUAUCAAAUCAACCUAAAUAUCAUAGAAGUAGUUAACAUUUAUAAAAUACUAUCUUCAAUGGACAUCUAUUCAGCAUCUCUAAACGCUAUCCUUGAUUAAGAUUCACAUAUAGGUAUCAUCAUUUUCAAUUUUUUUAUAUAUAUUUUUUCAUAUUUUAUUUCUAAAAAGUAAAAUCAUCUUUUUAAAAUGAGAUUUUAGUAUAAACAAAACUUAUGAAUUUGUUUAAAAACAUAGGUAAUUGUGAAAAAAGAAACUUGUAUGGGUGAGAGCAAGUUUAUAUUAUCAAAUAAAAUACAUAACAUUGAUCCCAUGGAUUGAAGCUACAAAAUACAAAAGGCAUUUAGUGCGUUCACAUGUGAAUGUCAAGAACAAAGAGGAAAGCAAACAAAAGAGUAGUCAUGAACGGUGGACUCUCUGUAAAGUAACUCCCAGACCUAACACAUUAUACGUAAGACAUGACGUCCAUUCUUAAUAUAUAAUCCAUUUUCUUUACCAUCUCAAGCUGUGCAGGUUAAUUUCAUACUGCUUUACAUCUUUCUUAUUGACUUAUUGUACACAUUCUACCAACUAGUUAAUGCGGUAGUCACUUAUUGUACACAAGGAACUGGGACGGGAGAGUGAUGACGCAGGAGGGGACGUAACCAUUCUACUGAGAAAUUGGAAUCAACCGGAGCAGUCGAGUGUCAGCUUUAAAUUCGAAGCUUGUCCUAUACAUGUCCUGUGGGACACCCCAAUCUUCCUCUCUGUGAUUCAGUGACGUGAGGAGGGACGUAUGCAGAAACCGUUAAACCUAAAUAUUAUUACAUCAUUGUAAUUAAGUAGGAACGUGGGAUAUUCAUAUUGGGUAAAGUCAGUUUCAAUUUAGAAUGAAGAUUUUAGAGGAAUGGUGUCGUUAGAGAAACCAUAAAGACUAUAGAGAACCUCAAAACCACGAUCCUGAAAUUCUUCUCUCUUCUCCUGGUCAUAGCUUCCAACCCCUCAUCAUGGGUCUGCACUCCACAUUUAGGAUUCUAUGCCAAAAUUUUGAGUUAAUAUGCAAUCUUAUCCAAAGUCAUGUCCUGCCGACAUUUUGGAGUAUGUGGGGAACUGACAGAUGUUAAUCUCUAGGCCUGAAAUCGUAAAUCUUUAGCUUUAUGUCAACAAGAAGUAGCUUGAUGAACAUAACCCAAAUCCCUGCAGAUUCGUUCCUUGAGACAGUGACGGAUCCCCUAAUACGUGGGUCCCUUUUUCUUAUCAAGAAAAACAUAGCACGUGGUUCCCUUCUGUGACUUCUUUGGUCAAAAGUUCUCAAUCUAAAUUCUUUGCAGUGCCACUGAGAAACAAGUAUAUCUCCACUAAUUGUUUCCUCUGAUUUAAUUUGUCCAUUACAGAUAAUGGCUGUUCAAAAGUUAGCCUAUUUGCCACGUCCCGGGGAUUUCUAUCUUAAUCAUAUGAGACAAAAUAUUGACUGGCGUGGCAAAGUUAGCUCCGUGAACUUCCCAACUACGCAGCCUCUCGCACUCACUUACACUCGCACUAAAGUCUAUAAAUACCGAGUGCGUAUUGCCUUUCCAAUCCAUCCAGCAGAGAAACAAUAUCUUUGAGAGUUACUUUUCAGUAGAAAGUCUUUCACCUCCUUUGCUUUUGUGUGAGAAAAAUGGCUUACUCCAAGACUUUCCUUCUCAUUGGCCUUCUCUUUGCUGUUGUUCUCAUCCUGUCCUCUGAGGUUUCAGCUCGGGAUCUAGCUGAAACAUCCCAAACUCGUAAGUUAAAUUUCUUUUAGUAGAUGUAAAUUAAUGGCAUGUUAUGUGUUCAUAUAGAGAUGCUUUAUUAACUUAUUUAAAGUAAUAAAUUUCGUUUUCUUAAAUUAUGGCAGAAGUGAGCGUGGAGGAUGCGAAGUACGGUGGGUAUGGACACGGGUACGGCCACGGAAAAGGACAUGGGUACCAAAAAGGACAUGGGCAUGGGCAUGGGAAACCUGGUCAUGGGGGACCUGGCCAUCCACCUGGUCAUGGUGGUGCUGGUGAGGAUGUGGAAGAGGGGACGCAGAAUUAGUGUAAUCAAUCCUUAAUUAUGUGGGCUACGCAUGAUUAGGGUGUGUUUUAUGUAAGUUUAUGAAAGCGUGUGUAUCAAUAAGGCAUGUGGGCUUAGGGUUACUCUCUAAGACCAGCAUGGCUGUGUUGUAGCUUCUAUGCUUAAUAUAAUGCUUUUUCAUGUGCUGUGCUAAAAUGGAGUAUGAUGAAUGCCGUCGGGUGAUCUACCCUUUUUUUUUUUCUUGGGAUUAUAUUAUUUACUUCGGAGUAAUUUUGUUGAGAUAUGAUUUUGUGUAAAUAUACUUACCAUCAUUGGUUUCAAAUUAUAUUAGUUUAUACCCUCACCAACAUACCCACCUCAAAUCUUUACCUAAAAUUGAUCUAAAAACCUAAAAUUUAUCUAAAAAGUAAAUUGUGAACAUGCGAAAUUUAAAACCAGCAACAACUUAGGCUAUGUUUGGUUUUCGAAAAAUUUGAGGAAAAUGUAAAGGAAAGAAAAUAGAGAGGAAAAGUAAAAGGAAAGAAAAGGAAAAUAAAAAAUAGAGUUAAAGAUAAUAAAUCAUUUUUAUUUGUUACUUUAAAUUUAUAUUAUUUAUUUUAAUUUAUCAAUAUAAAAAUUAAAUAAUUUUAAAAUAUAUAAGUUUUUAAUUAAUUUUAAUUAUAUUUAAUUUUCUUUGUAAUAUUUUAUAGGAUAAUUAAAUAUGAGAAAAUCAUUUUUUAUCAUUUUUUUUUUCUUUUGUACUUUUCGGGAACCAAACAUAACUUUAGUGUAUUUACACUCAACCUUAAAAGUAUAAAUGAGAUUAAUUUUUAUUUGGAAUUAUUGGAAUUUGGAUUUGAAAAGAAAGAAAUUUUUUUUUUGAAUUGAGAAAAAAAUGAAGGUAAAAAGUAUAAUAACCAAUUAUAUAGUUAUAAAAAGAAUUUGCAUGGUAAAGCCUUUUAUUGAGAGGUCUUAGUUUUCUUUGAGAUAUUUUAAGUUGAAGAUUAUUGCAGUCAAUCCUAUUUUGUGGGUUAUUUAUAUAAAUUCAUUGAAAUUGUAGCUCGGGAGUAAAUGAAAUACAAAUAGGAUAUGCAUUCUCAGUCCUCUAUUUAAGAAACCAAAUGUAGUAUAAAAAAAAAUACUUAUGCAAUUUAAUAUAACAAUAAUACUUCCUAUCCAACACUUAGUCCAAGAGUUACUUAUAUUCCCAUUUUUAUAAGUAUACCAAAUAUAAUUAUUGUUGGUGCACAAUGAAUGAUUACUCGAUUUGGGUAGUUUUUUCCACUGGAUUGGAUGAUUUUGUAAAAAACGAGUCGUUGGAUGGUUGUUUUGGGCAUCCUUCUUCAAUGGUUAAGUUAGUUUGAGAAUUUUUAAGGCAAAUAUUUUGUAUGGGUUUAGAGUGUAUAUCUUUAUUUAUUUUUAACGUUCGAUGUUCUUUUAUAAUAGAGGCAUCUUAUAAUGGUGUUUAUAUUUUAUGAUUAUUAUUUAUUGUAGUUUUAGUGCAUGUUAGAGCAUAACGAUUUAGUCAUUGGAAAUGAUUGAUUAUUUAUAUUAUGAAAUAAUUACCUUUGAAAUGACACAUAAUGAUUGUAUUUAUAUUUUUACCAUUGGAAAAAUAAUUAUUGACUCUAAUUUGGUUCUAUGUUAGUCGGGCGAUACAAGUUGUAUCUAAAUCAUUAAAUGAUGAGAUUUUGAUUAUUGAAUGUGAAUAGAAAUGGAGGUGAUAAAAAUUUAAAGGCAUAAAUAAAUGGAAUUAAUGUAUAUAAAAAAAAAAGAUUUGAAAAUGGUUUAAGUGUUGGCAUGCGAGGGUGUCCUUUGUUAUCUAAGAUCGAUUUGAAGAGAAUUGAGAGGUCGGUGGACAUGAGGACAGAUAUGAGAAUGACGUGAGAUGGGACGUAAUCAUUCAAGAGAUAUCAUGUGAGUAGAAAUUAGAAUGUAGUGAACUUUGCCCAUGCAUAUGGAGUUGAAUUUUAAGCUCAAAUCCAACACCUGUCACCCAUGUGGCACUCUCAAUUGACAUAAUAGUGUUGUGUUUUGGACUUGGUGACGUGUGGAGGGACGUACGUAUACAUGAAUGGGCUGUUUCAGGGACUUUUCUCAAUAGUAUAGUAAUUUAAAAAAGUUAUGCUUAAAUUAUUAUAGUAGAAGAAGUUAUUACAAAUAUAUGGUAGUUUUUGCCACAUAGGAGAAAGGAGAGAGGAGAUAGGAGAGAGGGUGAACGGAUAAUUUUUUUUAAAAAAGGGAACUCGUCUCUUGAAGAGACGAGUUCCAUGAAAAAAAAAUAUAUAUUUUUUAAAAAAAAUUCCUAUUUACUCAAGGGAACUCGUCUCUUGACGAGUUCCAUGAAAAAAGACAAGGGAAAGACGAGUUCCUAGGGAAAAAAAAAUAUUUUUUUUAAAAUAUAUUUUUUAUUUAAAAAAAAUCCUAAAUUAAAUUAUAAAAAAAAUUUCCUAAAGGGAACUCGUCUCUUCAAGAGACAAGUUCCCAUGUAAAAAAAUUUUUUUUUUUUUUAAAAUAUAUAUAUUUAAAAAAAAAAAAUUUCCUUUUUUUUUAAUUUGGGAUUUUUUUAAAAUAAAAAAUAUAUUUAAAAAAAAAAUAUUUUUUUCCCAUGGGAACUCGUCUCUUCAAGAGACGAGUUCCCUUUAGCAAUUUUGAGAAAUUGUUUUUUUUUUUUUAAUAUAUAUAUAUUUAAAAAAAAUAUUUUUUUUACAUGGGAACUCGUCUCUUGAAGAGACGAGUUCCCUUUGGAAUUGUUUUUUUUUUUUUUUUUUAUUUGGGAUUUUUUUUUAAAAAAAAUAUUUUUUUUACAUGGGAACUCGUCUCUUGAAGAGACGAGUUCCCUUUGGAAUUGUUUUUUUUUUUUUUUUUUUUAUUUGGGAUUUUUUUUUUUUAAAAAAUAUUUUUUUCCUAUGGGAACUCGUCUCUUGAAGAGACGAGUUCCCUUUAGGANNNNNNNNNNNNNNNNNNNNNNNNNNNNNNNNNNNNNNNNNNNNNNNNNNNNNNNNNNNNNNNNNNNNNNNNNNNNNNNNNNNNNNNNNNNUUUUAUUUAUUUAAAAAUAUAUAUUUUUUUUUACAAGGGAACUUGUCUCUUCAAGAGACGAGUUCCCUUUAGCAAUUUUGAGAAAUUGUUUUUUUUUUUUUUUUAAUAUAUAUAUAUUUAAAAAAAAAUAUUUUUUUUACAUGAAGAGACGAGUUCCCUUUGGAAUUGUUUUUUUUUUUUUAUUUUUUUAUUUUUUUAUUUGGGAUUUUUUUUAAAUAAAAAAUAUAUUUUAAAAAAAAAUAUUUUUUUUCCCAUGGGAACUCGUCUCUUGAGUUUCCUUUAGGAAUUUUUUUUUUUUAAAAUAUAUAUAUAUUUUUAAAAAAAAUAUUAUUUUUACAUGGGAACUCCCUUUAGGAAUUUUGAGGAAUUGUUUUUUUUUUUUUUUAAUAUAUAUAUUUUAAAAAAAAAAUAUUUUUUUUUACAUGGGAACUCGUCUCUUGAAGAGACGAGUUCCCUUUGGAAUUGUUUUUAUUUUUUUAUUUUUUUUAUUUUUAUUUUUAUUUUUAAUUUGGGAUUUUUUUAAAUAAAAAAUAUAUUUAAAAAAAAAAAAUUUCCCAAGGGAACUCAGGAAAUUUUUAUUUUUUUUAAAUAUAUAUAUUUUUAAAAAAAAUAUUUUUUUUUUACAUGGGAACUCAUCUCUUCAAGAGACGAGUUCCUUUGAGGAAUUGUUUUUUUUUUUUUUUUUUAAUAUAUACAUUUAAAAAAAAAAAUAUUUUUUUUUUACAUGGGAACUCGUCUCUUCAAGAGACGAGUUCCCUUUGGAAUUGUUUUUUUUUUUUUUUUUAAUUUUUUAAUUUGGGAUUUUUUAAAUAAAAAAUAUAUUUUAAAGAAGAGACGAGUUCCUUUAGGAUUUUUUUUAAAUAAAAAAUAUAUUUAAAAAUUUUUUUUUUUCCCAUGGGAACUCGUCUCUUGAGUUCCCUUAGGAAAUUUUUUUUUUUAAAUAUAUAUAUUUAAAAAAAAAAAAUAUUUUUAAAAAAAAAAAAUUUUUUUUUACAUGGGAACUCGUCUCUUCAAGAGACGAGUUCCCUUUAGGAAUUUUGAGGAAUUGUUUUUUUUUUUUUUAAUAUAUAUAUUUUAAUUAGGAAUUUUUUUUUUAAAUAUAUAUAUUUUUUUAAAAAAAAUAUUUUUUUUUACAUGGGAACUCGUCUCUUGAAGAGACGAGUUCCCUUUGGAAUUGUUUUUUUUUUAUUUUUUUUUUAUUUUUUAUUUUUUUAUUUGGGAUUUUUUUAAAUAAAAAAUAUAUUUAAAAAAAAAAAUAUUUUUUUUCCCAAAGGGAACUCGUCUCUUCAAGAGACGAGUUCCCUUUGGAAUUGUUUUUUUUUUUUUUUUAUUUUUUAUUUUUUAUUUUUUAUUUGGGAUUUUUUUAAAUAAAAAAUAUAUUUAAAAAAAAAAAUAUUUUUUUCCCAAAGGGAACUCGUCUCUUCAAGAGACGAGUUCCCUUUGGAAUUGUUUUUUUUUUUUUUUUUUUUUAAAUUUGGGAUUUUUUUAAAUAAAAAAUAUAUUUUAAAAAAAAAAUAUUUUUUUUCCCAUGGGAACUCGUCUGAAGUAGGAAUUUUUUUUUAAAUAUAUAUAUUUUAAAAAAAAAUAUUUUUUUUUACAUGGGAACUCGUCUUUUUUUUUUUUUUUUUUUUUAAUUUAGGAUUUUUUUUAAAUAAAAAAUAUAUUUUAAAAAAAAUAUAUUUUUUUUCCCAUGGGAACUCAUCUCUUGAAGAGACGAGUUCCCUUUAGGAAUUUUUUUUUUAUGGGAUUAUUUUUAAAUAAAAAAUAUAUUUAAAAAAAAUAUAUAUUUUUUUUUCCCAGGGGAACUCGUCUCUUCAAGAGACGAGUUCCCUUUAGUUCCAAAUUGUUUUUUUUUUUUUUUUUAAUUUGGGAAUUUUUUAAAAAUAAAAAUAUUUUUUUAAAUGGAAACCCGCCCCUUGGAGAAAAGAGUUUCCUUGAAAAAUGGUUUUUUUUUUUUUUUUUAAUUUGAAAAUUUUUUAACAAUAAAUUAUAUAAUUUUUUCCAGGGAACCCCCCUCCUGAAAAGACAAGCUCCCCAAAGAAAAGGGGAAUUUUCUUAAAAAANNNNNNNNNNNNNNNNNNNNNNNNNNNNNNNNNNNNNNNNNNNNNNNNNNNNNNNNNNNNNNNNNNNNNNNNNNNNNNNNNNNNNNNNNNNNNNNNNNNNUUUUUUUCCCAUGGGGAACUCAUCUCUUGAAGAGACGAGUUCCCUUUAGGAAUUUUUUUUUUAUGGGAUUAUUUUUAAAUAAAAAAUAUAUUUAAAAAAAAUAUAUAUUUUUUUUCCCAUGGGAACUCGUCUCUUCAAGAGACGAGUUCCCUUUAGUUCCAAAUUGUUUUUUUUUUUUUUUUUAAUUUGUGAAUUUUUUAAAAAUAUAUAUAUUUUUUUUAAUGGGAACUCGUCUCUUGAAGAGACGAGUUUCCUUGAAGAAUUGUCUUUUUUUUUUUUUUUAAUUUGAGAAUUUUUUUACAAAUAUAUAUAUAUAUUUUUUCAUGGAACUCGUCUCCUGAAGAGACGAGUUCCCUUAAGUAAAUGGGAAAUUUUCUUAAAAAAAUAUAUAUAUUUUUUUUCAUGGAACUCGUCUCUUCAAGAGACGAGUUCCCUUUUUAAAAAAAAUUUAUCGAUUCACCCUUUCUCCUAUCUCCUCUCUCCUCUCUCUCACCUUCUCUCCUAUCUCCUUUCUCCUCUCUCCUAUGUGGCAAAAACUACCAUAUAUUUGUAAUAACUUCUUCUACUACAAUAAUUUAAGCAUAACUUUUUUAAAUUACUAUAUUAUUGAGAAAAGUCCCUGUUUCCAGUUUCCAACUAUGUCAUUAAAGGAAGGUUCAUGAUUUUUUUGGAACUUUAAAAUGAUAUGACAAACACAGCGUAGCAUUUUUCUUAAAAGGAAAUCCAUAUAAAACAAUUUAUAUUUCUAAUUACCAAAUUCUUCGUACCAAUAUUUAGAGUGUUUGAUAAUAAUUAUAAAAAAUAUUUAUACUUUUUUUAACACCAAAAUUUUUUUAUCUUUCACAUAUAAAAAAGUUAAAAAUACUUUCUAAAACUUUAAUACAUUCAUUUUCAUUUGAAGUGGGUAAUCGAGGCAAUGUUUGUCUUUUUCUUUUUGAAUUGUUGCUAUCUUUGAGUUAAUCCUUUGGAGCCUCAUUCUACAGUAUGAAGAGAAGAACAAGUAAAAGUGGUCCUCCAUCAGUAAGUUAUUAACAAUUACCCAAUGGCAAGGUGGGAAAUUUGAUAGGAUAAAAAAAAAAAUCCUUAAAUGGACAUUUCAUUCAUUUGAAUAACAUGGAAAUGAAAUCCCAUGAGUGAAAUUUUAAUUCUUCCUAAUUAGGGGUAUUUUAAUUCCAUAGUAUAACUUAUUUUUAAAAUUACUUUUCAAAAAUUAAAAAAUUAAAGACCUUUUUAGAUAAGUUAUUUUUAAAAUUAAUUUUUAUUUUGAUUUUGUAAAACAUACAAAUUUUAGAUUCAAUUUAUAUAAUAUAAAUUAAGGGUGCUUUUGACAAUGACUCUAGGAAGCCUUUUUUUUUUAAUCCUAAAAUGUGUUUUUGAAAAAAAAAUAAUUAGGUGUUUGACAAAUUUUAGGAAACACUUUUAAAAAUUUGAAGAGUGUGUUUGACAUUGAUUUUAUAAAAUAAUUUUUUUUUUUACAUUUUUAAUACUUGAAAAAUAAAAUUUUUAUAGUGUUAGAAAAAUUAAAAGUGCCUCUUAGAAUCACUACCAAAUGGGGUCGAAAAAUUACUUAUAAUGUUUUUUUAGACAAACACUUGAUAGAUGAUUAUCCUAAAAACACUUUUAAAGAAAAUACUUUCACUAAAAACAUUUCUGAGUAGUAACAUUAAUUGAUUUAUUUUGUUAAAAAUAAAUAAUAAUAAUUUCCAAUACUAUUUAUAUGAUUUUAUAAAUAUUAUAAAAAUAUGGAUAUUAACAUAUUAUAAAAGCAUAAUUAAUUUAUUUUGUUAAAAAUAAAGAAUAAUUAUUCAAAAUUAAUAAUUGCUAAUACUAUUCUAUUUUAAAUAAAUAUAAAAACAAACAAAAUUUAAAAUUUUAAGUUAUAAAUGAGCUAAAAUUUUCAAUAUGUAUGCAUUUAUUACUUAAUUAUGAAGAUGACAUUGUGAAUUAUUUUAUUUGAUCUAUAAUUAAUUAAUUAAUUAUUUAAAUUUUGAAUUAUUCUUAAAAAAUUAUAUAUAUGUUUUAAAUUCUUUAAUAAAUCUUAUCAUUUUUAAAAGCAAAGUAAAAUAAAGAAUUGUUCAAUACAAAGUCUUGUUUAAUUUGAAAUUCAUUGUUAGGAAAGAAAAAAAAAUUCAGAAGAACAGUUCUCUAUUUUACUUUGCUUUUAAAAAUUGUGUUUAAAGAACAACAACCAUAUAGUGAUAUAAAUUUUUAAAAACAAUUUUGUUUUUAAAUCACACGACCAAAUAGGAUUUUAUUACCGGGACCCCAGAUCUUUCUGUUCUCAUACCUUGGAUCGUAUAGGUGCAUGUAAACUACUCUAUGCCUUUAGAUCUUAUGUAAUGGAAGCAAAAAAUAAAAUUUUAAUAUUCUAAGAUAUAAAGAAAAGUCAUUAGAAAACUUUACCUUUAAUUUAAACGUUUUCAAAUCAAUUUCGCUCAAUGAAGUUGAAGCUUGAACAGUUCGAAGGUCUCGUACACCCAAGAUUUUCCUCUCAAUGACUCGAAUUACGAUCUUAACACUCCAAAGUGUAGGCUUUGGGAGGGAGGAAUCCUAGGCUCUUUAUCUUUAGAGGUAGAAGACGACUAUCUUUCAAAGUGAUGAAAACCCUAACUCCUAGGGGGUAUUUAUAGAGUUUCCUUAUUAGGCUUAAGUGACUUGAGCCUACCAAGGCUUAAGUGACUUGAGCCUACCAAAGCUUAAGUCAUUUAAUUUAGUCUAAAAUGGGUCCUAAUUAAUUAAUUAACUAUAUAUGUCUAUUUAAUUAAUUAAUUCGCACAUUUUAAAGAACUUGUUUGCUAUUCCCUAUGCAACCUUGCAUAAUUAUCAAAAUGCUCUUAUGCACAAAAGUGAAUUGAGAGUCAAUCCAAACCUCAUAAACCGUACCACCAUGAUAUAUGAGCUCAGAGUGGGGAUUAUUGGGACCAAUAGGAGUAUUGAUUUCCUCAAAAUCCAAAUAUGAAGUUGAUUCAAUAUUCCAUUAAAGAGAAUCAACCGCACUUUUAGUACCUUAUAUAAAUAUUAACGAGACAAAACUCAGGCUUGUGACUUACUAUCCACUGUAUGUAAACUUCUCAUGAACUGAUGUUUGUAAUUUAAUAAGGUAGUAUUAUUAUCUAUCAAGAUUGCCUCUAUAAUCCUUGAGUUAUAGAUCUCAUUUAUCAUGUAAUCAAUUGACAUACUCUAACUCUAAGAAGUAUAUGUAAUGCCCUAAACCCAAGAGUAAAAUCAUAAUUUAAAAUAAUAAAUAAUUUAAUAAGGGUAAAAAUGUCUUUUCUUAUUUAAAAUUCCUACGUAUAAAUUAAAUAUUUUUUAUAUUCUCUACUCAAAAAAUCCUUUUACAUGUAGAUAGAAAAUAUCAAAGAGCGUAGGGUUUGAAUAUCAAUUUUUCAGGUAAGAUUUUAAUUCUUAAAUUAAUAUUUUAUAUUUGUUAAUUAGUUUUAAACACUUUAGAUAUCUUUUUGGAAGAUCUCAAUCUAGAUUAUGGUUUGUUAAAUUAAUUUUUAGAUCAAAAGACUGAAAAUUUAUGAAUGUGGAUUAAUUUAUGAUGAAAAUAUGAAAAUUUAGAAAAUUUUAAUUGAAUAGAAAAAAAUGAAUAAAAAAUCAAUGGAAGAAAAAAAAUUUUAAAAUUUUAAAAUAAAUAAAUAAAUUGUUUGUGGAGGCUUUAGAUUGGAAAAAAAGAAAAGAAAAGAAAAUGUGUAGAUAUAUUUACCAUGUGAAAAAAAUAAUAAAAUAAAUAAAUAAAUAUAAUGGGAGGCGUGUAGGUGGUUUUGUAGAAUGUUGUGGGAUUAAAAAAAUAAAAUAAAAUGAAAUUGGAGGACACCUGUGUUGCCAAAGUGUUGAGUUCACUAUAAGAAAAAAGGGUAAUAAUGACGCUUUUUAGGCGUCAAUAAAUGUAUACGAUGACGCUUCUCGAAAGCGUCCUUUUCGCCUCUGUCAAGGAAUGGGUGCAGGCAACCAUGUCGCUUCUAGACAGCGUCAUUGUUGAUUGGUUUAUAUUAACACGUUAAAAAACGUCAUUAUUGAUCUACCUAUGUUAACACUUACACUAGCGCCAAGGAAUGGCCAAAAUAUCAUUUGUCUAUUUCGACGCUAAAAAAAGUGUCAUCUUAUGUGGAUAAUAAUAUUGAAAAUCCCCUUGUUGAAAUGAUAUAUUUUGUAUGUCCUGUUAUAUAUAAUUUUGGCUGCAUGAUUAUUUAUAAAGUAUUAAACAAUAACUUCAAUAUUAAUAACUACAUCUUCCAAAAGAAAUUGAAUAAAUUUGGGAAUAAUAUAAUGAUAAAGAACUAAUGUCUACAUAGUUAAUUAAUACGCAAAUUUGUAAAUGUAUCAAAAUAUUUACAAGCAUAUUUUCCAACUUCAACAUAUAUAAAACAAGUACACAUGUACCAAAAAGCAAGGUCUCCAAAUUCCUUAUCAAAAAUAAUAUUACAAGAAGAAGAAGAAGAAGCCAAAAGUAUUUAUAGCCAAAAGUAUUUUUGUUUGGUAGCAUAUCCACUCCUGAACUUGAAAUCUUUUACCUGUAUACAUUUAAAAAAAAAAUAAUAGAAGAAACAAAUUAUGUUUAGUUAAUAUACAUGCAAUGAAAGUUAAAUCUAAAUCUAUAAAUGGUCCAUGAAAGAAGUGCAAAUGAGAAUAACUUGGUAUUUAAUGAGAUGUUAUGCUUCAAUGAAGAUGAAAAAUUGUUUAAUUUGAUACUUGUUUAUAAAAUAUUAAAAUACUUUUUUAGUUCAUUAUUAAGUUAGAGGAAACAAGUUAGGCUUUCAAUGGUAUAAAUUCUACAAUAUGGAAUGUAAUAUAAUAUUUUCUUAUCUAUGUCUAACAUAUCAAACUCAUUUCUCAGAAAUAAAUAUAUGAAUAUACCAAUAGGUAUGGUUUAUAAUUAGUUUCAAUCAUAAAUCAUCAUAUCUAGUAAUAUAAGACAUUUAAUAUUAACCAUUUGCAAAUGCCUUAAUUUCUUCUUACAACUUUCCUAUAUUACCAAAUUUAGUUAACUAAUAACAUUCCAUAAGGAAAAAAAGAGUAUUAAACUAAAAAUUAAAAGAGCAUAACCAAGGCAAUAGAAACCUACAAAUCAUUGGUUAAAUGUCAUAAUAACAACCAUUCUAAAACUUGCCUUUAUUUUCAAUUCCAAAAUUAUAACCCAAAUAUAAUAAUUAACCCUACACAAAAAAAAGCUCUCUACCAUCCCUCCAUCCAACAACAACCUGUUGAUGCAACAACAAUAACUUCUCCAUACAACAAUAACAAUUUCUCCAUGUAACAACAACAACAACAACAAUAACAAUAACAAUAACAAUAACAUUGAUGAUCAAUGGUGAUAAUUAUAUUAGUAAUAAUUUGAUUUGUUUAGUCCAAACAUAUAACAAUAACAACUUCUCUAUGCAACAACAACAAUAAUAAUGACAACAUUGAUGAUCAUGAUAUAAUAAUUUGAUUUAUUGAGUUCACAAAUUAUAUGCUUCUUCUCCAUACAACAAUAACAAAAAUAACUUCUCCAUGUAACAACAUUGGUGAUGAUGUAAUAAUUUGAUUUGUUAUAUUGAAAUAGUUUAUGUAUAAAACUAUUAUAUUCUAUCACUAUGGAGGAAAAAAUUACUUAUCAUGAGAUGAGAACUUAUGAGAAUCGUCAAAAUGUGAUCUACAACUCUUACUGGACUGAAAUGAGGGCAUCUGCAUACAUAAGAUGGUAAAUUAAAAAAAUUAGUCCAUUCAAGACUUCAUUAAUAAUGAAAAUCAAGCAUUUUAGAUGUUAAUUUAUACCUUCAGGCAUGGGUAAGAAUCAAUUGAGUUGCCAACAUAACCCACUCAGAUCGUACUUCAUUAAGCUCAACUUCACUAUACGAUUUUUUCCCUUUAAACUAAUAAUUAAUUGUACAUACAUGAUGAUUAGUUAAGUUAACAAAAAAUUACUAAAGUAUAGAAACUAAUAAAAUUUAUUAAUGAGUAUAUACAUUUGUGGAUAGGAGGCUUGGAUCAACAAUUAUAUCUUUCAUGUAUCUCAUCACAUAAUAACCACACUCCACACUUCCUAGUUGUCCUGGGCACUAUAGGCACACAUAUGAAUUAUNNNNNNNNNNNNNNNNNNNNNNNNNNNNNNNNNNNNNNNNNNNNNNNNNNNNNNNNNNNNNNNNNNNNNNNNNNNNNNNNNNNNNNNNNNNNNNNNNNNNUAUCUUACUCUAACCAAAUUAACUUACCACUACUUUUACCCAUGUCGGCUCCCUCUUUGAUGAUCUUUGUUUCUCUGGUGGAUGAAUUCGUAGUGCCCUACAUGGAAAAGAAAAUUAACAUUUUAGAUACUAUGCACUAUAUUCAAGUAUGGAAAUGAAGACACUUACAUGUUAACAAUUUCCUUAAGAUCAUCACAUGGUUGCUUUUGCAUCGGAUCAAGGUAGUACGCAGUCAUUGUCCUCAUAUCCAAUGCCACCAAGACCCAGUGGAAACUAUAAUAGUACAUUAGAUAUUAUUUAGUAAUUAGCAUUGAUUAAGCUAUUUAACAUUAAAAAAAAACUUAAUAUUUUUCAUAACUUACUCAGGGUUAUAUGGAAUAAAAAUGUAGUCAGCACGCUUUGCAUGCAUUAAACGAUUUGCAAUCAACCUUGACCUAUUUUCCUUUGUUGUCUCACCCAUUCCAGCUUUAGAGACUAAAGCUGGAUUGAUAAAAGCAAAUCGUUCGGUGAGCCUUGCAUUACUUAGCUUUUUCUGUAGGUGCCUGUUUAAAUUCCACAUACCUUGAUAAGAAAUGACCAUUUUACUUUUAUAUAUAUAUAAAUUAACACACAUUAGCAAGUUAUAAAAUUAUUUACCAUAUAUAAUAUAUGACACAAUUAGCCGACACUUUCUUAAAUGAAAUUAUCAUAUCCAUGUCUUCUUUCAUAAGGAAGGUCUUAAAACUCUCGCCAAAUACAUCAUUUGGGACCUCCACACCUUGUGCUUUCCCCUCAUUUAGCAUGAGACCUACUAAUGCAUCAAAAUUGUUGAUAUCUUGAGGGUUUUCACCAAUUUUCAAGUCAUUUUCUGUUGUUUUUUGUCUUUUCCCUUUGUGAGAUCCCUAUAAAAGAAAGCACCAUGUUUUCAAAUGAUAUACAUAUCUUUAUAAACUAUUUCAAAUGAAAAUAACACACCUUAAUGAAUUUAGUACUCAAAUUGACUAAAUGGGUUGGCCAUAAAACUUGGUAGCCCACUACCGCUCCAAUUGUUGUAGCUUGUCCAGGAAUGGGAAUAGGAAGUGGUGUAUUUGACUUAUAGGGAGCAUCCAAAACAACUAGGUAGUUGGGCCCACAAUCCAUUACAAUUAUUCCACCAGCCACUGUAUUUUCUCUGGUCCCUACUGCUAACUCACAUUUUCUUGCCUUCAAAAGUAAAUUAAAUUGUUAAUUUCAAUAUAAAAAAGAAUCAAUAAAUGAAGUUUAAAGUGCAUUGACUAUGUUAGGGCUAUAUUUAAGACAUAAAGUUACAUAUUUUAUAAGUAAUAGUUGUAGUGGAAUAGAAUAUUACUAGUAGUAAUUAUGCUGUAAUAGAAUCUACCUAAAAUGUAAGUAUCAAUCUAACAAAAAUAAAAGCAAUUGGAAGAAAUUAUUUAUGAAAAUUAUCUAGGAAUUUGUGACAAUUACGUCAUUGAACUAGGAAAUGUAAACUAAAAAUAACACACCUUCAUGUGUGGUUCUAUUUUCACAGGUAAGGUCUCCUCUUCAACUUUACGAAUUGGUUUCUCCACUACUUCUGGUAGAAGCAACAGUUUUGAUUUCAUGUUGGAACUACUCACAUCGGAUUGUGGUGUAGCAACUCCUAUCUGAGAUAGUCUCGCUAACACAUCAGCCUCAAACUUAACUUGACGUUCUUGAGUUGCUUUUAAAAUAUCCCUCACAACACGUUCUGACAUACUAUUGAAAUAUCAUCCAGGCGUGUAGUGCUUCCCUUUAGCUCGAACCCAACCAGUAUACUCAGGAGUACCUAGUGCUUGAGAAAGUAUGUCAUUGCUCCCACUAUAGCUUAUGCCACUCUCUUGAGACUCUUUUAUCAAUUCAUCCUAAAACAAAAGGAAGUUAUGAAGUUAACUUUCAAAUAAGUAAAACCAAAUAAGGUGUUUAAAGAUGUGAUUUUUGGGUACAAAAUGUCUACUUACUAUUUUUUCCAUUACCGGUAGGACCACAUCAUCAUAGUUGCCAUCUUUUUUUUGCAUUGCCCUCUUCCAAAGUAAACUUCUAUCAAUGCUUUCUAUGGAGCCAGCUUCAAUCAUCUAAUAGAAAUGGAAAAUUAAAGAUAGUUAUUAGAUGACACAUGUGGUUUUAUUUCUAUUUUUUUGUCAGAAAAGAAACAAUUAAGAAACCCAUAUAAAAUAUUCCUUCAUUACUUAUACAAUCAUAUAAAAUUAAACCACAAUAAGAACUAACAAAAACUUACCAUCUCUUCUUCAAGUCCAGCAUACCCUUUUCUACUUAGAUGAUGAUUAUAUAUAUGCUUCUUUCUUCUCUGUUUUUGUACUUCCCUAUAUUCCUAAAAAUUAAAAUGGAUGCUUAGUAUAUAUAUGUGGAUGCAUGUAGUAUGUUUAAUGUUAAUUGUAUUUGUACCUGGAAUUUUUCAGACAACCUAGUUUUCACAAAAAUAUUCCAAUCUUCAUCAUCGAUAAAAUGAUAUUCAGCUGGUGGUUUCUUAAGAAGCUCUGGCUGAUCUUUGAAAGGAAGAAUAUGUUUCACAGUCAACGUGUUCUUAAAAGAUCGAAAACAUUUUCCCAAUGUAAGCAUACAAUUCCUUCUACUUUUCUUGUCUAAUGUAAAAGCAAUCUACAAAUUAUAAAGUCAUUAGUUUCUCAAAAUUUGAAAGAAAUAUAGAGAUUGUAGAAAACUUAUUUAUGUUAAAAAAAAAAGUAACCUCAAUAGAGUCCCACAACUUAUCCUUCAAUUGUUCAGGGACAUCUCGCCAUGUGUUAUAUCUGAUUGGUACCAUCGUACGUGCCAAUACACCUAAGUAGCUUGUUAGGUGCACAGAAGAUUCUCCUACAUAGAUACCAUCAACAUUGUACUUUAUGACCAACUUUAUCCCUCUAUUCCUAUUCCUUAUAAUCAUGGAUUUCCUUGUUGUCCCUCUAUAUUUUUUUUGUGAAGGGGUUUUCUCUUCCUUUGAAUCCAUGCCUAUAACACAUCAAUGAGAAAUGAUAAGUAUACCCAUUAAUUGCAAGUAAAAUUGAAUUUUUUAUAACAUGAACUCAUAUUAGUAACAUGAACAUACUAGGAACAUUUUACAUGCUAGAUAACAAUAUUCACAUGUUGUCAUGAAAUAUUUAAAAAUAAUAAUAAUAAAAACUUACUAGAAGAUCCUCACCAAACUUUUUUCUUAUGGAACUAGAAAUCAUAAGCUUUGAGCUGAGACAAAUUGAUAUCCUUGUAUUACCCUUUAGAUCACUCUGAGAUAUGUGUAUAAUAAUAAUCAUGAAAUAGGGAAUCAAUAAAUUUAGAGACAUGAUGAAUUUAAUCCACUUAGAAAAUAAAUAAGCUAUUUACUGAAAUGCAGAAUUUCAAUAUUAACAAGUUAAUGGGAUAGUUACAACCUUCAUAACAAAACAACAAGGUCAUAAAUUUAGUUACAUAGAAGAUUUGUUAUCAAUCCAGAAUCCCUCACAGUCUCCUCGAAUGCAAAUGACAUCAGAGUCAUCCAUUGUAUCAAAUGAUUCAACUUGUGCCAAGGUGGUAAUGAGAGGAUGGUGUUCAAUAGAAUUAUCCAUGAAGUCAUCAGAAUCCUUUGCUGAAAAUGAGAAGUCCCUUUCAGGAGUUGACAAAACAACUGACCAUCUUGGAUCAAGUUGGUUUUGUACAUAGAAUACUUGCUUGGCUUGGGAGGCUAAAAUAAAUGGAUCUGAUUUAUGAGCCAUCUUAGUGAAGUCAACUAAUGUCAGCCCAAACUCAUCAACUUUGAUGCCGCUCUUAUUAUCAACCCAAUUACAUUUGAAAACUGGAAUCCUAAACAUGGUAUAAUCAAGAUCCCAUAUCUCAGUAAUAAUACCAUAGAAACAUAGCUCACUAAAUACUGGAUUCUUAUCCUUGGCACUAGAAAUUUGCAUUGUUGUUGCUACAAUGCUAACUCCACUAUUCUGGGUAACUCGUAACUCAUCACGGUCUUUUGUGUUGUACUGACACCCAUUUAUAACAUAGCCAUGAUACUUGGCCACGUAGUGGGUAGGACCAUGUGCCAUCCAUCUUAAGGUUUCAGAUAUAGGUUCUUUGUCAGCAAUGACAACUUCUACCUGUUUGAAUGGACCAUAGUUAUUAAUAUUUUUUAUGAUAAGUGCUAAGAAUGGUGCAAUUUUUAGAAUAAAUUCAAUACCUUUUUUCGCAACCAAUGAGUGAAUGUUCGCAUGUGUUCUUCUUGUAGCCACUUUUGUCUCUUAGAUUGACGAGGAUUGUUCAAUUUCAACCAUUUCAUGUGUUCUCUAUAAGAUAUGUAUAAGAAAGUAACAAUAAGUUUCCAAAAUUAGUUUAAGUAAUCUACACAUAAAAUCAAAAUAGUUGACCCUUACUCGAUAUAAGGUUGGAUGAUAGUUGUAUUUUCCAACACAUAAUGAUGUGCUUGCAACAAAAAAUUACAAUCAACUUCGGUGAUAUGACCUCCAGGAAUAGGCGCCCCAACUUUAUGGUCAACAUUAGUGCUACUAGGAACUCCAAUUGCAUCCACAUUUGAUAAGUACUCUGUACAAAAUUCAAUAGCUUCCUCUGCAAUGUAGCAUUCAACAAUGCAACCUUCAGGGUGGUUACGGUUUCACACAUAACCCUUUAAUACUUUCAUGAACCUUUCAAAUGGGUACAUCCAUCUAAAAUAAACCGGUCCACAAAGUCUCACCUCUCUAACAAGAUGAACCGUUAAAUGAAUCAUGAUAUCAAAGAAGGAUGGCGGAAAGUACUUUUCAAGCAAGCGCAAUGUCACAACAAGUUCAUUUUGUAACUUAUCCAAUGUAGACACAUCAACCACCUUCUUACAUAAAGCAUUGAAAAAAAGGCUCAAUCUAGCAAUAGCAUGUCGUACAUGCUUUGGCAAAAGUGAUCGCAAUGCCACUGGUAACAAUUGUUGCAUCAGUGUAUGAUAAUCAUGAGACUUCAGGCCAUAAAGGUUCAAAUCUUCCAUUGACACAAGAUUUCUAAAGUUUGAGCAAUACCCUUCAGGAACCUUUAACUCAGCUAAAGUUUGACAAAAUACUUUCUUCUCCUUUCUAGACAAUGUAUAACAUGCAAGCGGAAGGUAAGUUCGAUUCGAUUCAAACCUUAGUGCCAGUUUACACCUUAAGCCCAUGUCCAUAAGGUCCAGACGAGAAUUGAGUCCAUCUUUUGUCUUCCCUGGGAUGUUAAGUAAUGUACCAAUGAUGCUUUCACAAAUAUUUUUCUCAAUGUGCAUUACAUCCAAAUUAUGACGAACAUGCAAAUAUCUCCAAUACUCAAGUUCAAAGAAUAUAGACUUUUUCUUCCAACAAUUGGUAUAAGUCACAUUGGAUUUUUCAUGUCUUCCCCUUUUUUUCCCCCAUGAAUUACAAAUGACAUUCAUUUUCAAUAGUAUUUCCUCUCCACUUAAUGGUUGUGGAGGUGAUCGAAACUCCUGCUCACCAUUGAAUGCCUUUCUAUGUUUUCUAAAAGGAUGAUUGCAUGGAAGAAAACGUCUGUGGCCUGUAAAUGAGUUCUUUCUCCCAUGCUUUAACCUAUGUGAAUAGGUUUCCGGUCCAUAUAUUGGACAAGCAAAAUAUCCUUUGACUAUGCAACCAGAUAAGUUUCCAUAUGCAGGAAAGUCAUUUAUUAUCCAUAAUAGAACAACCCUUAAUGUAAAGACCCCUCUUUGAUAUGCAUCAUAAGCUUCUACCCCUAUCUCCCACAAGGUUUUAAGGUCCUCAAUCAAUGGUGCUAAAUAGAUAUCUAUGUCAUUUCCAGGUUGUUGUGGACCCGAUAUUAACAAAGAUAACAUCAUAAAUUUUCUCUUCAUGUACAACCACGGUGGAAGGUUAUAAGUGAUCAUGACAACUAGCCAACAACUAUACCUGCUGCUCAAAGAACUAUGGGGAUUUAUGCCAUCUGCUGAAAUGACAAGUCUAAGGUUUCUAGGUUCUGCAGCAAAAUCAGGCCAUCUAUGGUCAAUUACCUUCCAUGACGGCGAGUCGGAUGGAUGACGCAUUUUUCCAUCAAAUUCUCCACCUUCUGCAUGCCAUAUGAGGUCUUUUGCAAUUUUUGAGGACCGAAACAUUCUUUUAAAUCGUGGGAUAGGUGGAAAAUACCACAUUACUUUAGCAGGAACUCCUUUACUCUUUUUGCUUCCUCUUCUAUUCACCUUCCACCUUGAAGCUCCACAUGUAGGACAUGAAGAUGCAUCUUUUAACUCAUUCCUAAAAAGUAUGCAAUCAUUGGGACAUGCAUGUAUUUUUUCAUAUUCCAUUUCCAAUGCAUUCAAUGUUUUUUUUGCUUCAUACAUAGACAAUGGCAACUCAUUGUUUACAGGCAACAUAUCACCAAGUAAGCUUAAUAGCUCGGAGAAGCUUUUAUCAGACCACCCAUAUCUUCUUUUCAGAUUGUAUAAUUUAACUAAAGUAGAUAAUUUGGUGAAGUUUUUGCAAUCGAGAUACAAAGGUUUUUCAGCAUCUUCAAGCAACCUUUCAAAUAAUUUUGGAUUAGCCUUACAAUCAUCUUAUGCAGCUUCAACCAUUUCUACUGUAUGAUCCACAUUACCAAUAUGAAUUCUAUCAAAACAUUCAACCCUUGUAGUUAGGGGUCCACUACUUAGAGCUGCCUCCCCAUGCCAAAACCAAGUAUGGUAACUUUGGUCAAUUCCAUAAAAGAAUAGGUGUUCUCUAAUCUUUUGAGGAGUAUUGAAGAUCAAAUUUCCACACUAUAGACAUGGGCAUUUGAUGGAGUUUUGAUUUGCAGAAUUUUGAACUGCAAAUGAAAUGAAAUUUUCAACCCCAUCCUCAUAGUCUUUUGAUCUUCUAUCUUUUGACAUCCAGGAACGAUUCAUUUGCCUAUAAUAGUUGAACACAAUUCCUAUAUAGCAAACAUAAGCAAACAAUGGAAAUGGAAAAGACUUAGAAAGUUACCUUUAGAAAACACUCAAAACUUUCAGUUUCUCAUUUGUGACAUCCAAAAUUUCUUUUAAACUUUCUAUGGACAAACAAUUAGGAUUCAAGUGCAAUAAAAAAUUUGAACCUCAUCCUUAAUAAAAAAAAUGAUUAACAAUAUGACAAUAGAACCUUUUGAUGCAUGUUUUUAUGCCUUUUAACAUGUCCAUCAUCCAAAAUCAGGUAGUUGUUCCUAUCCCAUGUAGGAAUACAUAAUCCCUAUGUGUUAAUUGCCAAUAUACUCAAUUUCAUUUUAAAGAAAUUUUGGCAGCAUUUCCCCAUAGUUCUCCAAGUACACAAAAUGAACAAGGUAUAAUAUGUGACCUUGUUCAAAUAUGCACCCAAAGAACAAGAGGAAAUACUACCAAAAUUUCUAAAAAGUGAAUUAAGCACAAGCAAUUAACUUCAUAGAUAUUAUGUUUUCCUACACUGUCCAAUCGGACAAUUCAAACAUCAUUGCAAAAAAAAUAUCUUUAUCACAUUCUAGACAAUUUAAAAGUUGUCAACUUGAAAGUGGCUUAGGUAAAACCUUUUUCACCUUUGACAACUUAAAUGUCUUUAGUAUGUAAUAAGAGAAACUUUUAUCUUACAAUGAUAGUUGAAUGGGAACUCUAAGGUUUCAUGCAUGCAUGUUUGAUUAAAAUUAAAACACAAUUACUUAUUGAAUAAUCUAAUAAUUAUAAAACACCUAAAGUUGUUCCAUAAUUAUUGCUAUAUUUCAUCAUUAAACAAGAUUAUUAUGAGAAAGCAUACGUAUGGCCCAUGAUUUGCGAAUCAAGUCACACCAGUCUAUGUCAUAGCCUUGGGUCAAAAUUUGGGCCUUGGUAUCAAACUAAGCUAGGGAAUAACUCGUACAAUUCAGGUACUCAAUAAGAUUUAAACAAAAUUUAAAAUAACGCUUCCAUUAUAUUCUUUUGACCACCCAAAGUAAAAAUGGUAUUAUGAUUAAAAUAUGUUGGUUUGUAUAAGGAAAAAUAGUGUACCUUCCUCACUCUGUCUUUGUCUCAAGUCUUGCAUCACACACCUCUCGUAGUCCAAUGUAGGUCACUGUCUCUUAAAAUAUGUAUAUGCAAAACAAAUAAUAAAUAAAGAUAUAAAAUAAAUCCAUUAGUAGAUAUUAACAAAUAAAUACAAAAUAAAUUAAAAUAAGAAAUAAACUAAGAAGAAAAAACAUAUAAGUAAGAAAAAAAAGAUUUUCACAUGUGCAACAAUGGUUAGAUAUUUUUAAAAAUUUAUAAAAUUAUUAAAAUCAAACUAUUUUAGUUAUUAUUUUUUUAAAAUGGUAAUUAAUACUCAUAUAAAAUAAAAUAUAUGCAUGAUGAGAAAGGUAAGAAGAUUAUUCCUUGUGCCCUUUUUCAUUUGAGAUUAUGACUUUUGGUGAUGACCUAAUGGUGGGUGAACCGUGAACCACACUAUCUGACCCGGGUCAAGUCCUUAGGGCAAGAAAGAUGACUGCAAGAUGGGUAGAACUUAAACGAAUGAGAUAGAAAAGUCUGGUCUAAAUUAAGGUGGCUUAACAAUCCGUAAUCAUCUUGGUUAGGUUGUAUCAUAUUGUGAAAGAGAAGUUACAGGCUAGGUCUUCAGCAUCCAGCAAUUCCACCCUUUGAUUUUUCCAACAUGUUGCACCAUCUAAUAAUAAUACCUAUGAUCCUAUACCUUAGUUUUGAUUCCUUAUGUAUACAAAGUAUAUAUGGUUACACUACAUUAAAGUUAUUUUUUUUCUCUAAAAAGUAAUUAGUGUAAAUUUUAAAAGUAGGCUAAUAUUCAUUUUUUUUUUCACUUCUUAUUUUUUGUUUUGAAAAUAGAAAAUAGUAACAACUCUUAUACAAAAUAUUUUACUAUUUUUUGUUUUUAAAAUAGAAAGUUAGAAAUUGCAUUUUAAAAGCAAUAUUCUAUUUCAAUCCACACAAAUGAUACAAGUUUUGAAAUAUUCCAUUACCAUAUUUUGAGUAAUAUUUUUAAAGGGUUAAUUUAAUUCAUUUCCCCUCAAGAUUUGACUAAAUAUAAUGGCACCCGAUAAUAUGAAAUUUGAAGAAGUCCAUAUACUCUUCAAGUCUAUAAUUAGAAGUUCCUAGUAAGUUGUCACCCAUACUAAUGAAAUUUCUUGAGUCAACAUUAAUCUCGAACCUUUUUGCUACCUUCAUUACCUAUUUUGCCCCUUUACCACCUACUUAGUCCUCUUUACUUUGACCAUGUGUGUUUCUCUUACUUGCCCCUCUACUUUUAUGAAAGAAGCAUAUAGAAGAAGCCCAUUCAAGUUUUUAAUUUUUCUUUGUUUGGAUCAUUCCUUGAAACCUUCUAAAAUUUCCCUUGUACUUAGCCUCAACAUUACAGGUCCAAUAAAACUCUUAUAAAUAAAAUUAAAAGUGUAAUAAAUAUUAUAAAAUUAUUUUAUUAAAAAAAUUAAUAUAUAUAUAUAUAUUGUAAUUAUUAAAUUAUAUAAAAUCUUAUUCAAUAAUAAUAUUGUGAUAUUUAAUUAUAAUAUGUUUAAUUUUAAAAUAUAUUUAAUAUUAAAAUUAUGAUAUAUUUAAUUAAUAUAUUAGUGAUAUUAAAAACUUUUUACAAUUUAAUUAAAUAAAAAAAUUAUUUACAUAUAAAAUAAUUAUAAUUAAUUUGUUGUUUAAAGGAUUAUUUUAAUAUUUUGUGUAUAUAAAAACUUUUAAUAUAUAUAUAUAUAUAUAUAUAUAUAUAUAUAUAUAUAUAUAUAUAUAAUCAUAAGGGUUUUGAUUUCAACAAGGUAUAUUUUAUUAAGUAAAGAAAGAAGGGCAGCUUCCUUGAACUUUCAAUCCCAACUUGCAGAUUUUACACCUUCGGCAUCACAGGUAUAUUGAGGAGGACAAGGAAAAGUGCCAUCAACGUAUCCUAAGAGGUCGUUGCUAAUUAAAACAGGGAGGAAUUUAUCUUUCCAGAGAAGAUAGUUGGUGGAAUCAAGUUUGAUUGGUAAUAUUCGGUGCAGCAAGUAGAGUGGAAGAAGGCAGUGAAUUCGAAAUAAAAACUGAUAAGAAUGUGACAAAGAAGAAGGAAGAACAAAAGGAUAUGAUGGUGUAGAAAAAUAAGAAGAAGAAAAGAAUAGGGUGAAGGAAUUUAUUUGAGGAGAAUAGGAGAUGACAAAGUUGAUACCUGAGUCAAGAAGGGAGGAAGAGCAGUGGUGGAGAUGACAGAUGGAGGUCCGGCAAGAGUGCUAGGAGGCAAGGACUUAAAAACCUGGGUCAACGACGAUGCCGCUAAGGACGAAACUUGGCUGGGAAUAUCAAUAUGUGCAGCAGACAACAGAAUAGAUGAUGUUUCAAUGGAUGAGGAAAUUUCAGCAGUGGAAGAUGGUGUCGCAGCCAUGGCAGAGGAGAUUAAGAGAGGAUGCAGCAGGAAAGAAAUUGCUAGAACAAUGACAGCGGCAGGUUUAGAAUCCUUUCAACACACCAAAUUUAGAGUCAGACUUGACAGCCUUUCAAAGACGCGGAGGCAUAGAAUAUUCUUGAUUAAAAUAUGUGAGAUCAUAAGCACCAAGGAAAUCAACGACCCCACCACAGCUAUUGCCACUCUCCGCCUCUUCUUCCACGACUGCAUGGUCGAAGGCUACGACACCUCAGUCCUCAUCUUCUCCAACUCCUUCAACACCGCCCAGCACGACGCCGACAUCAACCUCUCCCUCCCAGGCAAUACUGUAUCAAUACAUCCAGAUUGUACGAGUCUUGCCUCUCUAGUCAUCAGUCAUCAUUCAUGACUUUGUAGGAGGGAUGAGGUAGACCAAACAAAGCCUUCGGAUGGGCUCAAAUCUAGCCACAUCCAAGUUCCAAAUUCCUAUCCCCUAAAGUAAAAUUUAAAUUAUUAUUAUUAUUUACAUUCUGUAGAAGUUUCUUCUUUAAAUGAAUUUUAUUUUUGAGAAAACUUGCUAUGGAAAGUCUGCAUCUUGAUUUCAACCGAGACAAACCCAUAUCUUUUGGACCUGGUGCCUCUCCCAAUCCUUGACUGCCCAACAACUAAAAUUCAAACCCAAGCCCACCAAAGAAAAUUUUAAAACACGUCAUGCCUUUGCCAGUUGUUCCCCUCUCAAUACCAUUUAAAAAUCCCCCAUUCUGUAGCUUUCUCAACUGCUGCAGUCGAACCUGUCUUCUCCUUGGUGUACGAACACGACACGUCCAUACCUACAGGCGGUAGAGGCUACACCUCCUUUCCCACGCCCUUGUGCUGGUGCGUGAGCCACCCACCACAUUACCCUCAAGCUCCAUCCCGAUCACCAUGCUGGCUACUACAUCUCCAUGGCAUUACACUAGGCAAAAACAAGGCGACACUUCCCACCACAACUAAAAGGAGAAGCUGAAAUUAUACCUAUUACAACUUGCAGCGUACCAUACAACAACAAGAACAAAAAAUGCACUGUAUUUAUUUGGGAUACCAUUACCCUGAUUUUCUCCUCCCAAAAUAAUUUCCCCAUCUAUGAAACAAUAAUAUUAGAUUUUUGGAACAAUGAAAACCCUUCCAUUUGUCUUCAUUUGUACUAAUCUAUUCAAGUUUGAGGAAAACAACAUUACUUGAGAAAGAGAUUUACCUGUAACUAUGAUGCUCUGUAGUAGAUUUUGACAAUGGUAACCUCCCAUGCAUGGAAGUUAGACAUGGCCAUUCCAACGGAUUAGGGCAUUUUAGUGGUGGACUUAGUGAGAGCUAUAGGGUUUCGGGGUUUCUUCAGUUCUGAAAUUGUGGAGGGAAUGUCUGGCGGGUACUUGUAGAAAGGGAAAAACAUUUAAUUAAUAUAUAUAUAUAUAUACUAUUAUUUAAUGUCACCUAAUAUAAGUGCCAUGAAAUAUCACAACUAUGACACUGCUAUAAAGUGUCAUGGAAUAACCAGUUAUUCUUAUAAGUGCCACAACAAGCAAUGAUACUUUAAAUAAGCGCCAUGAAAUAAAAAAGCUAAUAUAAAAAAUGACCCUUUUGAAAAAACGCCAUUGUAUAUCCAAAUAUAAUGAUACUUUAUGAAAGCGCCAAUGAUUAAAGCGUCAUAAUUUUCUAUUUUUGUAGUAGUGGUUAGACAUUGGAAAAUAUUGUAUAUAUAAAUAUAUUAUUAUAAUAAUAAAAAUGAGAAGAAACAUGAGGAUUACUAUUUUAGUCUUAGGACUUUUGUGUGUAAUGAAGAUAGGAGGGUAAUGAGUUGGUUAUGCAUUGAAUUUGAAAAUUAAUAAAAAUAAUAAUAUUUAGUUUUAAGCUAACAAAGGAAAUAUUAGCAAUAAUAACAGUUUAGUGCAAUAAAUACAAAAACAAUAUAUUUUUGAGAAAUGUAGUUUAAAAAUAAUAACAAUAAAUUAAUGGAAUUUGGAGGAUAAAUUUUGGAAAGAACCCAAUUUUUAGAAGAAUUUAAAAAAUCACAUGUUAAAUUAUUAUUGAUUAAGAAGUUAAAAAUAAUAGGUGACAUAAUAUAGAAAAUUUCAAUCCCAUCCUACUUAUUUAAAAUAAUUAUCAUCCUCGUGCUAGUAAAAGAGAAAAGAAAAAUAGAGUGGGGUGGGUAUAUGAAUUUACCAUAUUAGUCUCACCUCACCCUGAUUAAAGUCUUCUUUUCUAAAUUAAAUUUUAAAAAAUUUAAUUAAAUAAAUGUAUUUUAUAAAUAAUUAAAAUAUUAUAAUUUUUAUAACUUAUUUUAUUGCAAAGUAAUUAUUUUUAUUAUUUUAUAUGUAUUAAAAAUGGGGAAAUAAAAAAUUUAAAUUAAAUUAUUUUUUGAAAUUCAUUUUAUAUAUAAUUAGGGUGAGAUGGGAUGAGACAAGGCAAAAUCUGAAACUAUCCUGCAUUUAAAAAAAAAAAAAGAAAAUCUCAAACUUGCCUCACGUUUAAAAAGAAAAAAAAUCUCAAACUUGCUCAUAACUUAUUUAUUUUAAUUCCAAACCAAUAAGGUGGGACGAGGGCCUGUAGCCAUAGAAGACUUGUAGGGAUUUUACCCGAAAAAUCUCACUCUAUUGUUAUCGUACUCCUAUCCAAGUUGAUAGUCAACUUGUAUACCUUGUUUUUUUUUUUUUUCAAUAUUCAAAUAAAUCACAAUUUAAUUUUAAUGGUCUUUAAACUAAAAGUUCAAUUAAAUGAAUUUUUUCGUGUCAUUAGCUUUCACAACCUCGUAAGUGCUAAUAAUAUUCAAUUUCAAAUAAUCAUCAAAGUCUAUACAACCAUUUCUAAAUCAAAUGUUCUCAUAGUUUAUUUUCAACCAAUCAAAGUAUAAUUAAAUUACAUAUAUCCAAAUUCCCCAAAUAAAUACACAUCUAAUUUCCCCGUUGCUUGGUAGGAGGCCUUACACCCAACAGGGUUAACAAGUAAUAAUCAAAGACUAAAAAUACAUGAAAUAUUGUAAAAUUAUAAAGUGACAUGAGAAGAAAACAAGAAAGAGAAAUCAGAAUGUAGGAAGAGAAUAGAAUUUCAUUAGAGGUAUUUCCCUUUUAUAGGGAGUCACAAAGAGAUAUACAUCAAUAUGGAUGAUCAUCCACAAGUUCCCAUAAUCCGAUAAAUUCUCAUAUUUUAUAACACUCCCCUUUGGAUGAUCAUAAGAAUAUGCCUCAUUAAAACCUUACUAGGAAAAACCCCAUGGGAAAAAACUUUAGUGAAGGAAAAAUAGUACACUAUUCUUUUGGAUUACUAUAACUACCUCGUUAAAAACCUUGCCAGUAAAACCCAUUGGGACAAAACCUGGAUGAAGGAAAAAAAAGUGCAGUAUAUCCAUAUUAUCAUUCUCCCCCUCAUGUAAACAUGAUUAUGAUUUCUUCAACAUUUCAAAUGGUAGAUCUCUCAAUCUUCAUAUUCCAAAGUCAUACCUUAACUUUUUCAAUGUGGUCAAAGGUAACACCUUUGUGAAUAGAUAUGUUAGAUUAUUUCAUGUAUUCAAAUAAAAUAAAUUUUCCUUCACUAAGGUUUUUUCCCAUGGAGUUUUUCUUAGUAAGGUUUUAAUGAAGUAUAUUUUUAAGAUCAUCUAAGGGGGAGUGUUAUAAAAUAUGAGAAUUUAUCAGAUUAUGGGAACUUGUGGAUGAUAAUUCAUAUUGAUGUACAUCUUUUUACGAAUCCCUAUAAAAGGGAGAUACCUCUAAUGAAAUUCUAUUCUCUUCCUACAUUCUGAUUUUUUUUUCUUAUUUUCUUCUCCUUUCACUUUAUAAUUUUAUAACAUGUUAUCAGCACGACUAGUCUCUACAAAAGAAAUAGAAAUAUUUUUCUCUAUUCAGAAAAAUAACAAGAUAUUCUUUAUUCUUUCUCACAAAAAGGUAUGUGAUAAACUUAUAUCAUGAUUUUCUAUUUUAUUACCUUUGAUCUCUAUUUUCAUUUAUUUUAUUUGAAUAUAUAAAUAUAUAUAAUCUCAAUAACCGGAAGUUAUGGGGUAAAUUCAUAACCAGAAGUUAUAAAAAUUAUGUGCAAUUCCUAUAACCAGAAGUUAUGAGGAAAAAUUAGAAAAUUACAUAUACAUAACCAGAAGUUAUGUAUAUGAUCUCUAAUUAUUUAUUUUUAAUUAUACGGUAUAACUGAAUGUUAUACCAAACAAUAUUAUAUAGCUAGAAGGUAUAAAAUAAAUAAAUAAAUAAAUGUUCAUAGCCUGAUUAUUUUGUCAGAAUAAGAAAAUAUUUAAAUUUGUACAUAACUUAGGCCAUGAUUAUUUUGUCAGAACAAGAAAAUAUUUAAAUUUGUACAUAACUUAGGUCAUGAACUGUUUUUUAUAUAAAUUUAUAUAUAUCUUCAGGCUAUGAACUAUUUAUUGUGUAGAUUUGUGCAUAACUUCGGGCUAUGAACUUUCAUUAUGUAGAUUUGUACAUAACUUCAAGCUAUGAACAUUUAUGUAUUUAUUUACUUUAUAGCUUCUGGCUAUAAUAUUGUUUGGUAUGACAUCCAGUUAUACCGUAUAAUUAAAAAUAAAUAAUUAGAGAUUAUAUACAUAACUUCUGAUCAUGUAUUUGUAAUUCUGUAAUUUUUCUUCAUAACUUCUGGUUAUAGGAAUUGCACAUAUUUUUCAUAACUUCUGGUUAUAAAUUUACCCCAUAAUUUAUAAUUUACCCCAUAACUUCUGGUUAUAGAGAUUAUACAUAUUUAUGUAUUCAAAUAAAAUAAAUGAAAAUAGAGAUCAAAAGGUAAUAAAAUAGAAAAUCAUGAUAUAAGUUUAUCACAUACCUUUUUGUGAGAAAGAAGAGAGAAGAUCUUUCUAUUUUUUUGAAUAGAGAAAAAUCUUUCUAUUUCUUUUGUAGAGACUAGUUGUGUUGAUAACGUGUUGUAAACUUAUAAAGUGAAAGGAGAAGAAAAUAAGAAAGAGAAAUCAAAAUGUAGGAAGAGAAUAAAAUUUCAUUAGAGGUAUAGGGAGUCACAAAGAGAUAUACAUUGAUCAUUCACAAGUUUCCAUAAUCCGAUAAAUUCUCAUAUUUUAUAACAUGAAAAUAUUAAUAAGAUAUUUUAUUUUAUCCCGAAUAUGUAUAUAUAUAUAUAUAUAUAUCUUGGUAAUUAAUAAAAAAAUACAAAUGGACGUGAAUACACCCAAUCAUACGAUUCACUAUUCUUCUUGGGGUUUCACCUAAUGAUAUGUGUAUGUAAUCAAGUAUACUCUCCAUUUAGAUUUUUCUCGGGUCUAUUGUUAUGUCUUUUAUACUUGUGAUCACGCUCUUUUCUUAAUUUAUCCUCUUAUGUGACAUUUCUUUUUUGUCUCUCAUUUUUUUUUUUCCAUUUUACACCACCUUUCCUCAUUAUAUAUAUAUAUUCACACAAUUAUGAUGCAAAUAUAAUAUAUAAUAUGAAACUAUUAUUUUUAGAACAUAUUUUUAUCUUUUAAAUUGACUCCAAAAUUUAAAAAUUCAAUACACAUUUUUUUUUUAAUUCUCAUGAAUUAAUGAUCAUUUCAUUUUCCUCUAGCACUAUUUUAUCAACAUCAAUAAAAAUAUAAUUUAAAUAACACUCAUAUACCAAAUCACCCGUGGAUAUUACAAGUAUUAACAUAUUUAUUUCAUGGCAUAAUAUUUAUAACUUUUUUCUUAAAAAUAUAUUAAAUAAAUUUUUUUGGGAUACAUCGCCCUACCAAAAACUGCGAACCUAAUCGUUAUUUUUGAAAUUGAGCUUUGUAGCCAUAUUCCCCAAAUAAAAGGUGGUUUGUUUCAACGAAUUUCUGUUUUUAUUUUCAAAGAAAACAAAAGGUAGGUUUUAAAUAUGUUUAGACAAUGUUUUACCGGUUUUUGUUUUCUAGAAAUCUAAAUUCAGAAAAUGGAAAAAAAAAAAAUGAAAACAUCAAUUUGUUAUUUUCAAAAUUUUAUUAAGAAAGGUGAAAACAAUUUUAAAAAAUAUUCAAAACAAAGAAAAUAAAAAUAAAAAAGACCUUAUGGGAUUGAUCAUAAUAUAAAAAAAUAAAUACAAAUAUUGUAUAUAUAAAAAAUAUUAAUAUAAAUAAAACAUGAAAUAAUAAGUAAUGUAUAAAUAUUUGGUUUAUUUUUUGGAUUAGAGAUUAUUUAUAAGUUGAUAUAUUUUUUGAAUAUAAACUAAUUCAUUUUAAUUGAUUAGUCAGAAGAUUAUUAGAAUAUUUUAUUACAUUAUUUUAAAACAAAAAUAAUAUAGUAAAGAAAAUAAAAAAGAAUAAUGAACAAAUACAAGGAAAGCGUGACUUUAUAGUAUAUAUGUUAUAACACAUAACAUAAAAAAUAAUCAUAAUUAUAUAAAAUUUUAAUUAUAUUUAAUUUCACAAUUUUUAAUAAAAACUUAAAAUCAAAAUUUUUUUUUGCAAAUUUUAUUUUUUAAAAGCAGAUUUCAUUUUUCUUAAACAAAAUGUAUUUUUUAAGAAAAUAAAAAAUAGAAAGUGAAAAUUGUUUUGAAAAAAUAAAAAUUAGAAAAGCGUUUUUCAAAUUAAAUACAAUCAAUUAAUUUCUUUUCUUUUCUUUUUUGUGAAUGUAGAUACAUUAUUGAGUCAUUAAAUCUUGUGUUAAAGUGUAGUUUUUUUUUUUCAUUUAUUUUAUUUUCUUGUUUAUUAUUGACUUGCUUCCGGAUAACAUCGAGAGUUGCAAAUACAUCUUAUGAUUGAGUACAAAUAUUAGGUCUUGUCAUUUUCUCAAGUAGGAAAAGAUACGGGUGUUUCGAUGAAUUGAAUUAAUAGUGUUAGGACAUUUGCUUUGUUUUUUUGGUUGAUAAUUUUGUUUCUUUUCAUUAUGAUAUAUGAUUUUUUUAAAUAGUGACAUUUGUAGAUGAUGACUUACUCUUUACUGAAGAUUUGAGACUGUCGUUUAAUUAAUCGGAUGGUUAUAUGUAAAUUUGAAAAGAUUUAAGUAAAGACAAUUUUUUUAUAAGUUAGAGUUAGAUGGAAAGUUUUAAAAUUAAGUUAAAAUAUUUUAAUUAAUUUUUAAAAAGUUGAGAUUUUAAUUUUUUUUAAAAAUCGGAUGUUAUCAUUAGGAAAAUGUCAUAACUUAUCCUACCAUUUUUGAAAGCUUUAAAAGGUUUUUUUUUUAUAAAUAAUUAUGGCUUGUUGAAGGGACCUACAUCAUCUCAGAGAUUGAGAUGAAUUCAGUAGAGUACUCGAGGUAUUGUGUCCCGAGGAUGUAGGUGGAAAGUAAGUGCAAGGUAAAACCAAUUUUUAUUUUUAUUUUUUUUUGUUAAAAACUCUUAAGACGAUGAUGAUGUUAUACAUAUGCAUAUUCAAUAGAUUCUGCAUCAUGAGCUCAAGCUGCUAGAUGCUAUGAAUAGGUCAGGACUGUGGAUGACAUGUGUUUGACACGUGGAAAUGAAGAGUGAGGAUGAGCAUCCAAUUAUUUUUAUCUUUAAUUCCCAUGUUUGAAUAAUUUAAAUUAUGAUGGGAAUGAAUCAAAAAGUGAUUCAAAUGGAAAUAAAAUCUUACUUAUAAGUAGGAUUUCAAUUCUCUCCAACUAGAGGUAUUUUGAUUUCUUAAUGUAAGUUAUUUUUAAAAAUACUUUUUAAAAAUUUAAAAACUAAACAUUUAAUUUUUUUGAAUAUGUUGUUUUUGAAAAGAAAUUUUUAGUUUUAUUUUGUAAAAAAAAAUAUUUUAAAUUAAGAUAAUAUAAUGUAAACUAAAUUUAAUUCAUGUCUUAUUAAAAAAUAAAAAUAAAAAUAAAUUAAAAAAUAAAUAGUUUUUAAUAAAUAUGAAUAUUAAUAAAAUAAUAAAAUCAGAAAUGGUAUAUAUUUUUUAUAAAUAUUAUAAAUAUAUAGAUAUUAACAUUAAUUGAUUUAUUUUGUUAAAAAUAAAGAAUAGUUAUUCNCNAAUUAAUAAUUUCUAAUACUAUCUAUUUUAAAUUAAUAUAAAAAAAUAAAAUUUAAUUUUUUAAGGUAUAAAUGAGCCAAAUUUUUUAUUAUAUGCAUAUAUUUAUAACCCAAUUGUGAAGAUGACAUUCUAAAUUAUUUUAUUUAUCUAUAAUUAAUUAAUCAAUUUUUUAAAAUUCAAAUUAUUCUUAAAAUUACAAGAUUUAUUAAAGAAUUUAUAGUAUUAAUUAUGUCUAUUAUUUUUAUAGUCAUUAUAUAUAUAUUUUUGAGUUUUAAAUAAUUUUUGAAAUUAUAAAACUUAUUAAUAAAUUCAAUACAAAUUCGAUUUGAAAUUCAUAUUUUCUACUAAAAAAAUCGAAAGAAUAAUUCUCUAUUUUAUUUUAUUUUUAAAAAUUGUUUUUAAAAAAUAACAAUCAAAUAGUGAUAUAAAUUUUUUAAAAACAAUUUUUUUUUUUAAAUCAUGCACCCAAAUAAGUUUUUAUUAUUUAGAAAAAAAAAACAAAUUCCUAAGGAUUUUUUCAAAUGAAAAUAAAAAAUUACUUCAAACAACGUAGAAUGUGAGAUUUUUUUUAUAAAUAAAAAUAAAAAUAAAGAAUUAUUUUAAAUCAGAUAUACAAAUAUUAUUAAUAAUUCUUUUUUUUUUUUUCAUUUUCAUUCCUAUUUUUAUUUAACAUUGAAAUAUAAUCAAAUUAUCAUUCCAAUCUUAUAUUCUUAUAUGCAUGCAAACAUAAAAAUUAAAAUUACCAAAUUCAUUCCUAUCAAUAGGGAAUAGUAGUAAAACAAAAUAUUCAUUUCCAUUCCCAUUCUUCGUUAUGCGUACCAAACAUGUCCUUAUCUUACAUAGAAUCUGGCCAACAUUAUAGGGCAUGUGGGGAUCGGGCAGAUGUUAAUUUGUUGGCCUGAAAUUGGAAAUCAUCAUCUUUAUGUCACUAAGAAGUAACUUAAUGAACCUAGCUCAAAUCCAUGCUAUGUUCAGUACAAGACAGUGAUGGUGCUAAAGACGAUAACCUAAUACGUGGGUCCCUUUUGCCUAUCAGGAAAAACAUAACACAUGCGUGCUUCCUGCGACUUCUUUCAUGAAAACUUUUCAGUCUAUUAUCCUUCGCAGUGCCAUUGAGAAACAAGUAUCUCCACAAAUUGGUUCCUCUGAUUUAAUUUGUCCAUUACAGAUAAUGGCUGUUCAAGUUAGCCUAUUUGCCACGUCCCUGGGAUUUCUGUCUUAAUCAUAUAAGACAAUAUAUUGAAUGGGAAAGCGAAGCUACGUGAACUUCCCAACUACGUAUGCAGCCUCUUGCACUCACACUCACUCACACGAAAGUCUAUAAAUACCGAGUUCGUAUUGCCCUUGCAAUCCAUCCAGCAGAGAAACAUCUUUGAGAGUUUCCUUUAUCAGUAGAGUCUUUCACCUCCUUUGCUUUUGUGUAGGAAAGAUGGCUUACUCCAGGACUUUCCUUCUCCUUGGCCUUCUCUUUGCUGUUGUUCUCAUCCUGUCCUCUGAGGUUUCAGGUCGGGAGCUAGCUGAAACAGCCGAAACUCGUAAGUUAAAUUUCUUUCAACUACUUUUUCAGUAGAAAUAAUGGCAAGUUAUAUUAUAUGUUCAUAUACAUAGGGAUAAUUUUGUUUUCUUAAAUUAUGGCAGAAGUGAUCAGCGUGGAAGAUGAGAAGCACGAUGGGUAUGGACACGGACACGGGCACGGCCACGGCCACGGAAAAGGACAUGGGCAUGGGAAACCUGGUCAUGGUGGCGCCGGUGAGGAUGUGGAAGACGAGACUGAGGGGGCUCAGAAUUAGAGUAAUCAAUCCUUAAUUAUGUGGGCCACGCAUGAUUAGGGUGGGUUUUAUGUAAGAUUAUGAAAGCGUAUAUGUCAAUAAGGCAUGUGGGCUAAGGGGUACUCCCUUAGACCAGCAUUGCUGCAGUUGUUAAAUAUGUAGGUCGGGACUUGUAUCUUUUAUUUCUCUAUGUUUUUUAUGUGCUAAAUAAAGUAUGAUGAAUGUUGUCUGGGGGUCCUACCCUUUUUACGUUGCAUUAUUUACUUGGAAUUGCCCGGAAUUUGGAUUUGAAAGGGAUUUUUUUUUUUUUUUUUUACUAUGGUAGCAUGCCCUUCAAUUCUCAUCGAUGGCUUUUACAUUUGCACCAAUAUAAUAUUAGUAAUUUCAACUUUGAACAUCAGUACUGUUUAUUUAUUUCAUUUUUUAAGGAUUUUUUUUAUUUUUUUAUUUAAUUUAAAUCUCCUUGAUUCCACUCCAAUAAAUGGUGCAACUUCAUGACCAAUAUGAACCCACCCCUUUUCACCCUGUUCUUCCAAAUAUAAUGCUUGAAAGUGAGUACUCCCAUGGAAUAAAUUGGUUUCCAAAAUCUCCAUUUAUUGAAAAAAACCACACACCCGAAUUUUCAUUUGGAAACUACCUCUCUCAUGCACCUUUGAAUUCAAUAAUCUUCUAACGUACUUUAAAAUAAAUAUAGCUACUAUCAAUAUUUUUAAAAUCAGAUCCAUCAUUGAAUUGAAAAAGUUAUCGAUCCAUGAUUCACUAAUCGAAUCGAUGGUUGAACCGUAGUCAAACCAAUGAUGUUAUAAAUAUAUAAUUUAUAUUUAUAUAUAAUUAAAAAUAAUUAUAAAAAAUAAACAAAUGUAUAUAAUUAAAAAAUUUAACAAUAUUUUAUUUUUUAUAUGAAUUAAACUAAAAAAAUUCUAUACUUGCAUAUGUAAUAUUAAUAGAUUAAAUCAUGAUAUAUAUGCUAAUAUUUCUAAAUUUACUAUUAUAUGUAUGUAGUAUUUAUGAUUUAAUAUUAAGAAGAUAUAUAUAUCCUAAGAUGAAAUCAAAUUUUAUAUGUCAUUUUAUCAUUUAAAAAUUAUUAAGCUUAUUUUACUAUAUGAAUAUUUUUAUUUAUUUCAAAAUUUUAUUUAUUUAUUAAAAAAAUAAUAUGCAAAUAUAUUUAACAACUGACUUGGGUUAAAAACACAAUUAGGUAAGUGGUCGCUGGUUUCAUUUUAUAUGCCCAGCUCGAAUUUUAAGUGGCUGACGUAGGAGUCUUGGGAAUGAAACAGAGCUGCAAAAUGAUGAAGGUGGGUUGCAUGGACCCAAAUCUUGAGAUAAAGUUGGAAAAAUGAUGGGUUUAUAGAAAAGGAAAAGAUCGUUCAGUUCUCAAAAACCGGUCGGUCCACUGGUUUGGAUGGUGCAUCUGUCGGUUCAUGUGAUUUGAUCCCGAUCCAAUGCUUCUAACGGUUUAACCGUUUAAUCAGAUUGGAACCAUGAUUGAUCGACGAUCUAAUUGGUUAAAUCGACGGACACAAUCUGAUUUUCAAAACCAUGGUUAUUACGAUAAAAACAUAAACAUUCCUCGUUUUAUUGUAAUAUUUGUUAGUAGAUUAAGGUAUUUAAAUUAAGUUGAUAAUUUUGUUUCCUAAUCUUGAUUUAGAAUUCUAUGUAUUUUUUAUUUUUUAUUUUUAUGAUUUACACUUCUAUUAAGUAAGGUUAUAAGAUUCAGGAAUAAAAUCAAUUUCGAAAGAAUUUCAAAUGGAAAGUCUUUUUAAACUUAAAAUAUGAUAUCUUUUUAAAUAUUUCUAAAAUUUAAAUAUUAAUUGUAUUCUUUUUAGUAAAAUAUGAUUUCUAAAUCGAUUAAAAGUUUACUAGAAUAUAUAUAUAUAUAUAUGCCUACUAGAAGAGUUCUCUUCCAAGAAUUCAUGUACCUAAAUUUUAUCUUAAAUUUUAAGACUGUUUGUCUUUUUCUUGAGUUGGAAGACUUUGAAUACAUUUGACAAUAAUUUUUAAAAGUAUUUAUAGUGUUUCUAAUAUUUGAAAAAUAAAAAUUUUAAAGACCAAAAACACUUUUCCAAAUUAUUGCAAAAUGCAUUCUUUGUGGCACUCUCAAUUGAGGAUGUUCUUUUUUGGAUCGACUUGUUGACGUGAGGACUGAGGAGGGACGUAUACAUGCACUGUAUAAGACAUGGUUGGCUAAUUCCAAUUUCCAACUACGUUAUUAAAGUGAGUGAUUUUGGAACCUUAAAAUGAUACGACAGACAUAGUAUAGCAUUUUUUGUUAGAAGGAUCGAAAUCCAUACAUUCUAUGACUUGUGAAAUAUGUUGGAGAGGGCUACCUAUUAAUAUUACUGCUAAUAUAUAGUGUAUAUAUGGUCCCCACCAGUACUUCAAUUCUCUGAAAAAAUGAAAUCUAGCAAAACCACGUGAGGAAAAGCUUUCUCACUGUAGAACUUAUCCAAACUUUUUCUUUGUUGCUAUAUUUGGUUUUUAUCCUCCAUCAACAAGUUAUUAGCAAUCAACCAUUGGCUAAGUGGGAAAUUUACUAGGUUAAAAAAUCACUGCUACAAAAAAUACAUUCAAUGACGGUCAUUUCCUUGGCGCUGGUAAGAAACGUCAAGUUACGGGGAUUUUUGAUAAUUUAAAAUUAAUUUUUUAAAAUACAGUAUAAUAAAAACUAUUUUCAAAUCUAUGAUACUUUUUUGUCACUUUUAAAAGUGUAUUUUAAAAAGACACUUUACAUCAUUUUUAUAUAAAUGAUAUACGUUUAAAACAAUUGAAUUUACAUUGAAGGUGUCUCUGGAAGAGACAAGAGACACCUUCCAUAAUUUUUAUAUCAAUAACACAUGUUAAAAAUUUUGAAUUUACAUUAAAAGUGUCUCUUCAAGAGACACCUUUUAUAAUUUUACAAAAUCAAAUUUAUAUUAAAAGUGUCUUUUAAAUAGAUAUUUUCACAGUUUUCAUAUCAGUUGCAUAAUAAAAAAUUGAAUUUAUACUAAAAAUGUAUUCUUAAGAUAUAAUUUUUUACAAUUUUACAAAAUUAAAUUUAUAUUAAAAGUGUAUCUUGAAUAGACACCUUCAAUAAUUCUUGCAUCAGUCAUCUAUUGANNNNNNNNNNNNNNNNNNNNNNNNNNNNNNNNNNNNNNNNNNNNNNNNNNNNNNNNNNNNNNNNNNNNNNNNNNNNNNNNNNNNNNNNNNUUGCAUCAGUCAUCUAUUGAAAUAAUGAAUUUAUACUAAAAGUGCAUUUUAAAAAACACAUUCCAUAAUUUCAUAAAAUUAAAUUUAUAUUGAAAGAUUAUUCGUUCAAGAGACACUUUUAGUAUAAAUUUAAUUUUUUUGAUAGGUGAUUAAUAUAAAAAUUGUGGAAAUUAUUUCUUCAAAAGACACAUUUAGUAUAAAUUUAAUUUUGUGGAAUUGAAUAGAUUCCUUCAAUGUAAAUUCAAUUUUUUUCACUGUGUAACUGAUAUGAAAAUUAUCAAAGAUGUCUCUUCUAGAGACACCUUUAGUAUUAAUUUGAUUUUAUGGUAUUGUGGAAAUGAUAUUUCUUUAAUAUAAAUUCAAUUUUUUUUAACGUGUAUGACUAAUAAAAAAAUUAUGAAAAAAUAUCUUUUGAAGAAACACCUUUAACAUAUAUUUAAUUUUAUGGAAUUAUAAAGUAUGUCUCUUCAAGAGACACCUUUAGUGUAAUUCAUUUUUUUUGGGGAGAAUUAUGUUUUGGGGGUAGAUGGGCUCUCAAAUUAACAAAAGGUCCAUAUAACUCUUCAAAUUGAGCCCAAGACCCAAUGAAAGUAUGGAAAUUGAGUUGAAGGAUAUCAUUCUUCAGUAUUUACAAAAAUACCCUUUGUUGAUUUUGAAAAAAAAAUUAAUAUUUUUGAAAAAUACUUUUAUUUAAUUUAAUAUUUUUUAUUUUAUUUAAUAUUUAAAAAAAUACUUUUAUGUAAUUUAAUAUUUUUAAAAUACUUUUAUUUAAUUUAAUAAUUUUAAAAAAUAAAUUUAUUUAAUUUAAUAUUUUAAAAAAAUAUUUUAAAAAAAAUAUUUUAAAAAAAAUAUUUAAUUUAAUAUUUUUUUAAAUACUUUAAUUUAAUUUAAUAUUUUUGAAAAAAAAUUUAUUUAAUUUAAUAUUUUUAAAAACUACUUUUAUUUAAUUUAGUAUUUUUGAAAAAAAAAAUUAUUUAACUUAAUUUUAUAAAAUAUUUUAUAUGUGUUUUUAAAGGGUAUAUUUGUCCGUUACUAUUUCAUAUCCUUCAACUCAAUUUGAAGAGUUACAUGGACCCUUUAUUAAUUUGGGGCCCAUCUACCCCCAAAAGAUAAUUCUCCCUUUUUUUUUUUUUUAACAUUUAUGGUUGAUAUGAAAAAUAUAUAAGGUAUUUCUUUAAGAAACACAUUUCAAAGUGGGAAAAAAAUGCCGUAGAUUUGAAAUUAUUUUUCAAACUACCAUAGUUUAAGAAUUAUUUUUUAAAGUACCGUUUUUUAAGAAUUAUUUUUUAAAAUAGCUGUAUAAGUUAAAAAAAGCCCCAAGUUACUGCAGGAAACACAUUGAGGAGUCAUGGAUGGUGGAAGUAUAGCUUUGCUGCUCCUGGACUUUCUGGACAGUCCCUUUGGACUCACAAAAGAGUCUUCAGUCACUAAAGAGGACAGAAAAUUCAUAUUGUUCGAUUUGUGUCAAAAUCCACUCGUAGAAAGUGGUUGUUGCAUCGUUUUGGAUCGCCAUAUAGAUGGUUUUGAUUCUUGUCUAAUUUUCUAUGAUAGUAAUUUUUCUUAAGUUUUCUUAGUCUCAAAAAGUGUUUAUUUUAUUUUAUUUUUUUACAAAUUAUAAAUAAAGUUUGAAUGCCUUUGGAUGGUUUAUUUCUCAAUUUUUAUGCCAAAUUUUUUGGUACAUUUCUUAGGCAAUAUCAUAUGUUUAUAUAUCAUUAAUUUGUUCUCUUAAACAAAAUUUGUUGUCAUAAAUAGGAAGAUUACGAAUGUUUAUGUAAUUGCAUGUUAAUAUUAGAAGUUAUUAAUAUAUUUAGUUACUAUAUUAUAAUUAUAUAUUUAUUAUUUAAUUAUUAUACUACAAUUAUUUUCUUUCUUUUUAGAAAUAAUGAUAAAUUAGUCUUUAUUUUCUUUUAUUAGACUUAUUUAAAUUGUAAUUGUCUUAUAUUUAUUUUAAAGAGAAUUGAUAAUAAGAAAUACCAAAUUUUCUUUUCUUUUCUCUUUGAAUCUUUUUUAGAUUUUAACAUGGUAUUAAAGCCUAGUUUGACAGGAGGCCAUGAGUUCGAGCCACCUCUUCACAUCUUUAAUGAGACUUUUGAUUUGUAAUUUCAUGAAAAAGAGUUUAAUAUCAUACGUUGUUUUCGUAUCUGUUUGAUCGUGAGAUAUAAUAAUGGGUGUUUACAUAAUUCUUUUCGUGUUUGAUCCUAAUAUUUGAUUUUGUAUUCAUUUGUUCGAUAUAAUCCAAAUUCUAUUUGUUGGAUAUGAAUCCAAAAUUCUGUCUAUCUUUCUUUUUUCUAUGUUGUUGAAUAUGAAUUCAAAUUAUAUUUGUUUCUAUUUGUUAUAUAUGAAUUCAAAUUCUCUUUGGCUUUGUCUUUUGGAAAUGAAUCCAAAAUUUGUUAAUCUUUUUUUCUUUUAUUUCUCAUUUUUCUAUGGUUUUAUGUCUUCUUCUAUCUCUAUUUAUUGAUUUCUCAUUCCUUGAUAAGUUUUAUGUUGACUUCUAUUUUUCUUUCUUUGAUGGUUUAGUUUUGUGUCUUUUUUUUUUUCUUCCUUUUUUUUCCAUUAUAGUUUUAGUUUUGUCUUAUUGUACUUUUUCUUUGAACAUAUGCUUUUUCUAUUCCUAUCGAGUCUCAUGGUGUCUUUGUGUUUGAGCUUGUUCACAUUGGUCUUUUUUUGUGAAUGAUACAAAUAAUAUCCAUGCAAAUAUUGAUAUUUGACACUUCAAUUAAACGGUGCAAAGCUCGAUUGUUUGCUAAGAGAUUUUUUCAAUAGUAUGAUUGUAAAGUUGUUUACCAAGUCAUACUUAUUUUCACAUUUUUUUAUUUUCGAUUAAAAACUUUCAAUACUUUUCGUAGUUGCAUUUUGAGCUUGUGAGGCGUGUUAGACGUUAUUAAUUAAUAUAUUUAGUUACUAUUUAUAAUUAUAUAUUUAGUUACUAUAUUUAUUUAUUUAGUUAUUAUAUUAAAAUUAUUAUUAUUUUUUAAAAUAAGAGUAAAUUAGUCUUUAUUUUAUUUUAUUAGACCUAUUUAAAUUGUAAUAAUGUUAUAUCUAUUUUAAAGGGAAUUCAUAAUAAAAAAAUCUUAAAUUUUCUUUCAUUUCUCUUUUUUUUUUUUUCUUUUUUAAUAUUUUUUGAAUUUCAACAUGUAAAAGUCUUAAGCAAGCCAAGUUGUUCAAAUUGUAAUUAUCUUUAUUUCUUUGAUCAAUCACAUUCCUAAUAUCUAUAAAGACCAUGAAAUUAUUAUUUGAUGAGAUGGUUAGAGUGAUGAGAGAAAGUGAUCGGUUGUCAUAAAUUCAUGUGGUCUUAUCAACCCUACAGGAGACUAAUGUUGGUUAAUCAUUUUCAUUUGUCGUCUACGAUGAGUCUUUAAAUUCAAAUUCAUCUAUUAAUGUUGACAACUUCAUCACAUCCACCCACUCAUUACUUUGCAUAAUCCCAUCUCUCCUUUCGUUAUUUCAAAUAUUGCGUAGCACACUUUCUAUAUUUUUUUUUAAUAUAAUUUUUUAGAGUCUUUUAAUAAAUCUUUUCGUUUCUUUCAUAAUGCCUCAAUUUUUUUCAAAUCAAUUUCUUUGUUGUAGUCUUUAUUCAAUAGAUUCCAUAAAUUUUGAGAGUUGCCCUUGAAUUGAGUUAUUAUUUAUUGUUAUGAUUUUACUACAAAAUUUACAAUUUCUUAAUAUUUUGCACAUUUUUCUUGUGUCAUAACUUUGAUAUUCCGACCCUUAAUAGAAAUUUCUAAUCGUGACACCAUAUGUUGAGACGUACACAGUUGUGAUAAUAAUUUUUACUCAAAAAAUAUUUUAUUUUAUUGAACUUAUUAACCAAUCUAUAUUUAUAAUAAAUUAAUCAUAUUUAUGUUAUAAGUCUAAUUCAUAAUUAAAAUAAGACUUAUAAAUAACAUUAAAAAAAUUAAAUAAAUAAUAAACUUGAAAUUUUCCAAAUUCCUAAAAUUCUUUUGAUUUUACUUCAGGUGGAAUUAAUAUUUUCAAUAUGUUAAACUUAUUAAAAAAAUUCUAAAAUUAAAGUUAUAGUUAAGGAGGGUUUAAGCCUUGUUUGGGAUGACAUUUAGCUAUUGCUAAACUAAUUAAUAUUGUAUUAUUUUUAUGUUUAAAAAAAUAGUUAAAUAAAAAUUAGUUAAGAGUUUUAUCCAAGUUAGGUCAGUCCUUUAAAUGCUGGCUUUAGCUUUUGAAAAGCUCUCCCAAAUAGGACUUAAUAAUAAGUGUCAUUUUGGCAGGUUGCAUGUUGAGUGGUAUGAAGCCGCAAAGUAGGAAGAUGAUGGCGUUCACAUUUGAAUCAUAAGAGUAAAGAACAGAGAAUAAGUAGGUAAAUUAAUUAUAUUGUUCAUUUGAUCUUUUUAUUUAUUUAUUUAUUUUUAUAGAUAUAGAGUUAUGACAAAAAAGGACAAAAAAAAAGUGAUUUAAAUGAUACAUACUUAAUUAUAGGUAAUUUAUCUAUUGUUGGACCUUUAACCUAUGUUUGAUUCUCAAAAAAUUUGAGAGAAAAUGUAUGUAUAUGAAAGAAAAUAGAGAAGAAAAAUAGUAAAAAAAAAAUGAAGGAAAAUAAAAUAUAGAUUUAAAGUUAAUAAAUUAAUUUUAUUUACUACUUUAAAUUUAUUUAACUUAGUUUAACUCCUCAUUUAAAAGAUUAAAUAAUUUGAAAAUAUUUAAGUUUUUAGCUUAUUUUAAUUAUAUUUUAUUUUCUUUUAUGUUUUUUUAUAGUACAAUCAAAUAUAAGAAAAUAAUUUUUCUUAUUAUUUUUUUUUUCUUAGUAUUUUUUAGGAAUCAAAUAUAAACCUUAAGGAAUAAAGGGUACUUGGUGUAACCUUAAAAAUUUUAGUACUAAUAAUUCUAAAAAAACUUUUGGAUAACCAAAUAAUCUUUCAUGGAGUUCCAAACCUCGGGUUACAACAAUCAAUAUUGAAUAAAUUUGUAGUAACAUCAAAAGAAGUUAAUAAGAAAUUAACAUUAAUGUUUAAUUUUGAUAAUACCAAGAAAAUAAAAAUAAUAAAUGAGAAAGUAAUUAUAUGGUUUGAUAAUGUGUCGAUAUUAUGGUAGAGAGGAAAUCAAUUCAUUAUAUUUAAAGAAGUAAUUACAUUAUUAAAACUCUCAAAUCUACGUGAAUAAAUCUAUUUUUAUAACAAAAUCUCAUAUAUUUCUUAAAAUUAUGCAUAUGCAUGUUGCUCGUGGAGGAAUCUAUCCAAAUAAAUUAAGGUUGGUGGAUACAAGACAAAUAUAAGUGACGUAAGACGGGACGUAAUCAAUCAUCCAAGUGAAACCACGUGUGUGAACUGUGAAGCACAAGAUUAUGGGUUACUCACCCCUUCAACUUCAUGUGGAGAAGAAUUAAUUUUGAAUUUUAUGCUCCAGCCCAUGGCCUGAAACCUAUUGGUCUCACUGUCAAUGCUGUCCUUUUUCGAAUUUGAUGACGCGAGGAGGGACGUAUGCGAUGUACGGGACAUGGUUAUAUUAUUAUACCUUAAUUAUGUUCAUUUGUACAUUUACAUAUACAAACUUUUUCUUUUUUCUUUUCUUCUCUUAAUUAUUUAUUUAUUUUUUAGUUUUUAUCUUUUACCUUUUUUCAGUUUUUUAUUUUUUUAUUUUUUUUAUACAAUUAGUAUACCCUACAGACUUCCAAAUCAAGAAAUUAAAAUUAAUUUUGAGAAUUAUUUUCAUGAAUAAAAUCAUAUUUAGAAACUUAAAUAUAACACUAUAUACUUAUUAUAUAUAAUACGAAGAUUCUCAACAUAAUCCUUGUAUUUUGAAUUAUUAAUUAAAACACUUUAUCAUAAAACACCUUAAUUUUACUGUAAAAAUAAUUAAUUUUUAGAGCAAAUUUAUAAAAAAAGAAAAAAGCUAGACAUGUUCUUAAAUUUUUAAGGAUAACUAAAGGCUGACCAAAUCCGGCAAAAGCACGUGAGAAAAAGCUUUCACAAGCAAAAUCAAUCUAAGGCGUUACCUUUAUUGCUAUUUUUCCUUUUUAUCCCAAUGUAGGCAGUGAAGUAGAAUUUUUCUGACUCUGGAUUCUUUGGGCAGUCCCAAGAUUUGGACUCAAAAGAGUCUUGGGUCAUGGGGAGAGGAGCCGAGCCUAAGGAUUCAUGUCAAGUUAAAUUAUUUGCAAAGCAGAAAGGUUAGACAUUGGAAGCAAAAGGGCGGUGAGCACAGCUAGAAAAAGUGCUUUAUCGACACAUGCUUUUGUUAAAGAGCAAUAUCAUAUCUUUCCACGAGUUUAGACACUUUCCUUCUCUUAAAUCAUAAUAUGUGGAUAUCACAAAUAUUACUUUACGUGUCACUGACUCAACCCCAGAAGUAUCCACCAAAGAUCUCUUUUUUAAUCAUAAGGCUUAAUUAAUAAUUUAGUAAAUUUAAUAAUCAUUUUUUUACAGAUAAUUCUUCAUGGGAAACUCAUGAAAUGACAUGUGAACUGUUUUGUGAAUUGGGUAUAGAUUGAUUAUCUAUAAUUAUAACCGAGGAAGCAUGGAAACCCAGAUUCAAACCGACAUGCCACGUCCCUCCAACUUCUUUAAUGGUACGUGUGGUCACUUUAUAUUGACUCUCAAGCACCAGGACAGACAGAGCCAAGUUGCAUUCACAUUACAAAUCAUUCAAUCAGAUCAGCAAAUGGGCAAUCAAUAUACCUCAAAGGUUCCUUUUUCUCCAUCUAUAAAUAGGGGUUACUCACACUUCACUCAUCCAUCCCUCCAGCAAACAAGCUUCUUUUGAGUCUCUCAUUGCUUCCCAGUUUUCAUUCCCCUAAAGUAAUGGCUUACUCCAAGACGUUUCUCCUUCUGGGUCUUCUAUUCGCUGUUGUCCUUAUCCUCUCCUCUGAGGUGUCGGCCAGAGAGCUAGCCGAGGCUGCACAUACCCGUGAGUUUCCCACUUUUUUUUACACACUUGUUAUAUCAAUUUACAGCUGAUGUACUGUGACUAAUUCAACUAAUCCAAUUUUUUUUUUUUGUUCUAAUGACAGAAGGGAGUGUGGAAGACGCUAAGUCCUGGGGACAUGGGCAUGGCCAUGGACAUGAACACGAGCAUGGCCACUGGGGACAUGAACAUGGGCACGGCCAUGGGCAUGGGCAUGGGCAUGGACACCACGGCCAUGGUGGUGCUGGUGAGACUGUGGAGAAUGAAACUGAAGCUGGCGAGAAUUAGAUAGCAUUUCUAGCUGCUGUAUUUUCACGCCCAUGGGUGGAAGUAGGUUGUGUGGUUUAUGUGAGUUUGUAUGUGAAUAAGGCAUGUGCUUGUCAGUGGUUGCCACCAAUGUUCCUCUAGGAAGAUGGUUGUGUUGCUUUGACAAGAUGUUAAAGCAUGUGUGAAACUUGCAGAUGUCAACUUAAUUAUUGUCCUGAAAUUAGAACUUUUUCCAAGUCCUUUGUCUCUAUAAGCAAAGUAAGCAAAAUAAGUAAGGUAAAAGCAGAAAGAUCAAACAGGAUUUCUCUGCAUAAUUAAGUAUCUCCAUUGAUCUUUUUUAAAUGAAGACUAAAUAUUUGUGGGUUCAGACCUCUUUACAGGUAUUUGUGGGUUCUUGAUUUCAUUGUUCCAUAUGCUCUUACUUCUCAUUGAAAAAAAGUUUUAAGUUAAAUUGAUAAUUAAAUAAUAAGUUUUAAGAUAAUAGAAUUUAAUUUAAAAUUAAUGAUCUUAAAUCAUUAAAUAUUAAGCAUGACCAUAUUAAUCCCACCAAACAAAGUAGUUGGCCAUAUAUGAUUUGCGUUUACCCAUAAUUGAAUAUUGAUUAAAUCAUGUUUAAUAUAGUGAAAUACGUAGAUAGAAAUGAACAAGUAUAGUGAUACAGCUUUGUUCUAAUAGACAUAACAAGGAAAUGAAUACAAAUAGUAUUUUCACCAUCAUAUUGUACAAAAUCAAAUACGUGGGAGAAUCCAUCCAAAGGAGCAACACAACAGAGUUAGCGAUAAGCUUGAAGAACACUUGUAAAGUUGGUGGACAUAAGGACAAAUAUAAGAUGACGUGAGAGGGGACAUCAUCAUUUUUGUAUCUGUCACGUGAGUAAAGUCGAGUCAUAAAGAAUGCUGCCCAAUAGAUGUAGGGCACCAGCCCAUAAACUGCAUGCAUAUGAAGUUGAAUGUUAAAGCUCAACCCCAGCACCUAUCAGCUAUGGGUCGGUCACUCAAUUUUUUGGGACUGGGUGAAGUGAGCAGGGACGUAUGCGAUGCAUAGGACAUGGUUGGAUAUUAAUUUGCAUGAAAUUUUUGAGCUCCAAGCCUGCAACUUGAUAUGGUAAUAUGUAAACACUGAAAAGGAAAUGUUAAACUAACAUAUGAUAAUUACCAAGCAAAAGAUUUGGACCGUUUAAGAGGAGACUAAAAAUAUGUAUGUGCAAUUCCCUGAUUGAUGAUAUCUUUAUAAUAGGUAUCGAAAAUGGUAACUACGUAGAUCCAAAGAAUUAGGAUUAGAGAUGGCAUUACGGCAACUUAGCUUUAUCCUUGCCCACUUCAUUUUGCAGUACUCUACAGAGAAGAACAAAUUAAGCUGGUCCUAUCCUACAUCGACAUGGUAUUCGGGCCACUACCCCAUGUAAUAGCAUAUUUUGUCCAGAUGGCAAAUUUUGAUGGCUUACAAGAAUUUGUGAAACUUCUUUUGUGGCUGCUAUUGCGGGAAAUUAAUCAAAUGGGAGCAUUGUGGGCUGUCUGAGUAUAGUUUUUCUACAUUUCCUUUUCUACACUUGUAUCCAAAAAUCACCUUCUCUGGUAUCCUUCUAUUUGAGGACUCCCGAGUACUUUUUCUUCUUUCCCAACACCUUAUCCCUUUCUCAACAUUAAAAGCCAUAGUCUGGAGUUCAUCAGGGUUGAAACCCUCCAAGUUUUGCAACCCCACAAAGAGGGGGAGCUUGCAAAUCACAAGACUAUUAUUUGUUAGAUUAAUUAAAGCUGAUGAAUUUUAACAUGUUUUGUGAUUUGGGUGUAGAUUAAUUAUAUGAAGGAGGCAUCAAAAGUAACAGGUUGAAACAAACCGACAAGCCACGUCUCUAGAAUUUCUUUAAUGGUAUGGUUAGACAAAAUCUUCACUCUGACACACCAAGAUGAGAACGUGUACCCAUUCACAAUAGGAAUCAUUCAAUCGCGUCAGAAAAUGGACAAUCAGUCUCUCUGAAGCUCUCCCUUUUUCCAUCUAUAAAUGCGGGUUACUCCCACUGCACUCACUCAUCCAUCCCUUGAGCAAACAAUCUUCUUGUGAGUUUUUUUCAGUCUUCGUUCCCCCAACAAAAUGGCAUACUCCAAGGUUUUUCUCCUUCUUGGCCUUCUGUGUUCUGUCGUUCUUGUCCUCUCCUCUGAGGUGUCAGCCAGAGAGCUAGCUGAGGCUGCUCAAACCCGUGAGUUCCCCACUCUUUUAGACACUUUGUAUGCAUCACUUGCUACUAUGCACAUUCUCUUGAGCUGCACAAUAGCACAUGCCAGUCAAUGGUGUUUUUGCUCUAACUGAUAGAUUAACAAAUAAGCAAAGUACCUUUCUAAUUAUAAUUAAACCAUGGAUAUAUCUUGGAGAAUUUCCUCACCACUCCUUAGCAGAAUCAAUACCGUGACUAACUAAUAACGCCCGGCCUUUUUUUACUCUUUCUAAUGGUAGAAGGGAGUGUGGAAGAAGCUAAACACUGGGGACAUGGACACGGGCAUGGACACUGGGGACAUGGACAUGGGCAUGGUCAUGGCCACAGGCAUGGACACCAUGGCAAACCCGGACAUGGUGGUGCUGCUGAGACAGAGGAAAAUGAAAGUGAAGCAGGCGAGAAUUAGGCAGAAGCACUUCUAGCUGCUGUAUGUGCACGCAUACACCGUGCAAAUAAGGUUGUGUAAUUUACGUAAGUUAGUGUGUCAAUAAGGCAUGUGUGAUCAGUGGUUGCCACUAGAGUCCCUAAGUAAGAUGGAUGCAUGGGUUUGCCAAAAAUAUUAAAGAAUCAUUAUGUUAGUUUAUUAGCCUGAAAUGAGAACUUUCUCAGGGCUCCUUUGCAUCUGUUUUUGGCUUUUAAUACCAAGAAAAAAGUUAAUGAAGCAGAAAGAAUAUGGAAAUUCAACUUAACCAAUUUGCCACGUCUCUAAAUUUUCUCCAUUUUCUUCCUUGACAUGACUCAAACAUAUGAGAGAAAACGUUGAUUAAUUCUCUUUCACAUGUAGCUAAGGACUUGGCGUAAUCUCAAUGGAAUAUUCCAAUUCACUAGAUACCUCUAAAAUUAACACUUCCGAAUCAAUCAUGUGAACCCACCGGACGGUCUCUUACUCUCCCAGUCAAUACAAAUCAUUUUAGCAGUCUUUUACCUUAUUUUAUGUUUUGAAAAUGGCUUUCUCUAAAGCUUCUCUUCCUCUUGGCCUUAUGAUUGGUGUUGUGUGUUCAUCAUCUCCUUUGGGUUUUCAGCUUGGGAGUUAGCUGAUGCAGCAGCCCAAACUUAAAGAAUCUCUAUGAAUUGUUUUUUUCAACAGGCUCAAUGAUAUCCUUUUAUAUAUAAUUUAACAUUUUAUUUUUAAAUCAUGAAACUCUGAAGGAUGCCAAUUAGUAUGGUGGAUAUGGACAUGGCUACCGGCACCAUGGCCAACCUGGUCAUGGUGGUGCUGGAGAGGAGAUGGCAGAUGAACCAGAAGGUCGCAGUUAGAUUGUUCAUCCUUAUUGGUACAGUACAACAACAUGGGGUGGAUGAUUCAGCAUAGCUGGGCUUUAUCUCUGUGUUUUCUCAUGUUGUUUCUAACCCUUUGUGCAAUAUAUUUGAGUGCAUAUCAGCGCAUGAUAUAUGCAAAAUAAUCAAAGUAAAUGUUGCUGCUUGUGAGCGUCUCUUGUCAAAGUAUAUAUAAGAAAAUAUAUACUUGAAUAGAGAUUAGUUAGUGAGAAUCAAGUUUGAAAAAGAAUUAUGAGGUUGUUUGAUGUGAGGACAAAUGAAAGAACAAUGACGUGAGAGGUGACGCAACCAUAAGCAUGAUAUAUACUAUAGGGCUUAGGAUGCAUCCCCAUGUAGAAAUGUAGGGCCCCAAGUCCCUGAGUUGCAUGUGAGGUUUAACUUAGAGCUCAAAGCCAAGAGCCAUCACGCUCACCCUUGGGUCACUCAGCGGUAUUCUCUUCAGGACUUCGUGACGUGAGGAGGGACGUAUGCAAUGUACAUGAUUGGUCGAAGAAUUUUGUUAUCCAAGAGAUCAUUCUGAAGAAUAUCUUUGAACCACGAUAUGACAUGCUAAUAUCAUUGAAGUUAAAUCAGCAACUUUCUAAAAAUAUUGGUAAAAAAAAAAAAAAAAGUUAAAAUGAUCAUAAAAUUUUCAAUUUAUUUCCAUAAAAAGAUCAUUUAAAAGCUUA